CAAGGCUGAGCAGGACCUGGUUGCUAAAGGGGUCGAACUAGAGACAUUGCACUGGCCAGACCGUUCAAGGACUUGGUUCUUCGGGGUUGGGGGAACUUUGGACCCUGAAACAGGGAAGUGCUGCUGGACGGACGAGCAACUUAAAACACCCGUCAGGAAGCUUCAGAAAGCAAUCAAGGAAGUGCAGGAAGGGAAGUUCGUUCCCGAUAGAGAGAACGACGAGCUCACAAGGGCCCUCGGGAAUCCUGAGCACCCUGGACAAACUCGAGGCACGCCAGGCUCUGUUGUGUGGAAGGUUGGGUUUCCCGACGUAGGCGGUUACAAAACCCAAGAGAGGAGGAGGAAAGUGGAGCAGAGCGAACUACAGGAGCUUAAGGCAAGGGUACGGAAGCUAGAGGAACGACAAGAUGUUGAGAACCAGCAACUGCGGGAUCCUGCCCAAGAAGCUACCCCAGAAGCUACCCCGCCAUCUCAGCGGAGAAGCAGCGUGGCUUCCACCGAGCUCGUUCAGCAGCCUGACUUGACGUGUCCUAGCUACCCCAUGGAUUUUAUCACGGAUUCACACCGGUGCCACCUUAUGACGCAAUGGCAGAACCUCAAAGUCAAGGUGGUUGUCGGCUCUGUGUUCCCUCCUUCACUCGGAGCAACUUUUCACUGCCGCCCGAUUCCACAAGGCUAUGUUGUUGUGAUGGUGGACGAAAUAACGGAGGGAUUUGAGGAGCUCCAGCUUGAGCAUGGUACAGGUGAUGGAGAAACUCAGCCCGGUCUUGCUAUGAAGACUCCGUGUCUAUGGCGGAAGGAGAACAUCAACCUUCUGAACUUCAGGGCUCCGGCGAGUCAGCUAGGCACUCCGCAUCCUCCGCAUCCUCCUCCUCCUCCUCCUCCGGCGAGUAUCAGGGUACUCCGCCUCCUGCUCCGGCACGUGAGGAUGGCAGUACUCCGCCUCCUUCUCCACCUGCUCCGGUGCGUCCGAGCAGCCCGCCUCCUCCUUCGUCGCCUCGUAAGCGACAGCGCUACACAGACGCCGCUGCUCCGGCUGCUCCGGCGCGUUGUAGCAGUCCGCCUCUAGCUGCUCCGCCACUUAAGAAACGAAAGAAGACAGUUGUAGCCGCUCCGGCUGCUCCGGCGUCUAGCAGUACAUCCAAAGGCAAGAGGUAAUACAGAUACAGUCCAUCGUCUCUCAAGCCUCUAGACAAGUUACCAUACGAGAGGAGCGAUGAGGAAAACCAUAAGAUCUGUGAAGGCCAAGUGAAUAACUUCUUUCAAUCGGUAAAAGCUAAGAUACAUCCACCUCCGGUGGAGAAGAUAGAUCCGGUGAAAGCGAAGCGCACUUUGGAUGCCCUGCAGCGACCACCACCGCCUCCGCCGACUAUGACUGCAUCAUUGAAAUGACAUAUAAGGAAGCGGAGCGGUCGGGAAGUACUUGCACUGAUCAAAGGCUAGCAGAACGAAGAAAAGGGAAAACAUUCCCCAACUCGGCGAACAAGUGAAGCAAUCGUGCCCCCCCUGCUCAAUGUGUCUAGCGAUAUCGUCGCUAAUCUUUCGGGGAUGCUGCCCGGUACCAAUCUUGGAGAUUACAUGACCGACAAUGAUGCACUAAUUUUUGAAACAAUGGAGGUGGACACAUUAAGAUUAUAGCACGGGAAGCCUCUCGUCAGACCUGGUACUUCCCUAACAACAAUGAUGCGAAGAUUCAAUGAUUGGUACAUGGACAUCUACAGGAAAUCUGGGAAAAAUACUUUGACGCUCAUAGUUAAAGAGGAGCACGACCUCGUUGGAAUUGAUCUGUUGUCUGUUCCAUAUGAGGAGUUCUUCCAGUUUUUCAAUCAAAAGGCCCUCGAUAAAACAAUCAUAACUUGCUACUAUCUGUAAGUACUACUUCUAUGUAAUUAAUUAAGUCUCUCUAUAUAGCUCAGGUUUUUCAUUGCAUGUAUAUAUAAUUAUCCUCACUAUAUUAUGCAGAUUGAAGAUCGCCGAAUUGAAGAAAAAGCAAGUAGGUGAUAUUGGGUUCAUUAACAAAAAUCUCAUGGAUGAAUGGAAUGUUAAACAUGAUCCCAAAGAUACCGAGGCCAACUUACUACGAUCGUUACUUCUAAAUCAAAACAAAGCUACAAUACUCUUUCCUUAGGAAUACAAGUGAGUGUUACUGUCUUGUGCAUAUUCAGUUUCCCUUAUUACUCGAGGUUAUAGUAAUGUAAUUAAUGAGUUAUGCAUGCGUGCGCAACUUCCACUUUAUUCUGCUAGAGAUUAAGCUUGAGCAGGGACUAGUAACCAUAGACUCCAAACGAAAAAAUCCGGAGGAGUAUGCGACCAUGACUAAAAUGCUCGAGAAGUAACUUCAAUCGAUCAUUAUCGCACCAUAUCGGCAACUUUGUUCAUUUACUGAUAUCAAGUAAUUGUUUUCUUUGUCUGGCAGGGUUUGGAAAUAGUUCACCGCACAAGCUCCGGGACUGCCGGCGCAACUGCGAUUUAACCAUGAAAGUAAGUACUAGCUACUAGCUAGUUCCGCGCAUCUCCCAUUGAUUCUAGCUAGUUUCAUCAAUACCAUUUAGCAUGCUUGCUUAUCAGUUUGAUUGACCUCUAUUUCUUGUAAAGUGGUUGUGGCAGGAACCCGGGAAUGAUUUCUGUGGAUACUACAUUUGCGAGUUCAUCAGCCACACCACCUGUGAGCGGGGCUACUCUAAACAACAAUAUGAAGUGCGUAAGCAAUAAUAUUCACAAUUUUAUUUUAUUACCAUCAUUUGUGUUGAGUUUCAUUCAUAUAUAUGUAUUGACCCCCUUCUUCAAAUUAGAUGUGGCAGAUGCGGGAUGAACUCCUACCACAAGAUCGCAUACGAGCAAUACAAGAGGAAUUGGUGGGAUUCUUUCUUGACCACGUCAUCGACAAACACGGAGAAUACCAUGUGGAAGUUGAGUUCAGAUGUUAGGGGAUUUUGUAAGAGAUCUUAUAUUGUGUGUGUGUGUGUGUGUGUGUGUGUGUGUGUGUAGCCAGUAGCGUCGGAUAGAUAUACGAAAACUUGUUGUUCGACCAAUCUAUCGAAGAAGGAGAGGUCGGUCACUUCUCUAUGUGUAUAUGUUCAUGACGAUCUUCUGUACUUAAUGGUUUCCUUCAUUUUCUUACUAGCUAGCUAGCGUGUCGAGUCCUCUCUAUACUUAUAGUACGUAGCGUCGACCAAGCACGGAGAUAAGAGAGGACACUUCUCUUUAUUAGCUANNNNNNNNNNNNNNNNNNNNNNNNNNNNNNNNNNNNNNNNNNNNNNNNNNNNNNNNNNNNNNNNNNNNNNNNNNNNNNNNNNNNNNNNNNNNNNNNNNNNNNNNNNNNNNNNNNNNNNNNNNNNNNNNNNNNNNNNNNNNNNNNNNNNNNNNNNNNNNNNNNNNNNNNNNNNNNNNNNNNNNNNNNNNNNNNNNNNNNNNNNNNNNNNNNNNNNNNNNNNNNNNNNNNNNNNNNNNNNNNNNNNNNNNNNNNNNNNNNNNNNNNNNNNNNNNNNNNNNNNNNNNNNNNNNNNNNCCUAGCCCCUGAACUGCUGACGCGUGGAAGCCUUUUGGUCCCGGUUGGUGGCACCAAGAGGGACAAAAGGUCCUCCUGCCUAGGCAAGCGGCAGCGGCCACGUGGAGCCCCAUCUAUCCCGGUUCCUGGGCGAAAUGGGACUAAAGGUAUAGGGCUUUAGUACCGACCCUUUAGUCCCGGUUCGGCAACCGAGACAAAUGGCCCUCACGAACCAGGACGAAUGGGGUUUUUUCUAUUAGUGCUGGUGAUUAUUUCAUAUGGAGUCUUGUUCAAGCCUUUGCGGAGAUAGAGUCGAUUGGAUGCAUGACACACGGUGUUGAUGGCUUCGGCCCAAAAUUUGUAAGGAGACUUGAACUCCGCCAUCAUGGUCCUUGCCGCAUCCAUCAACGUCCGAUUCUUCCUCUCUGCAACACCAUUUUGUUGAGGGGUGUAUGGUGUGGAAUAUUGAUGCUUGAUCCCCUCAUCACUAAGAAACUCAUCCAAGGUGUAGUUCUUGAACUCGGUGCCGUUAUCACUUCUUAUUGUCAGGAUCUUUGCAUCGUGUUGACGUUGACCUUCAUUUGCAAUACUUUCUCUUGAAGAAAUAUACCCAAGUGUACCUUGAGUAAUCAUCAACAAUAACCAAGCAAUACUUUCUACCCCCAAGACUAUCAAAGGAUGGAGGCCCAAAGAGAUCCAUGUGAAGGAGCUCCAAGGGUCUCUUCGAGUAGAUGAUAGUCGUGGGAGGGUGAGCCUUCUCAUGUAACUUUCCUUUGAUACAAGCACUGCAAGCACGAUCUUUGGCAAAGCUAACAUUUGUUAGUUCAUGGACAUGGUCCCCCUUGAGAAGACUUUGCAAAGAUCUCAUAUUGACAUGGGCUAAACGGCGAUGCCAAACCCACCCCACAUCAACUUUAGCCAUUAGGCAUGUCGCAGUCUUAGUGGGUCACUUCGAAAAGUUAAUCACAUAAAGACCGUUCUCGACAUGCCCAACAAAGGCUACUUUAAGAGUCUUGCCCCACAAGAGGGCCAUGGUAUCAAUAUCAAAGAAUGUGGCAAAACCCAUGAGUGCAAGUUGACGAACGGAAAGUAAAUUGUAUGCAAGGGACUCAACAAGCAUGACUUUCUCGAUCGUGAGAUCAUGAGAAAUGAUAACCUUGCCAAGACCCAAUACCUUAGAAGAUGAGGCAUCACCCCACUCGACAUUGGUGGGCAUAGAUGGGAUCUUGUGUACUUCCACCACCAAGUCCUUGCUUCGGGUCAUAUGAUUUGUGGCUCCACUAUCGAGCAACCAUGACCCCCCACUGGAAGCAAACACCUACAAGAGAUCAAUGCUUGGUUUUAGGUACCCAUUUUGUAAUGAGUCCUUUGAUGUUAGUAACAAGGGUCUUAGGAACCCAAAUAGACCAUUCAAUGUACUCAUAAGGAGAACCAACAAAUUUAGCAUAAACAUGCCCAUCACUGGCACGACACAACACUAAGAAGGGUUAAAGUCGCCGGCUUUGUUGGAAGGGGUGGCAUUGCCCUUUUUGACAUCACCACCCUUCACAUUGUUAUUCUUCUCCUUAGAGUCACCCUCUCCCUCUUUCACAAAAGUUUGCUUUAGAGGAUGAGGUCGUUUGGCCUUGUCAUUCUUCUUCUUGUUCUUGGACUUGGGUGCAAACCCAACUCCUUCCUUGGCCACAACUUCCUUUUGAUUGCUCAAAAGGUCAUUGAGAUUCUUCUCACCUUGUAUGCAAGACACAAGGCCUUUAUCAAGUUGCUCCUUCAACUUGGCAUUCUCCUCCACAAGAUGCACAUGCUCACAACACGGGUUAGUAGCAUUUGCAUUCUCAAUUAAGACCAUAUGAGGAAAAGUGGCUUUCUCCUUGGUUAGCUUCACUUGGAGUUGAUCAUGAGACUCCUUGAGGCUAGCAUGAGCACCCUUCAAGGCCUUGUGAGUGUUGUCAAGUAUAUAAAACUCCUCUUUGAGUUUAGCAUGUUCAACCCCAAGUUUAGCCUUCUCGGAAUCGAGCACACGAGAUACAACAAGAGCAUGAUCAAGAUCUUUCUUUAAUUUAGCAUGGUCAUCGUUGUGUGACUCCUCAAGAGCCAAACGAUGAACACGCUCUUCCUUAAGCGCAUUAGAGAGGUCCGGUAUCUCAUCGGCAUAGUCACGACUAUGACCUUCCAUCUUAGAGAUGGUUUCUUCAUGAGCCUCGAUCGUGUCAUUGGCUUCACCAAGUUGUUCCAAGAGAGCAACAAAGUGCUUCUUGGAUUUGCCCUUGAGCUUCCUCAUAAAAGACUCAAAUUCAUUUACUUCCUCAUUAGACCCAUCACUUUCAUCAAUGCAAUCCUUCAAGGAAGGAUUAGUAAUGAUGGUAGUUUUGAUGUUGGGGGUUACCUUGUUGGUGGCUUUGGCCAUGAUGCACUUGGCGGUGAUGUUCUCGUUGGGUGAAUCGAAGAGAGACACCCGUGGAGUUGUGGCAAUGGCAACGGAGGCCAUGGCCAUGGCUUCACCAUCUUCAUCAUCAUCAUCAUCAUCCUCAUUGUAUUCUUAUUGUGCCACCAACCCUUUGGUCGGAGUCUUCUUGGUGAAGUUGUACUUGUUAGGGAAGGACUUGGCUUUGUCUUUUCAGAUGAGCUUGCCACCAUUGUGUUCCCGCUUCUCGUAAGGGCACUCCGUAACAAAGUGGAUCACAUUGCCACAAUUGUAACAUGUUCUCACACAUUGCUUGCCCUUGAAGCCACUUGAGUUGUUCUUGUUGAAAUUUGGCCUUGAGUUCUUCUUGCUCCAAAAUUGCCUUGAAGCAAGAGCCAUGUGCUCAUGAUAGUCAUAUUUUGUAUCUUCGGGGUUGCUCUCCUCAUCUUCCUCUUCAUCCUAUUCUUCUACACUAGCCUUGGCCUUCAAGGCAAGGUUGGGCUUCUUUGCUCUUUGAGAACGCAACACCGCAUUGUCGGCGGUCUUGCCCAAGAUCCUCAUUGCCACAAACUCAUCCAACACUUCACUUGAGGACAAGGUGUGGAAGUCCGGCCUUUGACGGAUGACGGAGGACAUGGCCUUGUGGUAAGGCAUCAUGGCCUUGAGGAAUUUGUGCUUGAUCCAAUUAUCAUCUAUAUCCUUGCUCCCAUGAUCUCAGAGAGAGACCACGAGAGUGGUUAAUCUCCGGUAAAUCUCACGAGCUUCCUCAUCUUCAUUCAUUGCAAACUCAUCGGCUUCAUCUUGCACCACUUCAUAGUUGGAGCAUUGAAUGCUUGCGCUGUUGGAAAUAUGCCCUAGAGCAAUAAUAAAAGGGGUUAUUAUUAUAUUUCCUUGUUCAUGAUAAUUGUCUUUUAUUCAUGCUAUAAAUGUAUUAUCCGGAAAUCGUAAUACACGUGUGAAUACAUAGACCAUAACAUGUCCCUAGUGAGCCUCUAGUUGACUAGCUCGUUGGUCAACAGAUAGUCAUGGUUUCCUGACUAUGGACAUUAGAUGUCAUUGACAAUGGGAUCACAUCAUUAGGAGAAUGAUGUGAUGGACAAGAUCCAAUCCUAAGCAUAGCACAAGAUCGUGUAGUUCGUUUUGCUAGAGCUUUUUCAAUGUCAAGUAUCUCUUCCUUAGACCAUGAGAUCGUGUAACUCCCGGAUACCGUAAGAGUGCUUUGGGUGUACCAAACAUCACAACUUAACUGGGUGACUAUAAAGGUGCACUACAGGUAUCUCCAAAAGUGUCUGUUGGGUUGACACGGAUCGAGACUGGGAUUUGUCACUCCGUAUGACGGAGAGGUAUCUCUGGGCCCACUCGGUAAUGCAUCAUCAUAAUGAGCUCAAAGUGACCAAGUGUUUGGUCACGGGAUCAUGCAUUACGGUACGAGUAAAGUGACUUGCCGGUAACGAGACUGAACGAGGUAUUGGGAUACCGACGAUCGAGUCUCGGGCAUGUAACAUACCGAUUGACGAAGGGAAUUGUAUGCGGGGUUGUUCGAAUCCUCGAGAUCGUGGCUCAUCCGAUGAGAUCAUCGAGGAGCAUGUGGGAACCAACAUGGGUAUCCAGAUCCCGCUGUUGGUUAUUGCCCGAGAGCCGUCUCGGUCAUGUCUACGUGUCUCCCGAACCCGUAGGGUCUACACACUUAAGGUUCGGUGACGCUAGGGUUGUAUGAAUAUGAGUAUGCAGCAUACUGAAUGUUGUUCGGAGUCCCGGAUGAUAUCCCGGACGUCACGAGGAGUUCCGAAAUGGUUCGUAGGUGAAGAAUUAUAUAUAGGAAGUGAUAUUUCGGCCAUCGGGAAAGUUUCGGGGUCACCCGGUAUUGUACCGGGACCACCGAAAGGGUCCCGGGGGUCCACCGGGUGGGGCCACCCAUCCUGGAGGGCCCCAAGGGCCGAAGUGGGGAGGGGAACCAGCCCUUAGUGGGCUGGUGCGCCCCCUAGGCCCACCCCCUGCGCCUAGGGUUGAAACCCUAGGGUGGGGGGGCCCCCACUUGCCUUGGGGGGUACUCCACCCCCCUUGGCCGCCGCCCCCUUGGGAGAUUGGAUCUCCUAGGGCCGCCGCCCCCCCUGGGGGCCUAUAUAAAGGGAGGGGGGAGGGGGGCAGCCGCACCCUGAAGUCCUGGCGCCCCCCCCCCCCUGCUACACCUCUUCCUCCUCCGUCACGUGCUUGGCGAAGCCCUGCCGGAGUGCUGCUGUUCCACCACCACCACGCCGUUGUGCUGCUGCUGGAGCCAUCAUCAUCAACCUCUCCUUCCCCCUUGCUGGAUCAAGACGGAGGAGACGUUAUGCUGACCGUACGUGUGUUGGACGCGGAGGUGCCGUCCGUUCAGCGCUAGGAUCUCCGGUGAAAGGAUCACGACGAGAAUGACUACUUCAACCCCGUUCUUUUGAACGCUUCCGCGCGAUCUACAAAGUGGUAUGUAGAUGCAAUAUCUCUCCCAUGACUCGUUACUUAGAUGAACUCAUAGAUGGAUCUUGGUGAAACCGUAGGAAAAAUUUUAAUUUUCUGCAACGUUCCCCAACAGUGGCAUCAUGAGCUAGGUCUAUGCGUAGUUCUCUAUUGCACGAGUAGAACACAAUUUUGUUGUGGGCGUAGAUCUUGUCAACUUGCUUGCCGCUACUAGUCUUAUCUUGCUUCAGCGGUAUUGUGGGAUGAAGCGGCCCGGACCAACCUUACACGUACGCUUACGUGAGACCAGUUCCACCGACUGACAUGCACUAGUUGCAUAAGGUGGCUGGCGGGUGUCUGUCUCUCCCACUUUAGUUGGAGCGGAUUCGAUGAAAAGGGUCCUUAUGAAGGGUAAAUAGAAGUUGACAAGAUCACGUUGUGGUUAUUCGUAGGUAAGAAAACGUUCUUGCUAGAACCCAAUUGCAGCCACGUAAAAGAUGCAACAACAAUUAGAGGAUGUCUAACUUGUUUUUGCAGUAAUUGUCAUGUGAUGUGAUAUGGCCAGAAGUUGUGAUGAAUGAUGAAUGAUAUAUUGUGAUGUAUGAGAUCAUGUUCUUGUAAUAGGAAUCACGACUUGCAUGUCGAUGAGUAUGACAACCGGCAGGAGCCAUAGGAGUUGUCUUUAUUUUUUGUAUGACCUGCGUGUCAUUGAAGAACGCCAUGUAAAUUACUUUACUUUAUUGCUAAACGCGUUAGCCAUAGAAGUAGAAGUAGUCGUUGGCGUGACAACUUCAUGAAGACACAAUGAUGGAGAUCAUGAUGAUGGAGAUCAUGGUGUCAUGCCGGUGACGAAGAUGAUCAUGGAGCCCCGAAGAUGGAGAUCGAAGGAGCUAUAUGAUAUUGGCCAUAUCAUGUCACUACUAUAUAAUUGCAUGUGAUGUUUAUUAUGUUUUAUGCAUCUUGUUUACUUAGAAUGGCGGUAGUAAAUAAGAUGAUCCCUUGUAAUAAUUUCAAGAAAGUGUUCCCCCUAACUGUGCACCGUUGCUAAAGUUCGUCGUUUCGAAGCACCACGUGAUGAUCGGGUGUGAUAGAUCCUUACGUUCACAUACAACGGGUGUAAGACAGAUUUACACAUGCAGAACACUUAGGGUUAACUUGACGAGCCUAGCAUGUACAGACAUGGCCUCGGAACACAAGAGACCGAAAGGUCGAACAUGAGUCAUAUAGAAGAUACGAUCAACAUGGAGGUGUUCACCGAUGAUGACUAGUCCGUCUCACGUGAUGAUCGGACACGGCCUAGUCGACUCGGAUCGUGUAACACUUAGAUAACUAGAGGGAUGUCUGAUCUGAGUGGGAGUUCAUUAAAUAAUUUGAUUAGAUGAACUUAAUUAUCAUGAACUUAGUCUAAAACUUUUGCAAAAUAUGUCUUGUAGAUCAAAUGGCCAACGCUCAUGUCAACAUGAACUUCAACGCGUUCCUAGAGAAAACCAAGCUGAAAGAUGAUGGCAGCAACUAUUCGGACUGGGUCCGGAACCUGAGGAUCAUCCUCAUAGCUGCCAGGAAACAAUAUGUCCUAGAAGGACCGCUAGGUGAUGCACCCGUCCCGGAGAAGCAAGACAUUAUGAAUGCUUGGCAGACUCGUGUUGAUGAUUACUCCCUCGUUCAGUGCGGCAUGCUUUACAGCUUAGAACCGGGGCUCCAAAAGCGUUUUGAGCAACACGGAGCAUAUGAGAUGUUCGAGGAGCUGAAACUAGUUUUCCAAGUUCAUGCCCGGGUCGAGAGAUAUGAAGUCUCUGACAAGUUCUAUAGUUGUAAGAUGGAGGAAAAUAGUUCUGUCAGUGAGCAUAUACUCAAAAUGUCUGGGUUGCACAACCGCCUGUCCCAGCUAGACAUUAACCUCCCGGAUGAGGCGGUCAUUGACAGAAUCCUUCAGUCGCUCCCACCAAGCUACAAGAGCUUUGUGAUGAACUACAAUAUGCAGGGGAUGGUGAAGACCAUUCCUGAAGUAUUUUCAAUGCUGAAGUCAGCAGAGGUUGAAAUCAAGAAAGAACAUCAAGUGUUGAUGGUCAAUAAGACCACUAAGUUCAAGAAGGGAAAGGGUAAGAAGUACUUCAAGAAGGACGGCAAAGAUGUUGCCGCGCCCGGUAAGCUAGUUGCCGGGAAGAAGUCAAAGAAUGGACCCAAGCCUGAAACUGAGUGCUUUUAUUGCAAGGGGAAGGGUCACUUGAAGCGGAACUGUCCCAAAUACUUAGCAGACAAGAAGGCCAGCAACACUAAAGGUAUAUUUGAUAUACAUGUAAUUGAUGUGUACCUCACCAGUACUCGUAGUAACUCCUGGGUAUUUGAUACCGGUGUCGUUGCUCACAUUUGUAACUCAUAGCAGGAGCUGCGGAAUAAGCGGAGACUGGCAAAGGACGAGGUGACGAUGCGCGUCGGGAAUGGUCCCAAGGUCGAUGCGAUCGCCGUCGGCAUGCUACCUCUACAUUUACCUACGGGAUUAGUUUUAAACCUCAAUAAUUGUUAUUUAGUUCCAAGUUUGAGCAUGAACAUUGUAUCUGGAUCUCGUUUGAUACGAGAUGGCUACUCAUUUAAAUCCGAGAAUAAUGGUUGUUCUAUUUAUAUGAGAGAUAUGUUUUAUUGUCAUGCCCCAAUGGUCAAUGGUUUAUUCUUAAUGAAUCUCGAACGUAAUGUUACACAUAUUCAUAGUGUGAAUACCAAAAGAUGUAAAGUUGAUAACGAUAGUCCCACAUACUUGUGGCACUGCCGCCUUGGUCACAUUGGUGUCAAGCGCAUGAAGAAGCUCCAUGCUGAUGGACUUUUAGAGUCUCUCGAUUAUGAAUCAUUUGACACAUGCGAACCAUGCCUCAUGGGCAAAAUGACCAAGACCCCGUUCUCCGGAACAAUGAAGUGAGCAACCAACUUGUUGGAAAUCAUACAUAUCGAUGUGUGCGGUCCAAUGAGCGUUGAGGCUCGCAGAGGAUAUCGUUAUGUUCUCACUCUCACUAAUGACUUGAGUAGAUAUGGGUAUGUCUACUUGAUGAAACACAAGUCUGAGACCUUUGAAAAGUUCAAGGAAUUUCAGAAUGAAGCAGAGAAUCAACGUGAUCGAAAGAUAAAAUUCUUACGAUCGGAUCGUGGAGGAGAAUAUUUAAGUCACGAGUUUGGUACACACUUAAGAAAAUGUGGAAUCAUUUCACAACUCACGCCGCCUGGAACACCUCAGCGUAACAGUGUGUCCGAACGUCAUAAUCGCACUCUACUGGAUAUGGUGCGAUCUAUGAUGUCUCUUACCGAUUUACCGCUAUCAUUUUGGGGAUACGCUCUAGAGACAGCUACAUUCACUUUAAAUAGGGCACCGUCUAAAUCCGUUGAGACGACACCAUAUGAAUUAUGGUUUGGGAAGAAACCUAAGCUGUUGUUUCUAAAAGUUUGGGGAUGCGAUGCUUAUGUCAAGAAACUUCAACCUGAAAAGCUUGAACCCAAGUCGGAAAAAUGCGUCUUCAUAGGAUACCCUAAAGAAACUAUUGGGUAUACCUUCUACUUAAGAUCCGAAGGCAAGAUCUUUGUUGCCAAGAACGGAUCCUUUCUGGAAAAAGAGUUUCUCUCGAAAGAAGUAAGUGGGAGGAAAGUAGAACUCAAUGAAGUACUACCUCUUGAACAGGAUAGUAGUGCAGCUCAGGAAAAUGUUCCUGUGAUGCCUACACCAACUGAAGAGGAAAACAAUGAUGAUGAUCAAGGUACUUCGGAUCAAGUUGCUACUGAACUUCGUAGGUCCACAAGGACACGUUCCGCACCAGAGUGGUACGGCAACCCUGUCCUGGAAAUCAUGUUGUUGGACAACGGUGAACCUUCGAACUAUGAAGAAGCAAUGGCGGGCCCAGAUUCCAACAAAUGGCUAGAAGCCAUGAAAUCCGAGAUAGAAUCCAUGUAUGAAAACAAAGUAUGGACUUUGACUGACUUGCCCGAUGAUCGGCGAGCGAUAGAAAACAAAUGGAUCUUUAAGAAGAAGACGGACGCGGAUGGUAAUAUCACCAUCUAUAAAGCUCGACUUGUCGCUAAGGGUUAUCGGCAAGUUCAAGGGAUUGACUAUGAUGAGACUUUCUCUCCCAUAGCGAAGCUUAAGUCCGUCCGAAUCAUGUUAGCAAUUGCCGCAUACUAUGAUUAUGAGAUAUGGCAGAUGGACGUCAAAACGGCAUUCCUUAACGGGCAUCUUAAGGAAGAACUGUAUAUGAUGUAGCCGGAGGGUUUUGUCGAUCCUAAGAAUGCUAACAAAGUAUGCAAGCUCCAGCGAUCCAUUUAUGGGCUGGUGCAAGCAUCUCGGAGUUGGAACAUUCGCUUUGAUGAGAUGAUCAAAGCAUUUGGGUUUACGCAGACUUAUGGAGAAGCCUGCGUUUACAAGAAAGUGAGUGGGAGCUCUGUAGCAUUUCUCAUAUUAUAUGUAGAUGACAUAUUUUUGAUGGGAAAUGAUAUAGAAUUCUUGGACAACAUUAAGGCCUACUUGAAUAAGUGUUUUUCAAUGAAGGACCUUGGAGAAGCUGCUUAUAUAUUAGGCAUCAAGAUCUAUAGAGAUAGAUCGAGACGCCUCAUAGGUCUUUCACAAAGCACAUACCUUGAUAAGAUUUUGAAGAAGUUCAAAAUGGAUCAGUCCAAGAAGGGGUUCUUGCCUGUAUUGCAAGGUGUGAGAUUGAGCUCGGCUCAAUGCCCGACCACGGCAAAAGAUAAAGAAGAGAUGAGUGUCAUCCCCUAUGCUUCAGCCAUAGGAUCUAUUAUGUAUGCCAUCUUGUGUACCAGACCUGAUGUAAACCUUGCCGUAAGUUUGGUAGGAAGGUACCAAAGUAAUCUCGGCAAGGAACACUGGAUAGCGGUCAAGAAUGUCCUAAAGUACCUGAAAAGGACGAAGGACAUGUUUCUCGUUUAUGGAGGUGAUGAAGAGCUCGUCGUAAAGGGUUACGUCGACGCUAGCUUCGACACAGAUCUGGAUGACUCUAAGUCACAAACCGGAUACGUGUAUAUGUUGAAUGGUGGAGUAGUAAGUUGGUGCAGCUGCAAGCAGAGCGUCGUGGAGGGAUCUACAUGUGAAGCGGAGUACAUGGCAGCCUCGGAGGCAGCGCAUGAAGCAAUUUGGGUUAAGGAGUUCAUCACCGACCUAGGAGUCAUACCCAAUGCGUCAGGGCCGAUCAAACUCUUCUGUGACAACACUGGAGCUAUUGCCCUUGCUAAGGAGCCCAGGUUUCACAAGAAGACCAGGCACAUCAAGCGUCGUUUCAACUCCAUCCGUGAAAAUGUUCAAGAUGGAGACAUAGAUAUUUGCAAAGUACAAACAGAUCUGAAUGUCGCAGAUCCGUUGACUAAACCUCUCUCGCGAGCAAAACAUGAUCAACACCAGAAAUCUAUGGGUGUUCGAUUCAUCACAAUGUAACUAGAUUAUUGACUCUAGUGCAAGUGGGAGACUGUUGGAAAUAUGCCCUAGAGGCAAUAAUAAAAGGGUUAUUAUUAUAUUUCCUUGUUCAUGAUAAUUGUCUUUUAUUCAUGCUAUAACUGUAUUAUCCGGAAAUCGUAAUACACCUGUGAAUACAUAGACCAUAACAUGUCCCUAGUGAGCCUCUAGUUGACUAGCUCGUUGGUCAACAGAUAGUCAUGGUUUCCUGACUAUGGACAUUAGAUGUCAUUGACAACGGGAUCACAUCAUUAGGAGAAUGAUGUGAUGGACAAGACCCAAUCCUAAGCAUAGCACAAGAUCGUGUAGUUCGUUUUGCUAGAGCUUUUUCAAUGUCAAGUAUCUCUUCCUUAGACCAUGAGAUCGUGUAACUCCCGGAUACCGUAAGAGUGCUUUGGGUGUACCAAACGUCACAACGUAACUGGGUGACUAUAAAGGUGCACUACAGGUAUCUCCAAAAGUGUCUGUUGGGUUGACACGGAUCGAGACUGGGAUUUGUCACUCCGUAUGACGAAGAGGUAUCUCUGGGCCCACUCGGUAAUGCAUCAUCAUAAUGAGCUCAAAGUGACCAAGUGUUUGGUCACGGGAUCAUGCAUUACAGUACGAGUAAAGUGACUUGCCGGUAACGAGACUGAACGAGGUAUUGGGAUACCGACGAUCGAGUCUCGGGCAUGUAACGUACCGAUUGACGAAGGGAAUUGUAUACGGGGUUGUUCGAAUCCUCGACAUCGUGGUUCAUCCGAUGAGAUCAUCGAGGAGCAUGUGGGAACCAACAUCCAGAUCCCGCUGUUGGUUAUUGCCCGAGAGCCGUCUCGGUCAUGUCUACGUGUCUCCCGAACCCGUAGGCUCUACACACUUAAGGUUCGGUGACGCUAGGGUUGUAUGAAUAUGAGUAUGCAGCAUACCGAAUGUUGUUCGGUGUCCCGGAUGAGAUCCCGGACGUCAUGAGGAGUUCCGGAAUGGUCCGAGGUGAAGAAUUAUAUAUAGGAAGUGAUAUUUCGGCCAUCGGGAAAGUUUCGGGGUCACCCGGUAUUGUACCGGGACCACCGGAAGGGUCACGGGGGUCCACCGGGUGGGGCCACCCAUCCCAGAGGGCCCCAAGGGCCGAAGUGGGGAGGGGAACCAGCCCUUAGUGGGCUGGUGCGCCCCCCUAGGCCCACCCCCUACGCCUAGGGUUGAAACCCUAGGGUGGGGGGGGCGCCCCACUUGCCUUGGGGGGUACUCCACCCCCCUUGGCCGCCGCCCCCUUGGGAGAUUUGAUCUCCCAGGGCUGGCGCCCCCCUGGGGGCCUAUAUAAAGGGAGGGGGGAGGGGGGCAGCCGCACCCUGAAGUCCUGGCGCCCCCCCCCCCUGCUACACCUCUUCCUCCUCCGUCACGUGCUUGGCGAAGCCCUGCCGGAGUGCUGCUGUUCCACCACCACGCCGUUGUGCUGCUGCUGGAGCCAUCAUCAUCAACCUCUCCUUCCCCCUUGCUGGAUCAAGACGGAGGAGACGUUACGCUGACCGUACGUGUGUUGAACGCGGAGGUGCCGUCCGUUCAGCGCUAGGAUCUCCGGUGAUAGGAUCACGAGGAGAACGACUACUUCAACCCCGUUCUUUUGAACGCUUCCGCGCGAUCUACAAAGUGGUAUGUAGAUGCAAUCUCUCUCCCAUGACUCGUUGCUUAGAUGAACUCAUAGAUGGAUCUUGGUGAAACCACAGGAAAAAUUUUAAUUUUCUGCAACGUUCCCCAACAUGUGAUUCCCUUGUAAAGAGAAACAACAUUGUGCCAUGCUACCUUGGCCAGGGUGGACAGACAGAGUUGUGCAAUGUCUUCGGAUGGAAUUGCGUCUUGGAUGAUGAAGAGGGCAUUCUCAUUGAAUUGAUGAUCCGCGGCUUCUCUCGGGGUAAAGUUGCUUGGGUCAUGCGGAUAGAAACCUUGCUCAAUAAUUCUCCAAGAUUAGUAUUAACAUGGUUUAAAUGACCUUUAAAGCGAUAGACCCAAGAGUCAAAAUCCUCAUUCUUCACAAUCUUAGGAGGAGAACCCACAUGAUUUAAAUGUGUGUAGGGAACUAGUCCUCCAUAAGUAAGAGGAGGUUCAACAUGGGCAAAGAUUCCGCUACCAUUUCUAUCACUAGAUAAAGGAACUUUAUCACUAGAAGCUUCCCCCCUUAUUGGAGUUGGCAUCCGCCACCUUGUUAGUGGGAGCGGCCACUUCCAAGGGUGUGGUGGAUAAUUUAAGACCAUCAAGGAACUCUUUGAACAUGCCUUUCACCUCAGUCGUCAUGGACGUUUUCAAUGUGUCCAAAACCACAUUGAAUUCCUCGCGUGAGACCGGGGAUCCCCCAUCGGCCGUAGACGAAGAAGGAUUCACACCGGGGUACUCCUCACUGUAUAUGGUGUCAACCAUACUCUUAGGACGGUAAAGCCCUUAAUUAAGAGAUGAGGCUCUGAUACCAAUUGAAAGGAUCGAUAUAGUUGACUAGAGGGGGGUGAAUAGGCAACUAAUAGUUUUUAGCUUUUCUUUACUAAACUUUGCAUCAAGGUAGGUUGUCUAGAUAUGCAACUAGGUGAGCAACCUAUAUGAUGCAACAACAAUAAGCACACAAGCAAGCAAAGGAUAUAACACAAUAAAGCUUGCACAAGUAAAGGUGAGAGAUAACCAAAAGCGGAACCGAUGGAGAUGAGGAAGUGUUACCGAAGUCCCUUCCCUUUGAGGGGAAGUACGUCUCCGUUGGAGCGGUGUGGAGGCAUAAUGCUCCCCAAGAAGCCACUAGGGCCACCGUAUUCUCCUCACGCCCUCACACAAUGCGAGAAGUCGUGAUUCCACUAUUGGUGCCCUUAGAGGCAGUGACCGAACCUUUAAAAAAGGUUGGGGCAAUCUCCACAACUGAAUUGGAGGCCCCCAAUGACACCACAAAGCUUCACCACAAUGGACUAUGGCUCCGCGGUGACCUCAAUCGUCUAUGGUGAUCAAACACCCAAGAGUAACAAGAUAUGCAAGGGAUUAGUGGGGAGGGAAUCAAAUUUCUCUUGGUGGAAGUGUAGAUCGAGGUCUUCUUAACCAAUCCCUAGAGAAUCAACAAGUUUGAUUGGCUAGGGAGGGAGAUCAGGCGAAAAUGGAGCUUAGAGCAUCAAUGGAGCUUAGAGGUGGAAGAGGUAGUCAACUCAGAGAAUAAGACUCCCCUUUUAUAGUCAAGGGACAAAUCCAACCGUUAUCCACCAACUCAUCCUGCGACACGCGGUACUACCGCAAGGGCCUGCGGUACUACCACGGAGAACUGCGGUACUACCGCUGGCACGACAGGGGCCAAGACCAGUCCUGAUGUGCUAAGGCAGGGAGCGGUAGAACCGCUGGCGCGAUACUACCGCGCCCCCUUGCGGUACUACCGCAAGGCAGGAAUAGUCUAGGCUGAGAAGGCACAGACUUAUAAAAAUACAUCUGUCACUUCUCCCAUUGAGUUUUGAUCUAUGCAAAAAUCCGACACGGUACUACCGCAAGCCUGGAUCGAUACUACCAUGUAGGGCGUGGAUGUAAAAAAUUACAUCCGCCCCUACUUCCGCUCAUGCUAUUGUGCCUGGCCAAAGCUCACGGUACUACCGCGCCCAUGGAGCGGUACUACCGCGUAGGGUGCGGAUGUAAAAAAUUACAUCCGCCCCUACUACCGCUCGAGCAGCUGCGCCUGGCCUGAGGCCACGGUACUAUCACUCCCAAGGAGCGGUACUACCAUGAGCACCUAUGGUACUACCGCGCUAGUGGCCAGUACUACCGCAAGGGCCUGCGGUACUACCGCUCCGGAGAGCAGUACUAUCGCCUACCUCAGUUCAGUAACACUAGGAGUCCUUCAUUUUGCAGAGACACGGAGAGACGGAGGAUGCUCCAAAGAUCCAAAGGAAAGGUGGUGCAAAAAGGAACAGACGUGAACGUGUUGAUUCCACCCAAACCUUUCCAACGCGGACCCCCUCUUAAUAGUACGGCUUUCCUACGACUCAAAUCCACUGAAAAGAAACAUAGAGAAACGCCGUCUUCAAUAGUAUUCGAGGGGCACCAAAUCGUCUUGUGCUUAGACAUGAUAUAUCUGAAAUGCUCAUAUGCACACGAUUAGUCCGCAAAAGCAUUGUCAUCAAUCACCAAAACUACUAAGAGAUAAAUAUGCCCUUACAACCUUGCAUCUUUUGGCUUCAAUACUAUGAAUAUGUGUAUCAUCACUAUCGAGAUUCAACAAAAAUAGACCACUUAACAAGGGUGCAUGACUAUAAAAGAUAUUACUCAUAUAAAUAGAACAACCAUUAUUCUCUGAUUCAAAUGAAUAACAGUCUCGCAUCAAAUAAGAUCCAGAUAUGAUGUUCAUGCUCAACGCUGGCACCAAAUAAAAAUUAUUCAGGUCUAAAACUAAUCCCGAUUCCCGAAGGUAGAUGUAGAGGUAGCGUGCCGACUGCGAUCACAUCGACUUUGGAACCAUUUCCCACGUGCAUCGUCACCUCGUCCUUAGCCAAUCUUCUCUUAAUCCGUAGCCCCUAUUUCGAGUUGAAAAUAUGAGCAACAGAACCAGUAUCAAAUACACAAGCGCUACUGCGAGCAUUAGUUAAGUACACAUCAAUAACAUGUAUAUCAAAUAUACCUUUCACUUUGCCAUCCUUCUUACCCGCCAAAAACUUGGGGUAGUUUCACUUCCAGUGACCAGUCCCUUUGAAGUAGAAGCACUCAGUUUCAGGCUUAGGUCCAGACUUGGGUUUCUUCUCUUGAGCAGCAACCUUUUUGCCGUUCUUCUUGAAGUUCCCCUUCUUUCCUUUGCCCUUUUUCUUGAAACUAGUGGUCUUGUUGACCAUCAACACUUGAUGCUCCUUUUUCAUUUUUACCUCCGCAGCCUUGUUCAUCCCUUGCAUAUUAUAGUUCAUCAUGAAGCCUUUAUAGCUUGGUGGCAGUGAUUGAAGAACUCUGUUAAUGACACUAUCAUCAGGAAGAUUAACUCCCAGUUGAGUCAAGUGGUUAUGGUACCCAAACAUUCUGAGUAUGUGUUCACUGACAGAAUUAUUCUCCUCCAUUUUGCAGCUGUAGAACUUGUUGGAGACUUCAUAUCUCUCAACUCGGGAAUUUGCUUGAAAUAUUAACUUCAACUCUUCGAACAUCUCAUAUGCUCCAUGACGUUCAAAAUGUCUUUGAAGUCCCGAUUCUAAGUUGUAAAGCAUGGCACACUAAACUAUCGAGUAGUCAUCAACACGCGCAUGUCAGGCAUUCACAAUGUCUGCAGUUGUGGGCGCGGGUGGUACACCUAACCGUGCUUCCAGGACAUAAUUCUUCUGUGCGGCAAUGAGGAUAAUCCUCAAGUUACGGACCCGGUCCGUGUAGUUGCUGCCAUCAUCUUUCAACUUAGCUUUCUCUAGGAACGCAUUAAAAUUCAAAGGAACGGUAGCAGAGGCCAUUGAUCUACAACAACAUAGUCAUGCAAAAUACUAUCAGGUACUAAGUUCAUGAUAAAUUAAAGUUCAGUUAAUCAUAUUACUUAAGAACUCCCACUUAGAUAGACAUCCCUCUGAUCAUCUAAGUGAUCACGUGAUCCAAAUCAACUAAACCAUGUUCGGUCAACACGUGAGAUGGAGUAGUUUUCAAUGGUGAAAAUCACUAUGUUGAUCAUAUCUACUAUAUGAUUCACGCUCGACCUUUCGGUCUCAGUGUUCCGAGGCCAUAUCUACAUAUGCUAGGUUCGUCAAGUUUAACCCGAGUAUUCUAUGUGUGCAAAACUGGCUUGCACCCGUUGUAUGUGAACGUAGAGCUUAUCAAACCUGAUCAUCACGUGGUGUCUCGGCACGACAAACUGUAGCAACGGUGCAUACUCAGGGAGAACACUUGUACCUUGAAAUUUAGUAAGGGAUCAUCUUAUAAUGCUACCGUCGUACUAAGCAAAAUAAGAUGCAUAAAAGAUAAACAUCACAUGCAAUCAAAAUAUGUGACAUGAUAUGGCCAUCAUCAUCUUGUGCUCAUGAUCUCCAUCACCGAAGCAUCGUCAUGAUCUCCAUCGUCACCGGCGCGACACCUUGAUUUCCAUUGUAUCAUCAUUGUCGUCUUGCCAACUAUUGUUACCACGACUAUCGCUAUCGUUUAGUGAUAAAGUAAAACAAUUGCAUGGCAAUUGCAUUGCAUACAAUAAAGCGACAACCAUAUGGCUCCUGCCAGUUGCUAAUAACUUUUUUCUAAAACAUGAUCAUCUCAUACAACAAUUUAUAUCACAUCAUGCCUUGACCAUAUCACAUCACAGCAAGCCCUGCAAAAACAAGUUAGACGUACUCUACUUUGUUGUUGCAAGUUUCACAUGGCUGCUACGGGCUUCUAGCAAGAACCGUUCUUACCUACGCAUCAAAACCACAACGAUUUUUUGUCAAGUGUGCUGUUUUAACCUUCAACAAGGGCCGGGCGUAUCCAACCUCGGUUCAAGUAAAGUUGGAGAAACAGACACUCACUAGCCACCUGUGUGCGAAGCACGUCGGUAGAACCAGUCUCGUGUAAGCGUACGCGUAAUGUCGGUCUGAGCCGCUUCAUCCAACAAUACCGCCGAAUCAAAGUAUGACAUGCUAGUAAGCAGUAUGACUAUUAUCGCCCACAACUCUUUGUGUUCUACUCGUGCAUCUAACAUCUACGCAUAGACCUGACUCGGAUGCCUCUGUUGGGGAACGCAGUAAUUUCAAAAAAAAUCCUACGAACACGCAAGAUCUAUCUAGGUGAUGCAUAGCAACGAGAGGGGAUAGUGUUGUCUGCAUACCCUCGUAGACCGAAAGUGGAAGCGUUAUGACAACGCGAUUGAUGUAGUCGUACGUCUUCAUGAUCCGACCGAUCCUAGCACCGAAGAUACGGCACCUCUGCGAUCUGCACACGUUCAGCUCGGUGACGACCCACGAACUCUAGAUCCAGCUGAGGUCGAGGAAGAGUUUCAUCAGCACGAUGGCGUGGUGACGGUGAUUAUGAAGUUACCGGCGCAGGGCUUCGCCUAAGCACUACGACUAUAUGACCGAGGUGGAAAUCUGUGGAGGGGGGCACCGCACACGGCUAAAAGAUCAACUUGAUCAACUAGUGUGUCUAUAGGGUGCCCCCAUCCCCCGUAUAUAAAGGAGUGGAGGAGGGGAGGGCCGGCCCUCUUUGGCGUACCCAAGGGGGGGAGUCCUACUCCCAGUAGGAGUAGGUUUCCCCCCUUCCCUAGUUGGAGUAGGAGAAGAAGGAAGAGGGAGAGGGAGAGAAGGAAAGGAGGGCCGGCCCCCUUCCCAAUUCGGAUUGGGCUUGGAGGAGGGGGGCGCUCCCACCUUGGUCGCCUCCUCCUCUCUUCCACCAUGGCCCAUUAAGGCCCAUUAACUCCCCGGGGGGUUCCGGUAACCUCCCGAUACUCCGAAAAAAUGCCCGAACCACCCGGAACCUUUCUGGUGUCCAAACAUAGCCUUCCAAUAUAUCAAUCUUUAUGUAUCGACCAUUUCGAGACUCCUCGUCAUGUCCGUGAUCACAUCUGGGACUCUGAGCAACCUACAGUACAUCAUAUCACAUAAACUCAUAAUACCAAUCGUCAUCGAACGUUAAGCGUGCGGACCCUACGGGUUCGAGAACUAUGUAGACAUGACCGAGACACAUCUCCGACCAAUAACCAAUAGCGGAACCUGGAUGCUCAUGUUGGUUCCUACAUAUUCUACGAAGAUCUUUAUCGAUCAAACUGCAUAACAACAUAUGUUGUUCCCUUUGUCGUCGGUAUGUUACUUGCCCGAGAUUCGAUCACCGGUAUCAUCAUACCUAGUUCAAUCUCGCUACUGGCAAGUCUCUAUACUCAUUAUGUAAUACUACAUCUCGCAACUAACUCAUUAGUUACAAUGCUUGCAAGGUUUAUAGUGAUGAGUAUUACCGAGAGGGCCCAGAGAUACAUCUCUGAAACACGGAGUGACAAAUCAUAAUCUCGAUCUAUGCCAACCCAACAAACACCUUCGGAGACACCUGUAGAGCACCUUUAUAAUCACCCAUUUAUAUUGUGACGUCUGGUAGCACACAAAGUGUUCCUCCGGUAUUCGGGAGUUGCAUAAUCUCAUAGUCUGAGAAACUUGUAUAAGUCAUGAAGAAAGCAGUAGCAAUAAAACUGACACGAUCAUAAUGCUAAGCUAACGGAUGGGUCAUGUCCAUCACAUCAUUCUCCUAAUGAUGUGAUCCCGUUCAUCAAAUGACAACACAUGUAUAUGGUUAGGAAACAUAACCAUCUUUUGAUUAACGAGCUAGUCAAGUAGAGGCAUACUAGGGACUAUGUGUUUUGUCUAUGUAUUCACACAUGUACUAAGUUUCCGGUUAAUACAAUUCUAGCAUGAAUAAUAAACAUUUAUCAUGAAAUAAGGAAAUGAAUAAUAACUUUAUUAUUGCCUCUAGGGCAUAUCCUUCAUAUAAGAGUUCCCGAACUCAACAUCUUCGCUCUUUCUUAACUGUCUACCUGAAACUUGAAGGAAUUUCACCAUUGCCCUAAGUCAAAUUGGCAGUUGUCUUAACCUAUUUUCCAGAUAAUAUUUUACAUGCCCAUAGCUAUAACACUUUGCCCCCUUUUGCCCUUGCUAUCCACAUUUUCCAUGUGCACCUAACAUCAUAGAAUAUAUGACCAUGUGCUCUUCAAGCUUUUCACAAUUUAGACUUUCCAUCACUUUCUUAGAUUCUCCAUGGUCAACUCUCGUCCAUCUCCCGGUACCGAUAAACCUAGUCAACAGCUUGAAUUUGGUACUCGCCAACACUGCAUCAGCACCCUCCGCACACUUUUUCUGACCAUCAGUGCCUUGGUCUAUUACCGUGUCCCAUGCUUAUCGCUCACCCCAUCGCUAUUACCGUGUUGAGCCUCUACUGUCCCGGCUAAGUCUCCAGGGCCGCGAACCAAUACCACUCAACCCUCAGUACGAGAGAACCAUCGAUCAUUAUCGACCGAUGCAAAGUUUCACAUUUCCAUCAGACCACUAGGCCCUAUCGAAACUACAUGUCAUUCGCUUUAUCUGGUGAAAUAGGCUUCGACUCGUCGAGCUCUUACGUCGUAGCUCCUCCAUCAGCACCGAGUGAAAUCUUCUGUUAGACUCCAACUCCACCUUCAACAUGACUCCAUGGUAGAUGACCAGCCCACCCACGGGCCCCCGUCGACUACAAGCUCCCAUGUAGACCAUCUUGAAUCAACCCUGUGCCAUAGUCUUGUUAAAGCACACAAGUCCUCGGGCAUGUGGCACGUGUUUCCAUGCCUCAAAAGUCGGUCACCAUCGACAUCACACUCAUAUGUCAUUGUCGUUGAAAUCAUUGCCAUCUUCUAUUCUGUCCAACCUUGCAUCGAUUCGUAAGAAUGUCUAGUCCAGCCCAAUAGAAAUUGUCCGACAAGCAAACUCCACCUCACGCCGUAUCAGCAUACCACAUCAACAUACAUUGCUCGACGACAUGUACAGUAUGAUCCUCCACAACACGUUACAGGCUCCUCCAAACCUUAAAUGUGCAUCACCAUCCUCUCUAUAUGUGCUCCAAGCCCCUUUGCAAAUCGGAACAAAAGAAAAGAAAACCAUCUGUACGGAUGCGGCAAUUUGGCUCCAGGGGUCAGAUGAGCGCGGGCAUAAACAGUAAAAUUGCUAAAAAUAGUAAAAAAAAACUGAAAAUUUUGCAAGCAAGAUGCUCAAAUGCGUGAUCUCCAUGAAAUUGAUAAAGUUUGGACAUUCGAGGAGAUCUUAGCAAAAAAGAUAAAUUUCGGGUGUCUGAGAAACUUUUAAAAAUCACAUUGUUUAAGCCCAAUUUUGUCUUUUUGCCCUGAGCUCUACAAAUGUCCAAACUUUCAAAAAAAACACGGGUUUCACGCAUAGGAGCGUCUUGCACCACAAAAAAAAUUUGGAUUUUUUUAUUAUUCUUUACAUUUUAUUUCUCAUAGGGUGCAUAUGAGGUCGGGUUCCGGAUAGAAUUGCCGUGCAUGUACACAAUUUCUUCUUGUCCAUCAGUUGCGCCAGCUUCACGUACAUCCAUGUAUCUUUUUCCCGAAUUCCCUAUACAACGCUCACUGCAAUGUAAUGUGGCUAAAACACACACGGAGGCGCGAGCGAGUGACUGAGUGGGCCUGCCCAUUUUCUUAGCAUAGUGUUUAUUUGUACAGUUUUUGUACCGGUUUUUGGGACCAUUCUAGAAGGUUUCUGAACCUUCUUUUCUUUUCGUUUCUUUUACUAGUUUUCUGAAUAUUCUUUCUUUUCUCUUUCGUUGUUUCUGGAUUUUUUUCAUAAAUUAAUAUUUAAAAAAUGUUUGGAAUUUCAUUUUCCCUUUUUUAUUUCAUAAAUCUCAAAAAAUGUUCCCGUUAAAAAAACAGUUUUUCAAAAAAAUGUUCAUGGUCAUUAAUUUUUUGUUUAUGUUUUUUCUAUUCAACAUUUUCAAAAAAUGUUCAAAAUUAAAAAAACACAAAUUUAAAACAUUUUUCACAUUUUAAGAAAAGUUGCACUUAAAAUAUGCUUGAUCUACCACCAAAGAUAAUUCUUUAGAGUUUCACGGUGCUUACCAAUCAUAAAUACCAUCAUCUCCGGUGGCUGGCAACAGGAAUUAGGUAGUGAGAGGUCACGAGUUUACCCCUUGUGAUGGACCUUCAAGGGUCACUUUUGGUGGCCUAGAGCAGUGGCGGAGCUUAGUGGAGACCAACAGGGGCCAUGCCCCCCCCCCCUUAUUUUUUGCAUCCAUUGAAGAACAAGCUACAUCAUGAGCCUAAUUAGUGUUUAAACUACAAAUUAGCCCCUCCUUCCCUAUUAACUUGGUUCCUUUUGACUAAUGGCCCCCUCUUGAAUUAUUCUCAAGCUCCGCCACUGGCCUAGAGCACCCAAAGUGGUGCCUCCAGCCGUUACCACAUGUCAUGUGCUUGACGCUGCCUUUGGAUUUAUUUUUUAUUUUUCUGUAUGCGUUUCUGGUUUUUUGAUGGAUUUUUUUUACUUUUCUAUUUUCGCAUGGUUUUCCCUAGGUCUCGGAGAAAUGUAUUUUUUUCGUGGAAAAAAUAAGCUUAUCGUGGAGGCAUAUAUUUACUUCGAUGAACUGCGGUAAGCAUGGCGCAAUGGUGCUUCUUGUGCAAUCACAUAUUUUUUUUCCUUUCGGAAAUGAUAAAAAGUGAAAAACACGCAAUGGUGCUUCCUGCUCCGGGUUUUUCUUUGUCAUUCGAUUUUUACAGUUGCCUUUUUAUAUCNNNNNNNNNNNNNNNNNNNNNNNNNNNNNNNNNNNNNNNNNNNNNNNNNNNNNNNNNNNNNNNNNNNNNNNNNNNNNNNNNNNNNNNNNNNNNNNNNNNNNNNNNNNNNNNNNNNNNNNNNNNNNNNNNNNNNNNNNNNNNNNNNNNNNNNNNNNNNNNNNNNNNNNNNNNNNNNNNNNNNNNNNNNNNNNNNNNNNNNNNNNNNNNNNNNNNNNNNNNNNNNNNNNNNNNNNNNNNNNNNNNNNNNNNNNNNNNNNNNNNNNNNNNNNNNNNNNNNNNNNNNNNNNNNNNNNNNNNNNNNNNNNNNNNNNNNNNNNNNNNNNNNNNNNNNNNNNNNNNNNNNNNNNNNNNNNNNNNNNNNNNNNNNNNNNNUGCAGAAAAGUACGAUAUUUAGACGCACGGUUUAAGAUAAAACAUUUUGGAUAAAUGAAUCUAUGAAAAAGAAAAAAAUCCCAGUUGUGACAAGUGGUGCACAUGCAGUGCGCUACUUGUCAGCACCUGAGAAGGUGGGAGCGACCUUUGCCAGGGGUAAGUAAGUGAUUUCGGCAAUAUAGCAUCGCACGCUUGGCUACCAAUGGGCCGACCCAGUCGGGUUGUUGUCCCCAAAUGCGGUGCACGACAAUCGGAUGGAACGCGUGGGCGCGCUUAUGUCUCGCUUAUAGCAAGACAUAUGGCUGUCACGCGUGAAGAAGGCGCCAGAUUGGGCCGGCCCAGCACGCGGGAGGCCACAUGCCGUAAAAGCACUGGCUUUCACUAUUUUUUCAUUUUUAUUUCUUUAUUUAAUUUUAAUAUACUUCCAAAUAUUCUAAAUAUAUAUAUUUCAAAAAUCACUUUACAUAAUUGUUUUCUAAAAUGUUAAUCAUGCUUUAGGAAAAUGUUAGAUGAGUAUAGAGAAAUAUUGUUGAUGUAUAAAAAAAUGUAUAAUGUGUAUGAAGAAAAGUAAACGUAAAAAUAUAAGUGUUCAAAAAUAUUAUUCAUAUGUUUGGAAAUGGUUAAACAUGUAUAUAAAAUAUUUUUGAUGUACACAAAAAUAUAUGUUGUGUACGGAAAUAGUAGAUACCAAAAUGUAUAUUUUNNNNNNNNNNNNNNNNNNNNNNNNNNNNNNNNNNNNNNNNNNNNNNNNNNNNNNNNNNNNNNNNNNNNNNNNNNNNNNNNNNNNNNNNNNNNNNNNNNNNNNNNNNNNNNNNNNNNNNNNNNNNNNNNNNNNNNNNNNNNNNNNNNNNNNNNNNNNNNNNNNNNNNNNNNNNNNNNNNNNNNNNNNNNNNNNNNNNNNNNNNNNNNNNNNNNNNNNNNNNNNNNNNNNNNNNNNNNNNNNNNNNNNNNNNNNNNNNNNNNNNNNNNNNNNNNNNNNNNNNNNNNNNNNNNNNNNNNNNNNNNNNNNNNNNNNNNNNNNNNNNNNNNNNNNNNNNNNNNNNNNNNNNNNNNNNNNNNNNNNNNNNNNNNNNNNNNNNNNNNNNNNNNNNNNNNNNNNNNNNNNNNNNNNNNNNNNNNNNNNNNNNNNNNNNNNNNNNNNNNNNNNNNNNNNNNNNNNNNNNNNNNNNNNNNNNNNNNNCUGAAGAAAAAUGAGAAAGAAAAGAAGAACUGUUAAAAACAAGAAAGAGACAAAAAAUCAAAUAAAACAAAGGGAAAAAAAAGAAAACCAAGUAUAACAAAGAAAAAAGAAAUGCCGAUGAAAGACGGUGAAGAAAUAAGAAGAUCAAACAAGCAUCCCGUCGUCUGGAGGCUGCAGUAUGGAGCAUCAGAGUUCGUUGCUCCUUGGAAAAGGAUUGAUGCAUGAAUUACCAGCUUGAUUCCACGGAUAUGCUCAAAUCAUCGCUUCCUGAGUUGAAGGUCGACGGUAGUAUCACCGCCCCAACCUGAGCCUGCAAGAUGAUGACAUUGUUUAGUUCCUCACAAAAAUUGACUACCAUGCCAGCGAUCAUACGACAUUGGUGCUUGCUGUUGACAUGGAGUAUUUAACAAAAAACUAUCACAUUUCACGGAAACGUGUCGAAAAACUACCACUUUACGAUUUUGUGCGAAAAACUAUCACUUUUUUCCUAAUCCGUGGCAAAAAACUACCAAGUCGCGAAAUCGCUCGCUUCGCCCACGCUAAGCACAAAUCUGACCGCUUGGGCCCACGAACCUGGUGCCACCGUGGCCAUCCUUCGCGCCGGAGUUCACGGAAGCUUCCCCGCUCUCCGGUCACCGCCAGCACACCAUGUUCCCGCUCGCCGCCGCAAGGGCCUGCCUUUCCUCCCCGGCGCCGCCGCCGAGACCCCAAACCCGAGCGGCGCCUCUCUUCCCCCUUCACCGUCGCCGCUCCACCACCACGCAGCCCAGACCCGCCAGGAUCCCCCUCCUCCGCCCGCUCGGGGCCGCAGCGGGCGCCGGCGCGCCGGGAGCGUCCUCACGGCCCGUGAGGGACCGCGUGAUCAACUUCGGCAGGCACAAGGGCUAGAUGAUGGGCACGCUGCCGCCGUCCUACCUGCGCUGGGUGGUCGCGGAGCUCGAGUGCGGGGACACACUAGUCUGGGCGCGCCUGGCACACGAGGUGCUCGACGACCCCAUCUACGUCGACCGUGUCGAGUGGGAGCACGCGCACCGCUUUCUCCGCGGCGACUCCAAGUUUGACUACGUCUACGAUGACGACGACGGCGACGAGCCCCUCCAGGAGAUGACCGAGCGCUUCGGCUGGGAUCUCUCCAACGAGGACGGCUGGGGCCGCCUCGACUUCCGCCUCCUCGGCACCUCCUAUGGCGGACGCAUCCCGAGGAAGGCCGACCAGCGUCAGAGCACCGGCAGCAACAAACCCCCCGCGGCGGUGGCGCCCUGUUCGAUACCGGGGCGGCUGACCCGGACGGGCCGAGGAGGAAGAGGGACGAGAGGAGGGAGCGGAUGCGGACGAGGAGGGAAGAGCAGGUGAGGACGACGAAACUGGAUGUGCUCGGCGUGAACUCCGGCGCGAAGGAUGGCAACGGUGGCACCUGGUUCGUGGGCCUAACCAGUCAGAUUUGUGCUUAGCGCGGGCGAAGCGAGCGAUUUUGCGACUUGGUAUGCCACGGAUUAGAAAAAAGUGGUAGUUUUUCGCACAAAAUCGUAAAGUGAUAGUUUUUUCGACACGUUUUCGUGAAAUGUCAUAGUUUUUGGUUAAAUACCCGUUGACAUGAGGAACAAGACUGUUUAAAAAGUGGGUGAGUACAACGCCAAGAGAACUCUUGGUAUAGGCAGGGGCUAUGAUGCAAGUAGGAUCUCCAAAUACUCCCUCCACCCUGAAAUAAGUGUCGUGGUUUGAACUAAAACCACGACACUUAUUUUGGGAAGGAGGGAGUACAUCUGAAUAAGGUAGCUAGGGAUGUGGUAGCUAGUUUGUGAGCGAUAAGAUGCAGCUUGGGUUGGAACCAUAGCCAGCAGGACACGGAUGAAAGUAGCAGAUGGUGCCAAUAAUUAAGCUCGUAUGUGAACUUUGUAUAUAGGAGAGGUUGAAGAAACGUCCUUUUUGUAUUUGAGGAUACUCUUUUCUUUUACUGUUUGUGCUUGGCGCUGUAAAAGCACAGGCCCUACAUACGUAGAAGAACUAAAAUCUAGGCAAAAUAAAAAACAUAUUAAGAUUCAUAUAUACUAGUUUCAAUUUUCGCUAAGAAUCCAGCCUUGCUAAUCUUAACUAUAUAUUCAUCGGCAACCUUCUCCAAAAGGAAUCAUUUUCAAUUGUUAUCAUAGUUAGUUCGUAUGUUAAAAAACAGUUUGUAUCCACCCACGUGAAACUAGCAAUCCACCGUGCGAUAAAUAGCGACUAAUAAUAGUAAUAAUUUUUUGUAAGGACAAAUAGCAACAUAUUAAAUGUAUCAUUUAUACUCUCGUUAGUGAAAUUUACUCUGAAUUCUUACUUUGCACGCAAUUAUUAUUUGUACUAUGCACUCAAAAUAAGCAAGUUCAAUGUCAUCUAGAAUGUAAACUUUUAAUCCUUCGACUUAACAAGGGAGACGCAUGCAGCUAAAAGAAAACUAGUGUGAGAGACAGGUGUGAGAAUUUACGGGAAGAGAAUUGAAUACUCGUGAGUAGAGUGUAUUUUGUACUGGACACUACUACUUCAUCUACUAACGUUAGCACAAAAACACAUGGUUCCAUUGAGUUUUUUUUUUUAGAAAACGACGAUAUACUCCGGCCUUUGCAUCUGGACGAUGCAUGCAACCAUUUUAUUAAUUAUUCACAGUGACCUUACAAAGUUGUACAUGAGUAAGCUUGAAACCACCAUCUUGGCAACAACUGUCACAACUCCUAUCCCCUUAAUGAAGGGUGUUGAAUGUCCGAGUCUAAUACCAAACAGACAUCGCACUGAAGCCUAACAUCUAAAGCCGGAUGCCCUAGCCCAGCCACAAUACCGGGACUAGGUCACACGCCGUUCUGGCGCAAUAUCAGAGGCCGCCGCCGCCGUCUUCCACGGUUCCACCUUGUAAGAAAAUAGGUUUGGGGGAACCGGCACAAUCCUCUAGGGGUGGCCUAUCACACAUAUAUAUAAUGAGGUGGUAUACAACGUUAUAAUAUACACAUGUAAAUACAGAAGCUAUACAGUCUAACACCCUCCCUCAAUGUUAGCCACUUCCUAAAGAAUCUAGAAGGGUAAGAUUGCGCCUGCAAACCUCAAACUGUGGUAAAGGCAAUGGCUUGGUGAAGAUAUCUGCAAGUUGAUCCUUGGAAGAGAUGAACUUGAUCUGUAGUUGCUUCUGAGAGACAUGUUCACGCACAAAGUGAUAGUCAACUUCAAUGUGUUUCGUUCGGGUAUGGAAUAACGGAUUUACAGAGAGGUAUGUAGCACCGAUGUUAUCACACCAAAGGACACGAGACUAUGGUUGGGAUAUACACAAUUCCCGAAGCAAAGACUGUACCCAGAUAAUCUCUGAAGUGGCAUUGGCCACAGCUUUAUACUCAACUUCAGUACUGCUAUGUGAGACAUUGGCCUGUUUUCGAGCACUCCAGGCGAUCAGAUUAGAGCCAAAGAACACAGCAUAACCCCCCGUGGAUUGCCUGUCAUCCGGAUUGCCAGCCCAAUCUGCAUCAGAAUAUGCUGAGAGACAUCCAUAGGAGGUCGGUCGAAUAUGCAAUCCAUGAGCCACCGUGAAUCGAAUGUAGCGCAAGAUACGCUUAAUAGCAGACCAAUGAAUAUCACGGGGUGACUGCAGAUACUGGCAGACUCGGUUAACAGCAAAGGAAAUGUCCGGUCAUGUGAUCGUCAAGUACUGAAGACCACCAACAAUACUCCUGUACUCCGUCGCACCAGCAGAAGACAGAAGCGCACCAUCAACAGCAGUGAGCUUGUCAGUGGUAGACAUGGGUGUAGUUGUCGGUUUGCACUUAAGCAUCCCAGCGCGCUGCAACAAAUCCAAGGAGUACUUUUUCUGCGUCAUAACAAGACCAUCAGCCUGAGAAGUAACCUCCACACCAAGGAAGUAGUGAAGCUUCCCAAGGUCCUUGACCGCAAAAUCACCACCAAGCGAGCGAACAAGAGCAGUAGCAGCCGACUGAGAGGAGCUGACCAAAAUAAUAUCAUCCAUAUAGACCAACAUGUAUGUAGUAACCUCAGGCCUCUGUAGAAGAAAUAGUGAGGAGCCAGCAAUUGAUGAUGCAAAACCAUGAGCGCGAAGGGCCAUUGCAAGACGAGCAUGCCAAGCACGAGGAGCCUGCUUCAGACCAUAAAGUGCCUUGGACAGACGACAGAGAUGAUCAGGACGACCCGGAUCAGAAAAACCCAGAGGUUGGCGCAUAUAGACCUCCUCCUCCAACACACAAUGGAGGAAGGAAUUUUGAACAUCAAGCUGACGAAGAAACCAACCUCGAGUAACGGCAAGAGAGAGAAGAAGCCUGAUGGUAGUAGGCUUGACCACUGGACUGAAGGUGUCUUCAUAGUCAAGACCAAAACGCCGUCGAAAACCACGAGCAACAAGACGAGCUUUGUAGCGCUCAAUGGACCCAUCAGAAUGCCUCUUCACUUUGAAAACCCAUUUAGAAUCAAUGACAUUAACCCGUGAUGGUGGAGGAACAAGAGUCCAUGUCUGAUUGCGAACGAGAGCUUGAUACUCCUGCUCCAUGGCCUCUCUCCAAUGAGGAAUGCGCACUGCAGUUUGAUACGUGCGCGGCUCGGAGGAGGGAUCUGUAAGGGCAGCAGUCAUGCAUGCAGCUAACGAGGCAACUGUACCAUCGGUACGUUGCUUAGGCUGAAAGAUGCCACUCCGGCUGCGCGUAUGUGGACGGGAAGCAGCAGCAGGAGCCAGCAAAGUCGAGGGCGACGGGGGCGUCACGGUCGGCGCAGGACCAGGCGAUGCCUCAGAGGAGCCGAUACCAGACGGCUCCGGGCUGCAUGGGGCCGAAGCCAGCCCGGACGAAGCCAGCCCCGAUGGCGAUGGCCCAGACGCCAUGGGCGAGAUGACGGCGGGCGAGGCCAGCCCCGAUAGCGAUGGCCUAGACGCCAUGGCCGAGACGGGGGCAGGUGAGGCCGGCCCAGUCGCCGUUGGUGACGAGGCGGGAGCGGGCGAGGCCAGCCCAGACGCCGUUGGUGUGACCGGGGUCCCAGGCCGCAGCUGCGGCGAUGCCGGCCCAGAGGCUAGAGGCGACGAUGCGGGCGACAGAACUGGGGCAUCGAUCGGCCGUGCAUGGGCACGGGGACCGAGGCCAUGCAAUGGCGCCAUGUGAUCGUCGUGCACAGCUGAAGGUGCCGACAAGGAAGGCGAUGGCAAUGAAGGAGGCGAUGGUGCCUCUAAGAUCUCCAAACGAGCCCCACGACCAGUGCCUGCACCAUGAUUAGGCAAGAAUAGAGGAGAAUAUGCAACAUCAUCAAAUUGGCCAGAAGAAACAGAGGGUGAAUGCAUGGGUGGUGGUUCGGCGGUGGACACAGGCAGUGGCGGAGCCACCGCCCAGCGACCCUGGCCACUUGCCCGGGCUCGCUGGUUGGUAACAGUAGUGAUCGACAGAUUAAAUAAAGGGCUAAAAACGAUCACUAACUUGCUUUACCCGGGCAAAAAACAUUGGGCUUCAUUUCUGAAAAGUUCAUAGCCCAACAAACAAGUAGUACUUGCAGUUAGAGUCAGCCCAGGACGAAGAAAACAGUGCAGGGAAUACCUACGAUGGAUCCAUCGAUCAAAUUGUCUCAUGUCUCAUUGUUUCUCACACAUGAGCGCAGGGACUGGUCGACAAAGGGGCACUGGCCCUAGACGGCUAGACGGACUGCCGGCGGCAAGUGACCCUAGGCUCCCACGCAGUUUAUUUGUCCGGUCGUUCCGCAGCCCCUCCUUCCUCUCAUCAGGCUUCGGCUUCAUCAACUUCCUUCGGUAAGAUAUCUAUGUGGAAAAUUAGGAGCAACGAUCUCUCAUCCCGAAGUAUGAAUGCUUGGUCUGGGAAGUAGGAUUGAUGCAAAGUACGGAUCGAGGUACACAGACCCCAUUAAUUAUACAUAUCCAGGCUAUGUUGUGUGAUAUAUGUAACUCAUGGUGUGAGAGUUCAAGGUCGGGCUUAGGGGUUAGGGUUUAAAUUUAGGGGGGAAGUAGUUGGGGGUGAUCAUGAAUUCAUGGAAUUAGUGGAUGAUGUCAAAGCUGGCUGGCAACAUUAAGAGAGAGUGAUUGGGAUGAUUUAUUUUAUGAUGUUCAAGAAUUUUGUGCUGCUCAUAGUAUUCCAGUGCCAAAUAUGGAUGAAGUAAUACUGGUUCGUGGUCAUUCAAGGAGAGCAGGGAGGACUGUCACUAAUCUUCACCAUUACCAUCCAGAGAUUUUUUUUUGUGUGUUGCUAUUGACAAAAUAUGCGUGGAGAUGGAUCACCGCUUUAGUGAAGGAGCUAAUGGUGUGCUUGAUUUCUUUUCAUGUCUUGACCCCAAUAAUUCUUUCUCCAAGUUUAAUGUUGAUAAGCUUGUGCGUCUUGCAGAAAUUUAUCAUGAUGACUUUUCCAAUGAUGACUGUGGAACAAUUAGAGAGAAACUUAUCACUUAUACUCCCUCCGUUUCAAAAUAGAUGACUCAAUUUUGUACUAACUUUAAUACAAAAUUGAGUCAUCUAUUUUGGAGCGGAGGGAGUAUAAGUCAAAUGAAAAGGCAUGCUUCUUUGUCUUCUUUUGAUGAUGUUCAAAGUUUGGCCGUGAAGAUGGUUGAAACAGAGAAACAUUUGGUAUUUUCAUUGGUGUACAAAUUAACUAGUUGGUUUUGAUAUUGCUGGUGUCAACAACAUCUAUUGACAGAUCUUUUUCAGCAAUGAAGAUUAUCAAGACUAAACUGCGUAGCAAGAACAAUAAUUAAUGGUUUAAUGACUUGAUGAUUUAUUACACCGAGCGGGAGUUAUUCAAAUCAGUUGACGACAAGGAUAUUAUUCAUACACUUACUAAAAUGAGUUCUCAGAAAGGGCAUUUGCCUCGUGAUUUUCUUUAGUGCACUGUCGGUAUGUUCCAUCUGACCAUCUCUAUUCUUGUAAGCUUUUUAUUUCAAAUCUCACAACUAAAUUUAUUUCAUUAGAAAUCCAUUUUUAUAUUCUAGUGCCUUCUAGGACUUCGGGAACAAGAUGAGUUUGCCUCUACGCAAGGCUGAUUGUAUGUCUUUCUUUUGGCAAAAAUGAACAAGUGAGAGAUGCUUCUGAUCAUGAUGGAAGAAAUUGCACGAUCACAUCCGGUGACAUAUGGUAUGUAACUAUGUUUAGCUUACUUUUGUUGGCAACAUGGCGAGUUUGCCUGUAUGCAAGGUUGGCUAUGUAUCUUUUGUUGUCAUGUCUCAAGUUUAUUUGGUCUAUGAAGUGGAUAUUGAUAUAUUAACUCACCUUAAAAAUUAAAUUUCAUGUGACUAUUAUAGUUAAGUUUUCACUUCAUUAUUAAUGUGGAUUUGUGAUUCCGAAGCAUGGCGGUAUGGUAUAUGUUGUGUAUUUGAAUACCUUAUUUUUUUUUCUAGAUUAUACACUUAGGCUUAAUUUGCCCAGGCUCCACAAGAGUUCUGGCUCCGCCACUGGACACAGGAAGUUUGGCAAAGGGAAAAACAUGCUCAUCAAACACGACAUCCCGAGAUAUAUAGACACGAUUAGUGGGCACAUGAAGACAUUUGUAUCCUUUAUGAAGAGAGCUAUAACCAACAAAUACACACUUCUUGAAACGAAACUCAAGCUUGCGCUUGUUAUAUGGACGGAGAUGGGGCCAGCAAGCACACCCAAACACCUUGAAAAAGAUGUAGUCCGGUUGUUCAUUAAGAAGAACUUCAAUGGGAGUCUUCAUGUUCAAAACACGAGUGGGAGUACGGUUGAUGAGAAAACAUGCAGUGGUGAAAGCAUCACUCCAAAACCGAAACGGAACAGAUGCAUGGGCCAAAAGAGUAAGACCAGCUUCAACAAUGUGACGAUGCUUAUGUUCUACUGAACCAUUCUGCUGAUGUGUAUGUGGACAUGCUAAACGGUGAGCGAUCCCAAGCGACUGAAAAAAGGAGUUGAGGUUGCGAUACUCGCCGCCCCAAUCCGACUGGACAUGAACAAUUUUGUACUUGAGAAGACGUUCAACAUGUUUUUGAAACUGAACAAAAAUGUUAAACACAUCAGAUUUACGUUUACUAAGAUAAAGCCAGGUAAAGCCACUAUAAGCAUCAACGAAACUGAUAUAAUAAUUGUGGCCACUGACAGAAGUCUAAGCAGGACCCCAUACAUCUUAAAACACAAGUUCUAAAGGAUGUUUCACCUCACGACUGGACUCCGAAAAAGGAAGUUGAUGACUCUUCCCCUGCUGACAAGCAUCACACACUGCUACAUUUUUAUUACUAGACACACUAGGAAGCUCAUGACGACGCAAAACAUGACGGACAAUAGGUGUGGCCGGGUGACCAAGACGAGCAUGCCCUCUAGGGGUGGCCUAUCACAUAUAUAUAAUGAGGUGGUAUACAACGUUACAGUAUACACAUGUAAAUACAGAAGCUAUACAGUCUAACACACCUCCAGAGCAGGUACUAACGCACCGACCUUGCCAGGCCUGCCGUCGACGCCACCACGAUGCCAGACAACGCCACCAUCCUGCACGUAUCCAUCCACACGCAUCCGUCGGCGAAACUCCGCAGCGCCAUGCCGCUGGGAUCCAUCGUCGGCCUUGCGGUAGAUGUAACACUCCUCCUCCUCUUGCCCCCUCCAGGCAGCUUCUGCUCCAAAACAAUGCCCCCAGGAGGGAGAACGACACCGAAGGUGUCAUCAUCGUCUGAUUCGGUAGACUCAGAUCUAGGAUUUUCCCCGAAACAUCUCGAUCGAGUUGACAUGUGGAGAAGGAAACGACGUCAGAGACACCACCAUCGUCCGCCAAGACCGCAGUCAGGCGCGAUUUUCACAUGGUUCCAUUGGGUGGAAGCGAAGUAAACACAAAAAAUGAGCACUACUUGGCCGUGCGAUUAACUCUCAACUUGACAUUUUAUUUAACAACACGCCUACAUGCACAUCAUCAAACAGAAACGGAUGGACAUCCCCAAUUAGCUUUUUGACUAUUGUGUACGCUGGGAAUUAAAGCUCCGUACAACCGUUGCUUUACAUAGGCCGGCAAGCAAUAUCCGAGAAGAAUCGAAAAGCGGCCCUCUCGAUCCAAUCAAGACAUCUCUUGGUGCUCAAGGUUUAAUCCUAGUAUCUGCCGUGAGGUCAUUUUGAAUAUUACUUUCGGACAACCACAUACAUACACAUGACAGGCUCUGAAAUUAAUGUCGCGAAGACCUUGUUGAUCUUCAGGACAGCAUGUCGACAUCCGCAGAUUUUAUGUCUGUGGUGAGUAAAGCUGGAGAGCAGUUAGACAGGAUAACCAUGUGUCUUUUUUACUCGCACAAAAAAAGAAAAAGACAGGAUAACCCUGGGCUAAGCAAUGAGCACCACCUAUCCAUCCCUGUGACUUAACUUCUCUUCACACGCACAGCGCAGGUAGAUAUAUGGAGUGUAGGAUUGAAAGUUACAGCCACAGUCAGAAGGAGACAAUCAGAAAUAUUUGCGCACACACAGCCAUAGCUCAUACGGGUGCACUUUACGCUAGUGGAGCAGUAUUAGUUACUCUGAAUUGAUCGCCAGUGGACGCUGGACCUUACGCUGCCCGUUGAUUGGCUCGCCGUGGCUAUAAACACCAGGCUCCGGUGUCCAGGGGAAGCACUCAGCCGGCCAUCCAUCAUCCCUCCCACUGAAUACCAGCACGAUAGGUGCCAGCCAUGGCGAGGCGCCGCCACUCUUCCUCUGGUCUCCUAUGCGUCCUCUUCCUCCUGAUCACUGCUGCCAUGGCAGCGGACGGUGCAGGAGCGCGACAGCGGAAAUUGCAGCAAGUGCCAGGGCCACAGCCGCUGCCACUACCAAACCCACGCCCACAGCCGGGGCCACAGCCCGUGCCACUACCGAUUCCGAACCCGCAGCCUGACCCGAACCCACAACCUUUGCCGAACCCAGACCCAAACCCGCAGCCACAACCAUUACCGCAGCCACAGCCGGACCCAAACCCGCAGCCACAGCCAUUACCGCAGCCUCUUCCACAACCACUGCCGGACCCAAACCCACAGCCACAGCCUUUACCACCACAGCCUCUGCCACAACCACUGCCGGGCCCAAACGCGCAACCGCUGCCAUUACCGCCGCCUCUGCCACUAUCACCGCCGGGCCCAAACGCGCAACCGAUGCCAUUACCGCCGCCUCUACCACUACCACCGCCGGGUCCAAACCCACAGCCACUGCCGCAACCGGAUGCCCCGGGCUCAUAUCCACAGGUACAACCGUUGCCAGACUCAAACACGCCCGGCCGACAAAAUAACGCACUACAGGGACCACUUGGAAAUGGUGCAGCCCCAGCCUUAUAUUCAUGCGGUGCAACCUACAUACACGUAUUCUUCAUCGGUUUAUUAUUGUACUAUUUUGUUUAGAUAAAGUGACGCUUGUUCAUGUAAAUAUAUUUGCCAUUUCUCUAGACUCCAUAAAAUAAUGUAUCGAUUGGGCAUGAUCUCUUUGUAUUUACAUUUAUACUAGUAUAUUAUUUGUAAUAAAAACUUAUAUGAUUGUGUACAAGUAGUUUGUGUACUUACAAAAAGCAGAACCAUUUGUGUAUGCAUUUGAUACACAUGUCGUUCUGAUAUUUUUAGUUAUAUUUCUGGUCUGACUGACUUGCGUAUGGUUGCACACCUUACCCAACACUCUACGUUCAGAAUCGUAAGGUGUGCCUACGUUUUGAAUUUGUCUUCAAUCCACUAUUUUGUUAGAAAUAUAUUUGGAUUCCAUGGUGCAAAAUUGAUAUCAUUGUACCUGUAUGAAAAGUUGAAAACCACUUCAUAGUGAUAUCAAUUUUUUUGUCAAGGCUUUAAGAGGUGGGGUGGGGAGAGGGAUUGACUGUCUACCAAGAAGUCCGUUCUUAUGUAUGUCACGAUCCUGGAGUGUCUGAUCGACGCAACAAUAACCUCCCGCUAAAUUUUUUGCUGCAUUUUCCUUCACGGACUGACAAAAAAUGGUGCAAGAACAUGGCAAUAUUUUGAACACACGAAUGCAACAAAAAAUAUAACGUAUGUAUCAAAUCAUUGGAAAGUAUUCACAACAUACACAAGUACACCAUAAAACCAACGUAUGAAACAUAACAUGGCCAUAUAUUAUCAAUUGUGGUUGUUCAUGACGAGGUUAUGUUUAGAAAGCUGAAGUAUCCUUGGGAAAUCUAUGGAAGGAGAAUGUGCAUAAGGUCAUUAAAGAACAAAAAUAUUUGUUGUCUUCUCUCUAUAUGACACUAAUUAUUGUAUAGUGGUAUGAAUUUUAGAAGGGAGUGUUUAUUUCUCAAGGAGGGGGAGGGUGCUAUCCAAAAAAAAUGAAAAAUGAUGAUCUUGGACAUGGAAUUUUGAUAUAAAGGUCUAUCGACCAACUGCAUAUUUCAACAUUAAGUGUAACUUAAGAUUUAGAUAUAUACAUAAUUGGUCAAUUGCACAUUUGUUGAAUGGAAAAUAAUAACUUCUUAAGCUGACGACGAAAGUCAAGUCUUCUAUUAAAUAUGUACAACACAUGAAAAGGAUACAAAUUUUGGAGGAUAGAAAUCAUGUAGAUUUUUUUUUCUUUGGUACUGUUUCAAACGAAGGAUUCUCUGUCAUGGAUUUAUUUGAAAAUCCUAGAUUAAUCGAAAGAAAUUUUGGGAAAAUCAAACAUGAGGUGCCAUCGCAUUUUUUUAAUUGUUUUACAUCUGGAUAGAAUUCAUAUGUUCUCUUCUCUUCAUGUUUAGAGUUCCUAUGUUCUUUCUACUCGACAUCGAAGCAAUAACCAUUGAAACAAAGCAAGUGGUUUGGACAGAGAAUUUGAGAGGUGGAGACAAGCAAUUUAUAUUGUUUCAUAAUAUCAACAUUGUCAUUCUAAACAGGACAACACGAAGGCAAAAACAUUAGCACAAUAUAAUCCUUACCACUGUUCAAGAAUUCAUCUGAUUAAUUAGUUAAUGGGCCAGUUAAUCUCUACUCGUAGGGUGACCGAAUCGAAUAGCACAUAUUCAUCGUGUUAACUUGUCAGGCCGAUUAAUUCGCUAGUUAGACCGAUUAAUCGGUUGUUAGGCCGAUUAAUCACUGAUGUCCCAUUAACUUGUGGGCAAACAAAGCCCAAAAAAAUUCACUGUAACCCUCUCAUCCCCCUCUCGCUCCUCAAUAGUUAGGGUUCGACCAAACAGUAGCAUAUUUUGGUAUAUUACAUAGUUGAGAGCAUGAGAGUAUGGUAUAAUAAACAAAAAGACUAGAUAUAUGUUGGAAAUUCAUGUUUAAUCUACCGAUGAAUGGUCGACCGAUUAAUCCAGUUAACAGGUCGAUUCAGCGAUUAAUCACUACUACCAAGCCGACCGAGCAGCAACCAGUUACCGAUUUCCUGACAAUGAUCCUUACUCUAUCCGAAUAUAUGGUACUAAACUCAGCGUCCCUGUCAAUUUUGGAGCUCCGGCUCCAUGGAGCCUUUUUUGUAUUUAAUUUUUUGAAAACUCUACUUGAAUAUGAUGGUUAGCCAAUGCAUGUAGCCCUAGCAGUUAAAAUCAUACCCGCGUUACUAAAACACACGCAUGCAUAUGACUGGAGAAUGAGGGGGCAUGCAACGUGGGAACGUAUCUGGUGCACCGGAGCAAUUGGUGCUACCGGUGCACCGGACCAUGUUACACAUUAAAAAAUGUUUAAAAAAAUCUGAGAAAAAUUUAGUGCAUCGACACAACAUCAAUGUAUGUUGUCACAAAAAUUCAAAUUAAAAUUCAAAAUAAUGCUCAAGAUACAAAAAUGACAAAUUUGACGUAAAUGUGCUAAUGGGCCAAAACUGAAGCCCAACUUGUUUUAUGUACUGUUCAAUGCCAAAUUUGUCAUUUUUGUAUCUCAAGCAAUGUUUUGAAUUUUGAUAUGAAUUUUUUGUGACAACGUACAUUGAUGUUGUCUCAAUGCACUAAUUUUUUCUUGAAAUUUUUUGAACAAUUUUUAAUCUGCAACGGCGACCGGUGCACCGGUAGCACCAAAUGCCCCGGUGCACCAGAUACAUCCCCCAUGCAACGUCAUGAUAGGUUAGCUUGUCGGAGAGUUACAAGAUUCAAUAAUUUUAAGACAAUAAGCAUGAUAAAAUCCUCAUUGGUAUCUACAGUUUUGAAACUAUGCCCAGUAUACCCAGACAGAGGGAGUGCUUGAGAACGCGAAAAACUCCGUUGACGAAGCAGGCGACGGAGCCCUGGGGCUUUGUGGUGAAGCUCACGCACGAGGUGGCUGCUCGAUCGGGCCAGUUCCUUUCCAUUGUGAAUUGAACUGAUGUGAUUGCUUUUUUACUUUGUAAUUGCACUAACGUGUACACGGUCUAUCUUGAUUUCUAAAUGAUGGCCGGUCACAUGUAGUACGUGUGAGCACGGGAUUGACAAGGCAACCAACAGAAUUCUAUUACUACGGGUAGGCAACUAGUAAUAGAGUAAAAAUAUUGUUACUCGCCCUACUAUCAUCACAUAAAGACACACACAGAAAAAUCCAACUGUGCUUAUUGGCACCUCCUGUUUGGUAGGUUGCUGCAUUUGUAAUCAACCAAUAUAACUCCAGUGGCAUGUUACGCAGUACUUGUCACUCCAGCUAAGCUAGCUGCAAUGUUUAUUAAUGCAGCCUCCAAAUCUGGUUUGUUUCGCCCACCCUAUAAAACCAGACAAUAUGUAUCUCCAGCUCUCCACACAACACACACACACACACAAAGCACAGCAGGUGCAACACUAGCUGCAAGCACAAGAAGUAGGCAGCAAUGGUGAGGCAUCGCCUCCUCGCCGUGCUCCUCAUCGGGGUAGUUGCAGCCUCUGCCUUCAACCAAGCAGCUGCCGCUGGCCGAGGCCUUGCCGCCAUCGAGAAGUUUGCAGAGCUAGAGCCAAAGCCAGAAACCAAACCAGAGCCAAUGCCCAAACCUACGCCACACCCAGAGCCAGAGCCAUGCGAACCUGAACCGAUGCCCAAACCCAAACCAAAGCCCGAACCAAAACCCGGACAAAAGCCCAAGCCCAAGCCGAUGCCAAAACCAAAGCCCAAGCCCUGCUCCAAACCAAAGCCACUUCCUAAGCCCGAGCCAAUGCCGAAACCCGAACCAAAGCCGGAGCCCAAGCCUAAUGAACCGAAACCGAAGCCGCCUCCUAAGUGCAAACCACCGACGGCUCACAAUUGAUGGGAUACUUGUAUAUGACAGUUGAUGGAGGAGACCCCAUAAUGGAGGACACCCCAUACGGCGCCACACUGUGCUAUUUCUAGAAUAAGUGGUUCCAUUUAUUUUUAUUGUUCCAUGCAUGUGUGAUGAGUAUGAGUACUCUGUACUUAUUAUUUGCUUGUUGGUAUAUGUUCAUCUACUUUGUACGUGACUCGACUCGUUGUUCUUUUGAGUUUCUACACAUGAUUGUAUUCAUUCACAUGAAUGAGCUAUUUUGUCAGUGAACUGCAGUCUAUGUUGUUUUCUCUAUGGUGUGCAGUCUCAGUUAUUUUCUCUACGGGAUUGUUUCAUUAUUANNNNNNNNNNNNNNNNNNNNNNNNNNNNNNNNNNNNNNNNNNNNNNNNNNNNNNNNNNNNNNNNNNNNNNNNNNNNNNNNNNNNNNNNNNNNNNNNNNNNNNNNNNNNNNNNNNNNNNNNNNNNNNNNNNNNNNNNNNNNNNNNNNNNNNNNNNNNNNNNNNNNNNNNNNNNNNNNNNNNNNNNNNNNNNNNNNNNNNNNNNNNNNNNNNNNNNNNNNNNNNNNNNNNNNNNNNNNNNNNNNNNNNNNNNNNNNNNNNNNNNNNNNNNNNNNNNNNNNNNNNNNNNNNNNNNNNNNNNNNNNNNNNNNNNNNNNNNNNNNNNNNNNNNNNNNNNNNNNNNCAUAAGGGAAGAGAAGGCCUCCCUAAAUAGCAGCACAAUAUGAAGUGUAUAGUGUGCACGUACGUGUCUGGUGUUCUAGAUGUAUAAAGUGUACCCAUAUGCUAGACAACGGCCUUGUUCUCUACCUUUCACCUAUGAACUAAGUCCCGACCAAGUACGUUAGUAUUUAUGCCCAGGCUCUGUGAGUGAGCUGGCUCCGCUGCUGGUUAUACUAGGUAUACGUCACACACAUUGCUACGGAAAAUUAUAGCAAUGAAAUUAUGAAAAAUAGCAUAUAUGAGAAUAAUACCACACAACAUUCUCACCAUAUGAGGAUAGAAAACCUAGACAUAACUGGAGGUGGAUGCAUGUUAUAUAUAUUGUCUUGUGACCUCCAAGUUUAAUUAUUUGUUGCUGAAAUAUAAAUAGUAAAAAUAAUGUGGUGAAGAGCUUGCAUAUGUUUGAUGAUGUGGAGGACUUGCAUAUGAUGGAAAGUGAAAAUUCGAAUGAUUACAUGCACGCUUGAUGAUAUGGAGGACUUAUGUGUGAUGAAAACUGGUAAGUGAAAGUUGAUUGGUUGCAUGCCCUCCAUAAUGUGAUUGACAUGCAUGUGCAUUUAAAUGGGAUGAAUUACUUAGAUAUAUAGGAUAUGUGUGAAAGGUAACUACACCCCCUAGGUCAAGAUUACCAAUAAAAGGCACCAUGAAUUUUUUUAUUAACGUAUUUUCUCUUUAUCAAUUCGCAACAAGAAAAAUCUCACAGUGAUAGUGUUAUGCAACAUACGAGAGACCAUAAUAAUCUCUCACCACCCCAUGGUACUGGCAGGGUCGGCUCAAUGAUUUUGAGAGCCCUUGGGUGAAGUUGGCGAAUUGAUUGUCUUUUGCUUCAACACCCGACAAAUCCUUUUUAAGCAACAUUAGGGUAACCAUAAAACUAAAGAGGAAAGUAAAUACAUAAAUAGAGAAGUUAGAGCCCUAACAUUUAACAUGCUUCGACGAAUGGGUGGCACUGGUAAUAUGGUUAUGGGUGUGUGGAAUGAGAGGCCUAGAGAGUGACAAGCUGGUGCCUCGCUGUCACAGACAUCUGAGGAGGUGGCGAGACUCAUGCCGUCAAGCUUACCCGCGAAGACAAAGAUCGCGAAUUGCGAUUAGGAGAGCUGGUGAUGCCAUGUGUUAGUGUCGCGUGCCGAUUGUGAUUAUUUUCAUUUUUAUGGACCAAUUCAACUAUUGACUAAAGACCUAAAGCUUGCUUUUAGGAGAGCAUGUAUGCCUCACUUUUAGGAGAGCAUCUUCACUGCGCUUAUAGCGCUCAUUAGUGCCACAUCGCACAGGUGCUCGCACGCAUAGGUCGUCUCAUUAAAAAGCAAAGGGGUUGCUUGCCCGACGCCCACUACACUCUUUUCUUGCCCGUCUUUUUUCUGGGAUUGCUCUGUUAUGCAAUGAAAGAAAACAUUCACCACUUUUCCAAAUUUAAAACAUUCAUGAAUAUGAAAAUGUUCACAUAUUUGAAAAAAUACGGGUUUGAAAAAAUUAAAUUAAUUCAAAAACACUGAUGACUUAAAAAAUGACAAGUUCAUUUUUUUGUGAAUUUGAAAAAAGGGAAUUCAAACAAGAUUGUAAAUUUGAAAAAAUGUUCACAAAUUUGAAAAAAUUCAUGAAGUUUAAAGUAAAUAUAAAAAAACUGAAGCAAGGCAGAAAAGUAAAAAAAGAGAAAGAAAAACCUGGCCGAAAGUUUCCUGAACCAAAGUUGACCAAUAAGCUUCUGGAAGCUUUCGGGAGUAGCUUCCGCUCACAUAAACGCCAUAGAUUGGCCAACCCUUUUACGAUCUAUAAAAGGAAGAGGUGUGCGCACUUUCUACCAAUAACUUAGAAACCAGUGCUAAAUAACAUAUUUCCACUUUUAGCGAGGGGUAGAACAGAAUUCGACUACAGAGCCACCAUAUGUGCCAAUCGCAACAUUUUUUUCUAGCAAACAAGUUUUUGUCUAUAGGGGGACACGUCUCACCGCCAACGAACGGAUUUUUCUCAUUUUUAUUUUCAUUUUUCUCAUUUUUGAGAAACUUUUCUAUAAAAUAUAUGGAUUUGUACUUUUUUACAAGUGAUCAUGUAGUUUAAUAAGUGUUCAUGUACUUCAAAAAUGUUCAUAAGAUAUUUGUGAAACGUUUUCAAAAUAUCAAACAUUUUGCAAAUACACAUAGAUUAAAAAGUGUUCAUAUUUUUCCAAAAAUACACACUGUGAACAUUUUGAACAAUACAGGAUCUAGAUUUAUUUUAAUACAUGAUGAAUCAUUGAAAUAACAAUAUUUUCUGAAAACAAAAAAUGUUUUUCUUAUCCAUGAUAAUUUUUAAAUACACUGUAAAUAUUUUGUUCGUACACGAAGAACAUUUGGUAAAAAACAUGAGUGAACAUUGCCCGCUGCCGGUGAGGGAGGGGCGAUGAUGGUGGUGCACUUUCAGCUUGAUCGAGUGAUUUUAUACAUCGCUAGGUGGUCUAUGGAUCUGAAUGUAUGUUCUAUUACUUCUGGUGUUCUUAUACUGACAUGACAGUUGAUAAAUAGAUCCAAAACAAUCAUAAAAAAAUAAAAAUAAAAUGUUCAACUUGUCUUAAUAAUUGUUCUUGAGAUUUAAAAUAUAUAUUCUGAUUGUUCCAGAAAAAUUACAUUUCAAUUGUUUUCACAUGUUUACAAAAUUGUUCAUUGCAAUAUUAAAAUGUUCAUGAAAUAUAUAUAAAAAUGUUUUCUUACAGUUUAUAAAAAUAUUCGUGGUAUAUAAAACUUGUUCAUCAUGUUUUAUAAAACGUUCAAACAUGUAUUGGAAAAAUAUUCUAUGUGUAUUUAAAAAAUAUUAAUAUUUUCAAAACAAUCAACAUGUAUUUGAAAUAUGGAAAAUGAAAAACAAAAUAAAAAACAAGAAAAAUAUACAGAAAAGUAAAAGGAAAAAACAAAAAUGAAAACCCUAGACAAACCAGAUAAAGAAAACAGGAAAAAAUCCGGAUAAAACGUUCUGAAAAUCGCAUGAAACAAACCAAUGCUACACUGCCUCCACCGCUACUGGGCCACAGCCCGCACCGCAUCACCAAAGGUGAGCGCCUCACAGUAUGUAGAGACAUAGCAUUUGCGCAAAAUGACCGCACGCAUUGAACAAACUGUUGGCUAGCUAGUUAUUAGAAUGACAUGUAGACUUUUUAAACUCAACAAAAUUAUAGGUACAAUGCUUUGGAUCAUAGAUACAAGAAAUUACAAAAUAACUUCUAUAACUAAGAAUUAGAAUGAAACCCUCUGGAGUCAAAAUAUGAUAAAUGGAGGAAAAAACAUUACUCCCUCCGUUCCACAAUAUAAGACAUUUUUGCAAGCUAGUUAAAACGUCUUAUAUUGUGGGACGGAGGAGUAGCUCAUAUAAUCCUUCCUCUUUCCGAAUAUAUGGCGGUGCUAAACUGGAAAAUCAUACAUGCAUAACUAAAACACAUGCACGCAUGAGACUGGAGAAUGAGAGCAUGCAGCAUCAAAAUAGGUUAGUUUGUCGGAGAGUUAUAAGAUUCAAUAGUUUGAGACAAUACGCAUAAUAAAAUCCCCAUUGCUAUCUAUGUGCCUAGUAUAUAUAUCGGGCCAGAGGGAGUGCUUGAGAAAACACCGAGUCAGCAAAAAUCGGUCAAUGAAGCUUCCAACUGGUGGUGCAGCCGUGCAGCUCACGCACGAGGUGCACAAUCCUCGGCCAGUUCCUUUCCAGAGACCUUUGCUUUCCAUUGUGAAUUGAACUGAAGCGUUUGCUUUGUACUCCCUCUGUAAACUAAUAUAAAAGCAUUUAGAUCAUUAUAAAGUAGUGAUCUAGACGCUUUUAUAUUAGUUUCCGGAGGAAGUACUUUGUAUUGCAUUGCACUAACGUGUACACGGUCUAUCUUGUUUUCUAAAUGAUGACCGGUCACACGGACUUGUGGGCACGGGAUUGACAAGGCAACUAACAGAAUUCUAUUACUACGAGGAGGCAACUAACAGAAUUCUAUUACUACGAGGAGGCAACUAACAAAGUAAAAAUAUCGUUACUCACCCUACUAUCAUCAUAGAGAUACACACGUAAUAUCCAGCUGUGCUUAGGCUGGUCAUAGUGGGGAGUAACUUAGAGUAGUAACAUGCAUAUGUUACUACUCUAGUUACUACCCUUAUAGUGGGAAAUGUCAUAUGUGUAGUAACAUACACAUGUUCAUUUAUUGUCUUAUAGACUCAUUUUGCAUUGAAAAGCGCUAUGUGAUGGUAACAUAUUAGGUUACUCUAUUUACCUCUCUCCUCAUUUACUACUUGUCACAUCAACAUUUUUGCUUAUGUGGCAUCUAUGUUACUACCUAUGUUACUCCCACUAUGACCAGCCUUAUUAACACCUCUACCUACGUAGUAGGUUGCUUCAUUUGUAAUCAACAAAUUAACCAAUCCAUUGCCAAUUUGCCAUGUUACCCAGUACUACUUGUCAGUCCAGCUAGCUAUCUGCAAUUUACUAAUUAAUGCAGCCUCCAGAUCUGGUUUGUUUCACCCAGCCUAUAAAACCACACAAUAUGUACCUCCAGUUUUGCACACAACACACACACAAAGCACAACAGCUAGCUGCAACCACAAGUAGGCUGUAAUGGCGAGGCAUCGCCUCCUUGCCGUGCUCCUCAUCGGGAUAGUUGCAGCCUCCACCUUCAACCAAGCAGCUGCGGCUGGCCGAGGCCUUGCCGUUGUCGAGAAAUUUGCAGAGCUAGAGCCAAAGCCAGAAUCCAAACCAGAGCCAAUGCCCAAACCUAUGCCACACACAGAGCCAGAACCAUGCAAACCUGAACCGACGCCCAAACCCAAACCAAAGCCCGGACAGAAGCCUGAACCAGAACCCAAGCCCAAGCCGAUGCCAAAACCGAAGCCCGAGCCCUGCUCCAAACCAAAGCCGGGGCCUAAGCCCGAGCCGAUGCCAAAACCUGAACCAAAGUCGGAGCCCAAGCCUAAACCUGAACCGAAACCAAAGCCGCCUCCAAAGUGCAAACCACCAACAACUCACAAUUGAUGGGAUACUAUAUACGAGAGUUGAUGGAGGAGACCCCGCACGGAGCCACACUAUGCUAUUUCUAGAAUAAGUGGUGUAGUAUUCCUUGUGUUCCAUUUCUUUCUAUUUUCCCAUGUGAGCGUGAUGAGUACUAGUAGUGUGUAAUUACUAUUUGGUUGUUGGUAUAUGUUCAUCUACUUUGUAUGUGACUUGACUCGCGUUGUUCUUUUGAGUAUCUACGCAUGAUUGUAUUCAUUCACAUGAAUGAGCUAUUUUGUCAGUGGACUGCAGUCUGCUGUUUUUCCUAUGGGUUGCAAUCUCAGUUAUCUCUAUGGGAUUAUUUCAUAUUAUGUGGUCUUUUUUGGGGGGAAAGAUGAUGUCAACAAAAAGGAAGAGAAGGACUCCCUAAAUUGCAGCACGCAUAUGAAGUGUAUAUGCGGGUAUGUGUCUGGUGUUCUAGAUGUAUAAAGUGUACUCACAUGCCAGACAGCGGUUUUGUUCUCUACCCUUCGCCUAUGAACUAAGUCCCGACCAGGUGCGUUAGUAUUUGGUUUGAGCCCCGUUCCUACAUCCUGCUUGAGCCCCGUUCCUACCCUAGCGCCGCCACCACCAGGCGACUAGGGAGAGGCGAUCUUUUCCUCCGAUCUCCACCGGCCGGGGCGCUGGCCCCCUCUCCCUUCGGCCACUGCUCCGGCGGCAGGAGGGAGGGGGACCCCGUUCCUUCGCUCUGUAGUUAGGGUUUGGAUUUGUAGGUCGUGGUGCGUCGUUGGGGUGGUGGGAGCGGCACCUGGACGAAUAAAUCUGCUUCAACUCUACUCCCACACCGGCGGUGUCUUUCAUGGCGGCGUCUCGGAGUUGAUGGCAUCGUGUCUCUGUCGAUCCCUCAGAUCGGCAGCAUUAGGGUUCAUGGAUGAUGUUGGCGAGACGGCGGCGGCGACUCCAUCAGGUGUGUCUCUCCUUAUGCUCUGUCCCGGUUGCUGUGGCGUUGUCUCCGACGUCAUGGUGGAGCAGGGAGGUUUUGUCGUUCAGGAGUACGCGCAGGCGGUUGUCUACACAAGUGACAGCUGGAAGAUGGAGUAUCCUGUGUUGGGUCUGUGGUCGAAGGAUGCCAGUUCUGGUUUCCUCCUCCGACGUCGUCAUCGUCAUGCGGGGGUGUCAGUUCUGAAAUUCGAUGGCGUGUACGGGGACAUGUUGCCCCGGUCUGAUUCUGUCAACGGCUAUGGUUUUGUUUCUGGCAAACUACUUUGGAGGUCCGUAAAGCUGUUGAUCAGCGAUGAAGUCGCAUCGAGCUUUGGUGAAGAGGUGAUCUGUCUUUUUAUCCUUUGGUGGUCACUUCGGUGGUGUCCAAGGAAAGGGACAUGCGCUAGUAUUUUGCAUAAGAUUUUCCUAUCUUUUCAGUUAUGUAUGAUCGGUGCUUACAUGACUUGUAACUUGAUCUUUAUUCUAUUUCUAUAUAAAUGAGACACGUAUUAUCAUGAAAAAAAAGGUGCAUUAGUAGUUAUACCCAGGCUCUACUAGUGAGUUGGCUCCGUUGCUAGUUAUACUAGGUAAACAUCACACACAUUGCUACGGAAAUUUAAAGCAAUGAAAUUAUAAAAAAUAGCAUAUAUGUGAAUAAUACCAUACAACAUUCUCAACAUAUGACAAUAGAAAACCUAGAUGUAACUGGAGGGUGGAUGCAUGUUAUGUUGUCUUGUGACCUUCAAGUUUAAUUAUUUGUUGUUGAAAGAUAAUAAAUAGUAAAAAUAAUGAGGUGAAGAGCGUGCGUGUGUUUCAUGAUGUGGAGGGCUUGCAUAUGAUGGAAAGCGAAAAGUCAAAUGAUUACAUGCACCCUUGAUGAUGUGGAGGACUUGCAUGUGAUAAAAAAUGGUAAGUGAAAGUUGAUUGGUUGCAUGUCUUUCAUGAUGUGAUUAAUUUGCAUGUGCAUUUAAAUGGGAUGACUUACUUAGAUAUAUAGGAUAUAUGUGUGAAAGGUUACUGCAACCCCCCGGUAUAUAUGUGUGAAAGGUAAUUGCACCCCCUGGUAAAGAGAUAAGUGCCGGAGCUACCAAAAAAUUAUUGGGCAGGCCAAGGUGGCCCGUCCUAAAGGAAACACAUUUUUCUCUCUCAAAAGGCCCAAGUUUACCUAUACUAUGGCCACGUAAGGUAGAGUGGAAGAAAAGCUCUCACGUCGCCCCUCUCGGGCGACUCGGGAGCGGCCCCAAACCCUAGCCGCCACCUCCUCUCCUCCCUCCUGCCCCCUCCUCGCCGCCACCCGAGGAGCCUGCCGGCUGCCGCGCGUCUUCCGGUGAAGGUGGCGGCGAGGAUCUGCUGCCUCGCGCCGGCGUGAGGAGCUUUGGAAGCCAGGGCGGCGGCCCUGGGUGGAGAUGGAGGCGUCGAUUUCUCCGGUGGAUGAUGCGCGUAGGUGAUGGUCGUCCCUCCCGGCCGCGUGGGUGGCGUGAGGACGGCGAGGUCUUGCUGCAGCGGUGGGCGGCUCUCUUCCUCCCAGCCCCUUCCCUCCUGCAGUGGUCUCCUCUCGCCGAUCUGGUGGCUGGUUCGUCAGAUCUGGGCUUCGAGGAUGGGGCGGUGGAGACUUGGAACGGGGGAAACCCCUGGUCGAUUUCGCGUCGACCUCGACGCCGGCGGCGCUCCGGUGUCGUUCUCCCUCUUGAGGGCGGGUCGAGCUUCCAGAUCCGUCCCUCCUCCUCCUCCUCCCUUCCCCGGGCGAAAGCUUGGCCUUUUUGGCCGGACAGUGGAGGCGUUCUGGCGUCUCGGCCCUUCCUGGAGGCGCCGUUCAAGGGGUGGUUGGGGGUUGUGGACCUGGUGCGUGGUGGUGGGUGGCGGUGGUGGUACUCGGUUCCCCUGGUUGCCGACGUUGGUGGUGACGUGUAGGUUCUUCCGCAUCCUUCAGCGGCUCCUCACUUUGUUUGCUGGUUGGUCGCCGGCUGGCAGUGGGUGUCCGUGUGUUUGGCACGGUCUGGAAGAAGGGGAGAUAGUGGUCUCUCCUCCGGCAGUGGCCCGAGGCGGCGGCCGGUGCAGUCGAUGGUUUCCUUCACGCGGUCUGGAUCUUCAUGUUCACGGCUUUUGCUGUCGCCGGGUGGCUUCGGCCCUGCCGUUCUAGCUGUGCAAGAUCUCCGGCGGCUUGAUCGCAGUAUUUCUUGCUGCCUUAUUCUCUGUUGCUCUUGGUUGUAGUGAAUUUGGCAUGUCUUUUUCAGUUUUUGUCAAGUCUUUGCCUUUGUAAUUCAGCACCAUUGUAUCCUAGCCGGUUGAUGGCUUCAUUAAUUUGAAGUCGGGUCUUUGUGCCUUUUCUCUAAAAAAAAGUUUACAUAUACUAUUUGAUGUUUUGGCUAUGCAUUGGGCCGGCUAUAUAUGGCCCAUCUGGCCUUGCUUUAGCUCCACUAGUGGUCAAGACUAUAAGAAAACGCACCAUGAAAAAUAUUAUAACAAUUUUUCUCUUACUCAAUUCGCGACAAGAAAAAUCUCUCUAUGAUAGUGCUACACAACAUAUGAGAGACCAUAAUAAUCUCUCACCCAUCCCAUGGUGCUGGCAGGGUCAACUCUAUAAUUUUGAGAGCCCUUGUGUGAAAUUGGCAAAUUGAUAGUCUUUUUUUUCUUUUAUUGUGCAUGAAAACUCCUUUUAAGCAACAUUAUAGUAACCCUAAAACUGACAAGGAAAGAAAAUACAUAAGUAGAAUUUUAGAAAUCAGAGCGCUAACAUUUAACAUGCUUCAGCGAAUGGGUGGCUCUGGUAAUAUGGAUAUGGAUACGAGGAAUGAGAGGCCUAGAGAGUGAUAAGCUCAUGCUUCGUUGUCACAGACGCCCGAGGAGGCGAGACACCCACGUCGUCAAGCUUCGAGACAAACCUGUGAAGAUGAAGAUCACGAAUUACAAUUAGGAGAACUAGUGAUGCCAUGUGUCCGUGUUGCACACCGAUUAUGAUUCUUUUCCCUUUUAUGGACCAGUCAACCAACGGCUAAAGGCCUAAAGCUUCUUGAAGAGCGUGUAUACCUCAAUUUUAGGAGAGCUCCUUCUCACCGCUUAUAGUGCUCUUUCUUUUUUUUGCGAAAACACUUGUAUUACUCAACUCAUAAUGUCUUUACAAUCAUCAAGGGAAAUACCCAAGACCUCAUCUGGCCCAGAUCCCAGCCAGGUCAUAGUCCGCCCUCUACUCGAGCAAAUCUAGCCAAACUAUCACUAGCUUUAUUAUGGGCUCUCAAAACAUGAGUAAUACAAGUUCGUCUCAAAGGAAGCAGCAACCUUAUUUCAUUAACCAACGAGGCAUAGACUGAACGAUCAACUUCGCCGGAGCUUAUCAUGGAGACGGCCAAGCUUGAGUCUGACUCAAUGACAAUGGGCAGUUCUGAACUCUGUAUGGCGAGCGAAACGCCCUCCAUGAUAGCACAUAAUUCAGCUUCAACAACGUCUCUACAGGAAUAUAACACCCUGCAGCUUGACAAAAUAAUCACACCCCUGGAGUCUCGAAGAAUCAUACCAGCGCCCGCUUUAUCAUCCGUUACAAACGAUCCAUCUGUAUUCAAUUUCACCCAGCCAACAUCCGGUGGCUUCCACCUACAUUCAGGGUCCGUUCGCUGAUGUUGCACCUGUACGGAAGACAUAUGAUCCAAGGAAACGAAUCCCUUGCCUUUAGCCGGGUCCAUUCCUGGAUUUUGUUUGAUCCCAAUCAACUCUUCCAAAUACCUUUUCAGAAAACUAACAGAGACAUCCAUAGCGGGAGCUGGUUUAAAGUGCACUACUUCAUUUCGAACAUACCAACUUCUCCAUAGUGCUCAUUAGUGCCGUAGCGCACAAGAGCCCGCGCGCAUGUGUCAUCCCAUUAAAAGGCAAAGCGGUUGCUCACCUGGCCACCCACUACACUCUUUUUUCGCCAGCCUUUUUUUUCCUGGAAUUGCUCUGUUAUUCAAUGAAAAAAUGCCACCGGUUUUCUAAAUUUAAAAAUUCAUGAAUAUGAAAUAUUUCACAAAUUUGAAAAACAAUUAUGGUUUGAAGAGAAUGAAUGCAAAAACAUUGAAAAUUUUGAAAAAAAUCACAAAUUCAUUUUUUGUGAAUUCGAAAAAAGUUGAUUCAAAAAAGUUUGUGAAAUUUGAAAAAAAAAUCUCAUGAAUAUGAAAAAAUGGUCAAAAUUUGAAAAAAUAUGGUAGAGAAGUUUAACAUUCAAAUAAUCAGAAAAAGAGAAAAAAGGCGGAAGAGUAAAAAAGAAAAAUCAGGCCGAAAGUUUCCAUAGCCAAAGUUGGCCCAUAAGCUUCUGGAAGCUUCCUAAAAUCGAGAGGAGGGAGCUUCCGCUCAUGUGAAUGCCAUAGAUUGGGCAGCCCUUUUACAAUCUAUUGAAGGAAGAGAUGUGUGCGCUUUCUGCCAAUAACUUGGAAACCAAUGCUAAAUAGCAUAUUUCCACUUUUAGCGUGGCAUAGAACGGAAUUCAACUAUAGAUCCACGAUAUGGGCAAAUCCCAACAUUUUUUCUAACAAGCUACUUUUUUCUAUAGGGGCAGAUGUCUCACUCUAACUACGAGUAGGAUUUUUUUGUUCUUAUUUUCACAUUUUUCUUUUCAUUUUUCCUAAUUUUCUAUUAAACGCUCUAUAACAUAUAUGGGUGAUCAUAUAGCUUAAUAAGUGUUCAUGUACUUUAAAAAAUUUCAUCACGUAUUUAUAAAACGUUUUCAAAUAUGAAACAUUUUUAAAAUACACAUACAAUUACAGAAGUGUUCAUAUUUUUCUGAAAAUAUACACUAUGAACAUUUUGAACAAUACGGAUGAAGAUUUAUUUUAAUACAUGAUGAACCUUUGAAAUCACAACAUUUUCUAAAAAUACACAAUGAUUUUUAUAUACACAAUAAAUAUGUUUUUCAUACACGAUGAACAAUUUGUAAAAACAUGAGUGAACAUUGCCAAACUCCGAUGAGGGAGGGGCGAUGAUGGUAGUACGCCUCCGGCUUGCUCGAGUGAUUGUAAACAUUGCUAGGUGGUCUACGGACCUAGACAUAAGUUGUAUUACCUCUGGUGUUCUUGUACUGACAUAAUGGUUGAUAAGUAAAUUGGAUUUUUUUUCAUAAUUUUAUUCAGAAAAAUGUUCAACAUGUCUUACAAAUUGUUCCAGAGAUUAAGAAAAAUAUAUUCGCAUUUUUCAAAAAGAACUGUACAUUUCAAUUUUUUCACAUGUUUAGAAUAUUGUUCAUGAAUUAUAAAAAAAUGUGUUAUUACAUUUUUGGACAGAUGUUUGUGGUAUAUAAAAAUUGUUCAUCAUGUAUUUAUAAAACAAUCAAACUUGUAUUAAAAAAAUAUUCUAUGUGUAUCUAAAAAUGUUUAUUAUUUUUAAUAAUUUCAAUGUGUAUUUGGAAAAUUGGAAAAAAAAAUGAAACAAUGAACAGGAAAAGUAAAGAGAAACCAAAAAUGAAAAACCUAAACAAACCCAAUAAACAAGAGAAAUAAAAAAACCAGACAAGAGGUUAUGAAAUCACAAGCAACAAACAAAUGCUAUAGACCUCCACCACUACUAGGCCACAGCCCACACCGCAUCGCCAAAGGUGAGCGCCUCGCAGUAGACAGAGACAUAGCAUUUGCGCAAAAUGACUACACACGUUGAACAAACUGUCCGCUUUCAUGCACUUUGGGUGGAGCUUAUCAUGGAGUGUGUAUCUUCAGUAAGCUAUAUGGUCCGGUUCAAUAAUACAGAAACUGAAGAAUUUGCUCCCACGAGAGGGCUCAGACAGGGUGGCCCAUUAUCACCUUAUUUAUUUCUCUUGUGCUCUGAGGGUCUUUCAAGCUUAUUAGCUCAUGAACAGGAAAUUGGAGGAGUGGAAGGGGUCCGUGUUUGUAGAAAUGCCCCCCUAUCUCACAUUUACUGUUUGCAGAUGACUCCUUGAUCCUAAUGAAGGCGGACUCACAUAAUGCAAGUACACUCAAAAGUGUUCUUGACACAUAUUGUGCUAGUUCUGGGCAACUAGUUAGUAAUGCUAAAUUGAGUAUAUUUUUUAGUCCUAAUACUAAUGUCAAUACCAGGGAGAAUGUGUGUAGAGAUUUAAAUAUUGAGACAGAAGCUCUAUCUGACACAUACUUAGGUCUCCCUACAAUGGUGGGAGUCGACAGAACUGACUGUUUCCAGCACUUGAUCGAUAGAGUUUGCCAGAGGUUGAAGGGAUGGAAGGAGAAGACACUCUCGAUGCAAGGUAAAGAGGUACUGGUAAAGUCGGUAGCCCAAGCAAUACCUUCUUAUGCAAUGUCAGUUUUUAAAUUGCCUAAAGGAAUUUGUAAGUCUAUCACCGAUGAAAUUGUUGGGUUCUGGUGGGGUGAGAAUGCGGAGAAAAACAAAAUGCAUUGGUUUGCAUGGUGGAGGUUGUGUAUUCCGAAGAAGGAAGGGGGUUGGGUUUUAGAGACUUGCACAGUUUUAAUCUUGCUAUGUUAGCAAAACAGUGUUGGCAACUAAUCCAAAAUCCGGAUUCUUUGUGUGCGCAAGUUCUGAGGGCAAAAUAUUACCCAGAUGGCGACAUAUUGAAAGCUGGACCAAAAAAGGGCUCUUCUUAUACUUGGCAGAGUAUUGUCGCAGGUAUUCAGACAUUUAAGUGGGGUUGUAUUUGGUGUGUUGGAAGUGGAUCUCAAAUUGAUAUCUGGCAUGAUCCAUGGAUUCCAUCAAGUGUCACAAGGAAAGUAAUCACGAAUAGGGGUGCAACAAUACUUUCAAAGGUUGAUGAGUUAAUAAAUCCGUACACAGGCCAGUGGGAUGAGGAUCUAAUUUGUGAUGUUUUCUCUCCUGUCGAUGUUCAUAGGAUAUUACAAAUCCCCUUGAAUUAUCACUUGACAGAAGACUUUGUGGCUUGGAACUAUACAUGAUCAGGCACGUUUUCCGUGCGAUCGGCUUAUCAUAAGGAGUUUGAACAUCAACAAGGGGCACAGUGGGUGCGAGCUGAUGGGCAAGGCACAGAAAAUAUAAAUCCAGUUUGGAAGGAUAUGUGGAAGCUGAAAAUACCAGGGAAGAUAAAACAUUUUGCAUGAAAAGUUUUGCAUGGCGCCCUCCCAUGCUUUGGUGUAUUAGCAAGCCAACAAAUCCCAUGCUCAUCUCAAUGUCCAAUUUGUUUAGUGGGAGCAGAAGACAUUCAACACUGCUUAUUUAAGUGCCGACGAGCGACGGAUGUUUGGGAGCGGCUGGGCUUGCUACAAGUCAUACGGAAAGCUGUGGCCGAGGACAGAUCAGGAUCUAUUACGAUGGAAAUUUUAUCAAAGCUUCAGGGCAAUGAUGCGGAGGUACCAACGGCGGAGCUUACUGUUGUAGCAGCAUGGUAUAUAUGGUGGCAGCGCCGACAGAUAGUAAAGAGAGUCAAAGUCCAAACGCCGGAAAAAACUGCGCUAGCCAUCAAGAUUUUGGCGACAAAUUACCUCAGGUCAGAUAUACCCAAAGGACCAAUAAGGAAGAAUGACCACAUGUGGAGGAAACCAGGAUAUGGGAUCGUGAAGAUAAAUGUUGAUGCUUCCUUUCAGUAUGAAACACUUUCAGGUGCUUGUGGUGCUGCGGCUCGGGACGACCGGGAUGAUUUUAUUGCUGCAGCAAGUUGGUUUGUUCCAAACAUCAGUGGAGUUGACUCAGCUGAGCUAACUGCUAUCAGAAACGGGAUAUACUUGGCAACUCACAUUGGAUGCAACAACAUAGAAAUUGAAUCAGAUUGUUCCUUCGCAGUGGACUCGCUGAACCAAGUUGAUGAUUAUUUAGGCCUGGAGGUAGCUAUCAUCACAAAGUGUAAACAACUUAUGAUGGACUUUGCGUCCAUAUCCUUCAGACAUUGCUAUAGAGAGGCCAAUCAGGUGGCAGAUGAAUUAGCAAAGAACUCUUUUACUACUGGAUCCUCUAGUUCUUGGGAUGAUGAGAUCCCUGAUUUUAUUUCUCAUCUGCUUGUAAAUGACAUGUCUAUUAUUUGAGAAAUAAAGUCUAUUUGCAGUUCAAAAAAAAACUGCCCGCUAGCUAGUUAUUAGAAAGGCAUGUAACUUAAUUCAAACUCAACAAAAUUAUAGGUACAAUGCUUUGGAUCAUAGAUACAAGAAAUUACAAAAUAACUCAUAUAACUAAGAAUUACAAUAAAACCCUCUUGAAUCAAAAUAUGAUAAACAGAGGAAAAAAAUUAGCACAUAUAAUCCUUACUCUAUCCAAAUAUAUGGCGGUGCUAAACUGAGCAGCCCCAUUAGUUUUGGAGCUCCGGCUCCAUGGAGUCCUUUUUGGAAAAUCAUACAUGCAUAACUAAACACCCGCAUGCAUGAGGCUGGAGAAUCAGGGCCAUGCAACAUCAAUAUAGGUUAAUUUGUCGGAGAGUUGUAAGAUUUAAUAAUUUAAGACAAUACGCAUAAUAAAAUCCCCACUAGUGAAGUGUCAAAAACCCUCUUAUAUUGUGGGACACAGGGAGUACAAUUUUAAAACUGUGCCCAGUAUACCGGACCAGAGGGAGAGCUUGAGAAAACACUGAGUCAGAAAAAACUUACUAAGCAGACCAUGGAGCCUUAGAGCAUCUCCAGUCGUGCCCCAGAACGGCCUCCCAAGGCGAUUUUUUUGCGCCGGUGCCAAAAAACGGUCCACUCGCGUCCUCAGGAGCCCGUUUUUCACUGACUUGGGCCGAAAUCAGCGUAGGCGGACCCAGGCCGAACCCGAUGCGUCUUGGGGGGGGGGCGCCCGGGGGCGCCGGGGCGAGUGUUUUGGCGCAAACAGCCGCGGGCCCGCCGAGUCAGCGAGACGGCCGCUUCGUCGACCUCAUCGCCUCGGUUCCCGCGGGAAUCAAUACAAAGGUUGUCGCGCCGGUCAGCCUUCAUUUGAUGCCUCACGGGCGACGGAGUGAAGACACCGCCGACGCGGGUCCCGCCCGCAUGCCGCCGCCCCGCCACCCCGCUUCGGCUAUAAAAGGCGCCCCCUUCCCGCCGGUGAGCGCAAUAGCCUCCCCCACUCCCUCCCGCGAAAGCCUUCUCCCCGCCGGCGAGCUCUCACGCCACUUCCCCCUGCCCGCCGACGAGCGAAACCAUGACGGAGAGAUACCCAGGCAACGGCGCAGCGGCAAAUGGCUUCGGCCGCCGGCACCUCCAGGAGCUGGAGGCGCGCCUUCUGUACGAGGCCGAGUACCCGGCGCCCCCCGACAUGCGCGUGUCGGGUUCGUGGAGGCUGAGCGUCGGAGGCGUCCCGGUGCCGCCGGUGCCCAAAGGGGCGGCAUGGCGGGCGGAGAUCGCCCGCAUCCACUCGUCGCUGACAGAGGAGCAGAGGAACGAGCCGAGGUACGCGCCCGAUAGCGAAACGCUGUGGACGUUGUACUUCGAGUGCCACCGCGAGGAGCAGAUCGCCUCCGUCAACGGCAUCAUCUCCCACGGCCGCCUCAACUCUGAAGGACGGCGUGAGUGGUGGGGCGUCCCCGACCGCACACUCGACGCCGUCGUCGACCACAUCGAGACUGACAAUGUGCCGCGGCUAGAGUACCCGGCGCGACCCUCCUUCUCUCGCCGCCGUGGCAGUUCCUGGAUGUCGCGGCGAAUGGAGCCGGGGUCGUCCUCGUCGUCGGGCUCCGGCUCGCCGACCCUCCGCCCCGCCAAGCCUGAGCCGGAGGGGGCACCGCUCGGGCGCCGCGCUCGCAGCAGCGCCCUCGUCAUCAACGAGCCCUCGCCUGCGGCGGCGCCGGCAAGGCGCUCCCUCCGCCUGGUCCGGCCGAAGCCCGAGCCGGAGAUGCUCCCCGUGAAGCCGGAGCACGCUGGCAUGGUGGCCCCCGACGACAAGUCCGCCCUCAAAUGGGUGAGGGAGGACUACGUCCGCGAACAGAUGCGCCACCAGCGUCGGGCGUACCUGGACACCCAGGCCAGUAGCCGCGCCGAGGCCCGUCGCCGCACCGAGGAGGGCGGCGUCAUCGUCAUCGACAGCGACGACGAGGACGAGGCUGGGCCGUCAAGCGCUGUCGGCGACCACGGCGAGGGAUGCAGCAGGGACGCUGCAGGCGAGGUGCGCGACGACGACGACGACGACGGCAGCGGCGGUGGCUACACCCACUUCUACAGGCUUCUCGGCAUAUAGACGGCGACUGUGGCGGCAGCGGCUAGGCUUUUUAGUUCGUUUUUAAGUUAGUUCAUGCAUGUUUUUAAGUUUUUGUACAAAUUUCGACAAAAAAAGGCCGAGUUCAUGCAAAAGUCGCCGAGGUUGCAAAAAAAUUAAAACGAGCUUCGCCGAACCCGCAGCGACCGUGGGCCUGUGACUGAGAGCGAACCGAACCCCAGGGGGCGAUCUAGCGCUGGCUCGCCCCCAUGCCGGUCUUUUGCAGCACCCUGGGGGCCGAACGGCUGGAGAUGCUCUUAGGGCUUCCAACAGGCUCCAGCGAGUUCCUUUCCAGAGAACUUUGUUUCUUGUAUCUCCACGUGGUGAAGCUCACGCACGAGGUGGCUGCACGAUCGGGUCAGUUCCUUUCCGGAGACCUUUCCUUUCCAUUGUGAAUUGAACUGAAGCGAUUGCUUUUUUACUUUGUAUUGCAUUGCACAAAGGUGUACACAUGCUUGAGGUUGCAUGCUUGAUCUGGAGACUCCCCCUCCUCCUCCCCCUCCCUCCCCCGUGCGGCAGCGCCGCCCCGCACCGGGGAGCCCCUGCCCUCCUCCUACAGCCGCGCCUCACCUCUGCUCCCCUCCGCCGUCGUCGCCCGGGGCGUCACAGGGCAAAGCCCUUAUGGCGUGGCGGCGACGGCGGUUUUCUCCUUGGAUCUUGAUCUGGUUGGGAGGCGGCGCUCCUUUCCGGCCAGAUCGGCGGCGGUGGCGCAGAUCGGCGGCGACACGGAUGUGGUACGGUGGCGGUGGAGGACGGCACCAGCAACGGCGGAUCUGGCCUUGACUCAGUCGGGCUAAUUCGUUGUGCUACCGAUCUUAAUCACCGUCUGCGGUGCACUGCUCCUCGACUUGAUCUGCAACACGAGGAUGUCUGGGGCGCCGACCCUAGGCUUGGUGGUGGUGGCCUUCUUCUUCAUCGGAGUUGGUCGGUCGGUUGGCUGUGCUUGCAUGGUCAUGGCGGCGGAGGUCGCAGUGGCUAGUGGCUUAGCCGGUCAGCGGCGACGGAACAUGGCCGGUGGCAGCGGCAAUGUUCUGUCUGGAUCCCCGGGUAGUGGCCCUGGAUGGUGGCGGCCGGUGAAGCUAGGGCUUCCCGCGGCGGCAUGGUGUGGUGCAGUCCCUGUCCAAGGCAGAUCUGUGACGGCGAUCUGAUCUACGGAUUGGUUCGGAUCAGAGACGGUGACGAGCACGGGAUCCAUCUCGGAGGCUCCCGCGGCUUAGCGAGGCGGGGUAGGAGCCCUCCUCCUAGGCUCUAGUGGUGGCACACUUAGGCAGUGGCCGGUGCGCUAGGGCUCCUACGGCGGCACUGUUGUUGCGGUUGGUCGCCGGAUCUAGGCGGCUAGAUCUAGGGUUCUGAGGGCGGUCGAGACGAUGCACAGGUUGUCAGGUGGACUACUUGUGAUGGAUCCGGGUGAAAACCUGGUCUUCAGUCGAUGGUCGGAGCCGGUGAUGACGAUGCCCUUAUCAUUGUUUUCUUCAUGAAGGCAUCAUCGAGGUGAAGCUCCCAGCUCCACUCAAUACCUCCGGGGAAACCCUAGAUCAGCUGAUUGGAUGUUGGCAGCAAUCAUGUGUCGUUACCCCCUUGGGGGCGGCAUUCUUGGAGGUGCACUCGUUCUUGCGGGACCAGCGGACGGCUUCUUUGGUGGAGCGGUGCUUCAUCCUGCACAUUGAUGGCGACGGAUCUCGGCGACGUGGCGCAGUGCAGAUUCGGCGUUCGAUGUGUUAGGAUGGACUCACGCAGGAGGACAACGUUGUCUGGCGUCGUGGUGGCGUCGAUGGCAGAGAGACCUGGCACGGUAGAUGCAACAGUACAACUCUAAAGAUGGACUGGUGGCAGGUGGCUGCGGCGGCUCAUACCCGGCAGGCGUCCUGGUUGAGGAAUGCGCCGGACUUGUAGGUGCCCCAUAUCCGGCAGGCGUCCUGCUUGGGACCGCAGGUCUUAGAUGUUUAGGUUUGACUGCGAGGUCUGUUUGGUAUUAGGUCCAGACUAUCAGCAUCCUUUCAUCAACUGGAUAGGAGUAGCGACAGAUAUUGCCUAGACGGUGGCUUUAGUCUUACUGUUGUAUGACUUUGUAAGGUCUUGUGUGAAUAAUUAAUAAAAUGAUUGCAUGCAUCGUCCAGAUGCAGAGGCCGGGGGCCCUCCUCCAUUUCUAAAAAAACAAAGAUGUACACUGUCUAUCUUAAUUUCUAAAUGAUGGCCGGUCACAUGGACGUGUGAGCAGGGGAUUGACAAGGCAACUAGCAGAAUUCUAUUACUACGAGGAGGCAACUGAUAAAGUAAAAAUAUUGUUACUCACCCUACUAUCAUCAGAUGGAGACACGCACGCAGAAUCCACUGGACAAGGCGACUAACAUAAUUCUAUUACCACGAGGAUGCAACUAAUAGAGUAAAAAUAUUGUUACUCACACGUACUACCACCACAAAAGACACACACGCAGAAUCCAGCUGUACUUAUUAACACGUCUAGCUACCUACGUGUGGUUUCUUCAUUUGUAAUCAACUAAUCAACCAAUAUAACUCCACCGACAUGUUAUACAGUACUACUUGUCACUCCAGCUAGGUAACUGCAAUGCUAAUUAAUGCAGCCUCCAGAUCUGGUUUGUUUCACCCAGCCUAUAAAACCACACAAUAUGUACCUUCAGUUCUCACACAACACACACACACAAAGCACAGCAGGUGCAACACUAACUGCAAGCACAAGAAGUAGGCAGCAAUGACGAAGCAUCGCCUCCUCGCCGUGCUCCUCAUCGGGAUAGUUGCAGCCUCCUCUUUCAACCAAGCAGCUACGGCUGGCCGAGGCCUUGCUGUUGUUGAGAAGUUCGCAGAGCUAGAGCCAAAGCCAGAACCCAAACCAGAGCCAAUGCCCAAACCUAUGCCACACCCAGAGUCAGAGCCCUGCAAACCUGAACCGCUGCCCAAACCCGAACCAAAGCCUGGACAGAAACCUGAACCAGAACCCAAGCCCAAGCCGAUGCCAAAACCAAAGCCAAAGCCCAAGCCCUGCUCCAAACCGAAGCCCGAUCCUAAGCCCGAGCCAAUGCCGAAACCCGAACCAAAGCCGGAGCCCAAGCCUAAUGAACCGAAACCGAAGCCGCCUCCUAAGUGCAAACCACCGACAGCUCACAACUAAUGGGAUACUUGUAUAUGACAGUUGAUGGAGGAGACCCCAUACGGAGCCACACUGUGCUAUUUCUAGAAUACGUGGUGUAGUAUUCCCUGUAUUCCAUUUAUUUGUAUUGUUCCAUGCAUGUGUGAUGAGUAUUAGUACUCUGUACUUAUUAUUUGCUUGUUGGUAUAUGUUCAUCUACUUUGUAUGUGACUUGACUCGUUGUUCUUUUGAGUAUCUACGCAUGAUGGUAUUCAUUUUCAUGAAUGAGCUAUUUUGUCAGUGAUCUGCAGUCUAUGUUGUUUUCUCUAUGGCGUGCAGUCUCAGUUAUUUUCUCUAUAGGAUUGUUUCAUUAUUAUGUGGUCUUUUUUGGCGGAAAAGAUGAUGUCAACAAAAGGGAAGAGAAGGCCUCCUAAAUAGCAGCACACAUAUGAAGUGUAUAGUGUGCACGUACGUGUCUGGUGUUCUAGGUGUCUAAAGUGUACUCAUACGCCAGACAGCGGUUUUGUUCUCUACCCUUCGCCUAUGAACUAAGUCCCGACCAGGUGCGUUAGUAUUUAUACCCAGGCUCUACGAGUGAGCUGGCUCCGUUGCUAGUUAUUCUAGGUAAACGUCACACACAUUGCUACGGAAAUUUAAAGCAAUGAAAUUAUAAAAAAUAGCAUAUAUGUGAAUAAUACCAUACAACAUUCUCAACGUAUGACAAUAGAAAACCUAGAUGUAACUGGAGGGUGGAUGCAUGUUAUAUUGUCUUGUGACCUUCAAGUUUAAUUAUUUGUUGUUGAAAGAUAAUAAAUAGUAAAAAUAAUGAGGUGAAGAGCUUGCGUGUGUUUCCUGAUGUGGAGGGCUUGCAUAUGAUGGAAAGUGAAAAGUUGAAUGAUUACAUGCACCCCUGAUGAUGUGGAGGACUUGCAUGUGAUGAAAAAUGGUAAGUGAAAGUUGAUUGGUUGCAUGUCCUUCAUGAUGUGAUUAAUUUUCACGUGCAUUUAAAUUUGAUGACUUACUUAGAUAUAUAGGAUAUAUGUGUGAAAGGUAACUGCACCCCCCCCCCUCUGGUAUACACUCCCUCCGUUCCAAAAUAGAUGACUCAACUUUGUACUAACUUUAGUACAAAAGUAGUACAAAGUUGAGUCAUCUAUUUUGGAACGGAGGGAGUAUGUGUGAAAGGUAAUUGCACCCCCUGGUCAAGAGAUUAGUGGCGGAACUACCCGCAAAAUAUUGGGCAGGCCGAGGCGGCCCAUCCUGAAGGAAAACACAUUUUUAUCUCUCAAACACUAGUAGAAAAGGGGGCAUUGGUCCAGGCCGGGUCAGCGCUUUAGUCCCGGUUCAAUCCAGAACCGGGACCAAUGGGGGCAUUGGACCCGGUUCGUGAGCCCCGGGGGCCGGCCGGGCCACGUGGGCCAUUGGUCCCGGUUCAUCUGGACCUUUUGGUCCCGGUUGGUGGGACGAACCGGGACCAAUGUGCCUUGCUCCUGGCCCACCACCACUGGUCCCGGUUGGUGGCAUGAACCGGGACCAAAGGCUUCCCUUUCGUCCCGGUUCAAGCCACGAACCGGGACCAAUUAAUUGCCUAUAUAUACCCCUCGCCCGCGAGCAGAGCACUCUCACUGCUCUGUUUUUCGUGGACGGCGAGGAGAGAGCUUUGUGGUGCUCUAGCUCACCUCCUAUGCACACGAGGUGUUUGAUGGAAUGCCCGAGGCACACUACUUAAGCUUUCUCCUCUCCAAGCUCGACCUCCAAGCUCCAUUUUCCUCAAUAUUUGUCUACGUUUAGCGGUCCGUCACGUCCCGUCCCCGUCUUCACCGUCGUCGAUCGCCCGCGCUGAUCUCGUCGCCGGCACCACCGUGGUGAGCCUCUUGUUCUUAUCUUCUUUCUGAAAGGAAAAAAAAUUCUUACUUGUAUGUUUAUAUAGAUACUUGUAUAAUUUUCUUACUUUUAUUAUUGCAUCUUAUAUAGUGCGAUGGUUUUGGUAUCCGCCCCCGUCGGUCCUCAUCCUGUCUAUGAUUCGGAUGUGGUAUAUAUUAUCUUUUCAUAACUAUUGGUUCAUCUAUUGUUUAUGACAAUUAUGCCGACCAACGUGACAUAGAUUUUAUUUAUCUAGGAGGUUGUUGAACCGGAAAUUCCAACCGACCCUAUUGUCGAGAGGUUAAAUUUAGUUGAAGAAGAAAACAGUUUCUUGAAGGAAAAAAUAGAAAAAUUGAGGAGGAGAAGAUGAUAUUGGAGUUGCAUGUUGCGGAUGUCGUGGAUGAUCACAAGAUCAAGAUGGAUGCAAUGCGCUUGAAGAUUAGAAAAAUUAGAAAAUAUGCCAUUCAUACCGAGGCUUGGUAUCAUUAUGCCGUUGGAUCAGUUGUUACAUUGGUUGCGAUUAUGAUUGCAUUUGUUUUCGCAUUGAAAUGUUUUACAUAGUUUCAAUGUAUGGUUUAAUUAAUUUACAUGCUCUGCAGAGCUUUAUGUUGUUAGAUGAGAACUAUGUAUGUACUUUGGUUUUAAUGUGAUGAUGAACUUCUAUUAAUUUGGUCACUUAAUUAUCUAUUCAUGAUGUUCUGUAAUGAUUUUUGACACACUUGAUUAUAUAUAAUGCACGCAGAUGAACCGGCAAUGGAUGUACGGUUCAAGACACACCUCCGAGUACAUUAAGGGCGUGCAUGAAUUUCUCGAAGUGGCUGAGGCAAACAAGCAGAAUGGUUUUAUGUGUUGUCCAUGCCCUAUAUGUGGAAAUACAAAGUCUUACUCUGACCGGAAAAUCCUUCACACCCACCUGCUUUACAAGGGUUUCAUGCCACAUUAUAAUGUUUGGACGAGGCACGGAGAAAUAGGGGUUAUGAUGGAGGACGGUGAAGAAGAAAAGUACGAUGACAACUAUGUGCCCCCUGAAUACGUGAUGCUACUGAAGAUCAAGAGGAACCAGACGAUGUGCACGAUGAUGCUGCAACAGGCGAAGCUGCUAAAGAUCAAGAGGAACCAGACGAUGUGCCCGAUGAUGAUGAUCUCCGCCGGGUCAUUGUCGAUGCAAGGACGCAAUGCGAAAGUCAAAAGGAGAAGCUGAAGUUCGAUCGCAUGUUAGAGGACCACAAAAAAGGGUUGUACCCCAAUUACGAAGAUGGCAACACAAAGCUCGGUACCGUACUGGAAUUUCUGCAGUGGAAGGCAGAGAAUUUUGUGCCUGACAAAGGAUUUGAGAAGCUACUGAAAAUAUUGAAGAAGAAGCUUCCAAAGGAUAACGAAUUGCCCGACAGUACAUACGCAGCAAAGAAGGUCGUAUGCCCUCUAGGAUUGGAGGUGCAGAAGAUACAUGCAUGCCCUAAUGACUGCAUCCUCUACCGCGGUGCGUACAAGGAUCUGAACGCAUGCCCGGUAUGUGGUGCAUUACGGUAUAAGAUCAAGCGAGAUGACCCUGGUGAUGUUGACGGCGAGCCCCCCAGGAAGAGGGUUCCUGCGAAGGUGAUGUGGUAUGCUCCUAUAAUACCACGGUUGAAAUAUCUGUUCAGAAACGGAGAGCAUGCCAAGUUGAUGUGAUGGCACAGUGAGGACCGUAAGAAAGACAGGAAGUUGAGAGCACCCGCUAACGGGUCGCAGUGGAGAAAAAAUCGAGAGAAAGUACUGGGAUGAGUUUGCAAGUGACCCAAGGAACGUAUGGUUUGCUUUAAGUGCGGAUGGCAUUAAUCCUUUCGGGGAGCAGAGCAGCAAUCACAACACCUGGCCCGUGACUCUAUGUAUGUAUAACCUUCCUCCUUGGAUGUGCAUGAAGCGGAAGUUCAUUAUGAUGCCAAUUCUCAUCCAAGGCCCUAAGCAACCCGGCAACGACAUUGAUGUGUACCUAAGGCCAUUAGUUGAAGAAUUUUUACAGCUGUGGAAUGGAAACGGUGUACGUACGUGGGAUGAGCACAAACAGGAGGAAUUUCACCUAAAGGCGUUGCUGUUCGUGACCAUCAACGAUUGGCCCGCUCUCAGUAACCUUUCAGGACAGACAAACAAGGGAUACCACGCAUGCACGCACUGUUUACUUAACACCGAUAGUAUAUACCUAGGAAGCUGCAGGAAGAAUGUGUACCUGGGCCAUCGUCGAUUUCUUCCGACCAACCAUCAAUGUCGAAAGAAAGGCAAGCAUUUCAAAGGCGAGGCAGAUUACCGGAGGAAGCCCGCCAUGCGUACCAGUGUCACGUACUUGCUAUGGUCAAUGAUUUACACGUAAUCUUUGGAAGGGGUCCCGACGGACUAGCUGUUCCGAGUGACGCUGGGGGACACGCACCCAUGUGGAAGAAGAAAUCUAUAUUUUGGGACCUACCCUACUGGAAAGACCUAGAGGUCCGCUCUUCGAUCGACGUGAUGCACGUGACGAAGAACCUUUGCGUGAACCUGCUAGGCUUCUUGGGCGUGUAUGGGAAGACAAAAGAUACAGCUGAGGCACGGGAGGACCUGCAACGUUUGCACGAAAAAGACGGCAUGCCUCCAAAGCAGUAUGAAGACCCUGCCAGCUAUGCUCUUACCAAAGAAGAGAAGGAAAUCUUCUUUGAAUGUCUGCUUAGUAUGAAGGUCCCGACUGGCUUCUCGUCGAAUAUAAAAGGAAUAAUAAAUAUGUCAGAGAAAAAGUUUCAGAACCUAAAGUCUCAUGACUGCCAUGUGAUUAUGACGCAACUGCUUCCGGUUGCAUUGAGGGGGCUUCUACCGGAAAACGUCCGAUUAGCCAUUGUGAAGCUAUGUGCAUUCCUCAAUGCAAUCUCUCAAAAGGUGAUUGAUCCAGAAAUCAUACCAAGGCUAAGGAGUGAUGUGGUGCAAUGUCUUGUCAGCUUCGAGCCGGUGUUCCCACCAUCCUUCUUCAAUAUCAUGACGCACGUCCUAGUUCAUCUAGUUGACGAGAUUGUCAUUCUGGACCCCGUAUUUCUACACAAUAUGUACCCCUUUGAGAGGUUCAUGGGAGUCCUAAAGAAAUAUGUCCGUAACCGCGCUAGGCCAGAAGGAAGCAUCUCCAUGGGCCAUCAAACAGAGGAUGUCAUCGGGUUUUGUGUUAACUUCAUUCCUGGCCUUAAGAAGAUAGGUCUCCCUCAAUCGCGGUAUGAGGGGAGACUGACUUGAAAAGGCACGCUUGGAAGGGACUCAAUAAUAUGCAGGGACGGAUAUUCUUGGUCUCAAGCACGCUACACAGUUCUAUAGAACUCUACCUUGGUGACCCCGUAUGUCGAUGAACAUAAGAACAGUCUGCGCUCCAAACACCCGGAGCACUGCGACGACUGGAUUACAUGUGAACACAUCAGGACUUUUAGUAGUUGGUUGGAAGCACGUCUCAGAGGUGACAACACUGUUUGUGAUGAGCUGUACUUGUUGUCCAGGGGACCAUCUUCGACUGUUACGAUUUGGAAAGGAUACGAGAUAAAUGGGAAUACAUUUUACACGAUUGACCAAGAUCAAAAGAGCACCAACCAAAACAGCGGUGUCCGCUUUGAUGCAACAACCGAGAGGGGAAAGGACACAUAUUAUGGUUACAUAGUGGACAUAUGGGAACUUGACUACGGACAUGAUUUUAAGGUCCCUUUGUUUAAGUGCAAAUGGGUCAAUCUGUCAGGAGGCGUGGUACAGGUAGACUCACAGUACGGAAUGACAACAGUGGAUCUGAAAAAUCUUGGGUACAGUGAUGAACCGUUCGUCCUAGCCAAUGAUGUGUCACAGGUUAUCUAUGUGAAGGACAUGUCUACCAGACCGAGAAAAAGAAAAGAUAAGGAAGCGAAUACAUCAUACGAUGAGCCAAAGUGCCACAUAGUUCUUUCAGGAAAAAGGGACAUCGUGGGAGUGGAGGGCAAGACAGACAUUUCUGAAGAUUAUAAAAAGUUUCAUGAAAUUCCUCCCUUCAAAGUCAAGGCUGACCCCAGCAUCCUGAUAAGCGAUGAAGAUUAUCCAUGGUUACGGCGCAAUAAGCAAAUGACACAAGCGAAGAAAAAGUGAAGACUUUCUCCCGCAACUAUUAUGAUGAUACCAUGCCAACUUUGUAACACACGAGUAUGAUACCAUUGUCCAUUUUGUACAUGCACAUGCUAUAUAUGUGGGUGAAUUUAUGAUACCAUGCCAACUUUCAACUUUUUCAUAUUUCAUUAGAAACAAAGCAAGAAAAAAACAAAAAAACAAAAAAAAGUGUUUUCAAAUUUGGAAAUUAAUGGCACUAAUAGAAAGUUUAUAAUUUUUCUAAAACUAAAAGCAAAAAGAAUUAAAAAAUAAAGCAAAAAACAAAAGAAAAUAAAUAAUGCAGAAUACAAAACAAAAAAACAAUUAAAAAUAGCAACAAUAAGUAUUUUGUUGUAAGUAGAAACAAAAUAAAAUAAAUAAAGCAAGAAAGAAAACAAAAAAACAAAAAAGUGUUUUCAAAUUUGAAAACUAAUGGCACUAAUAGAAAGUUUAUAAUUUUUCUAAAACUAAAAGCAAAAAGAAUUAAAAAAUAAAGCAAAAAACAAAAGAAAAUAAAUAAUGCAGAAAACAAAACAAAAAAGCUGGAAAAUAAUUAAAAAUAGCAACAAUAAGUAUUUUGUUGUAAGUAGAAACAAAAUAAAAUAAAUAAAGCAAGAAAGAAAACAAAAAAAAUGCCUCCUACUGGGCCCCCACGGCCUGAAUACGACUAGAAACCCUACCAUGGGCCAGGAUUCAGGCCCGCAGUAGGCACAGAAGGCCCAUCAGGCAAAGCAGUAGCAAUUAGGCCCGCAAGCCUACGGUGGAGAGGAGCUCGAGAGGGGUGCUGCAGUGGGGUUUAUAAACCACUGCGCGCCCCUCUCAACUAGCAAGGUGGGACUAAACUUUGGCCCCGACACGGGCAGCACAGGGUCCUUUGGUCCCGGUUGGUGGCACCAACCGGGACUAAAGGGCCUUUAGUCCCGGUUGGUGCCACCAACCGGGACCAAAGGUCGCCGCUUCCCGCCCUUUGGCUGCUGAAAAGAGGCCUUUGGUCCUGGUUGGUGGUACCAACCGGGACUAAAGGGGGCAUUAGUCCCGGUUGGCCUCACGAACCGGGACUAAUGCCCUUGAUAUAUAUACAGCACUUAGGAAAAUUUGACGAACACAUCGCUAGUUGCCCCCGGCCCGCCCGACGACGCCGAGCUCAUCGACGCCGCCAGGCUGCCCAGAUCGACGCCGUCCGCUGCCCCGACGCCGCCCACCGCCCAGACGUUGUCCGCGCGCCGCCCCGACGCCGUCCGCGCGCCCCCGNNNNNNNNNNNNNNNNNNNNNNNNNNNNNNNNNNNNNNNNNNNNNNNNNNNNNNNNNNNNNNNNNNNNNNNNNNNNNNNNNNNNNNNNNNNNNNNNNNNNNNNNNNNNNNNNNNNNNNNNNNNNNNNNNNNNNNNNNNNNNNNNNNNNNNNNNNNNNNNNNNNNNNNNNNNNNNNNNNNNNNNNNNNNNNNNNNNNNNNNNNNNNNNNNNNNNNNNNNNNNNNNNNNNNNNNNNNNNNNNNNNNNNNNNNNNNNNNNNNNNNNNNNNNNNNNNNNNNNNNNNNNNNNNNNNNNNNNNNNNNNNNNNNNNNNNNNNNNNNNNNNNNNNNNNNNNNNNNNNNNNNNNNNNNNNNNNNNNNNNNNNNNNNNNNNNNNNNNNNNNNNNNNNNNNNNNNNNNNNNNNNNNNNNNNNNNNNNNNNNNNNNNNNNNNNNNNNNNNNNNNNNNNNNNNNNNNNNNNNNNNNNNNNNNNNNNNNNNNNNNNNNNNNNNNNNNNNNNNNNNNNNNNNNNNNNNNNNNNNNNNNNNNNNNNNNNNNNNNNNNNNNNNNNNNNNNNNNNNNNNNNNNNNNNNNNNNNNNNNNNNNNNNNNNNNNNNNNNNNNNNNNNNNNNNNNNNNNNNNNNNNNNNNNNNNNNNNNNNNNNNNNNNNNNNNNNNNNNNNNNNNNNNNNNNNNNNNNNNNNNNNNNNNNNNNNNNNNNNNNNNNNNNNNNNNNNNNNNNNNNNNNNNNNNNNNNNNNNNNNNNNNNNNNNNNNNNNNNNNNNNNNNNNNNNNNNNNNNNNNNNNNNNNNNNNNNNNNNNNNNNNNNNNNNNNNNNNNNNNNNNNNNNNNNNNNNNNNNNNNNNNNNNNNNNNAUAUAAUGUUCAUAGCAUUUUUUUUAUUUAUAUAUGUUUUUUCAUAGAUGUAUUAAUUUUUUAUUUAGGUUGUUAGUAGAUAUCGAUUUUAGGUUAGUGCAUUUUAAUUAGGUUAGUGUAGAGGAAAAAGUAAAAUAAGGAAAAGGAAGAAAAGAGGAAGAAGGAAGAAGAAGAAGAAAAAGAAUGAGAGGGAAAAGGAAAAUAAGAAGAGGAAGAAAGGAGAAGAAGAGGAGAGGAAAAGAAGAGGAGAAAUAAAUAAGAAGAAAAAAAAGAAGAAAAAGAAGAGGAGAAGAAGAAAGGAAUAGAGGAGAAGAAGAAAAAAUAGAAAAAAUUCUAAUUUUUUUUUCUUCUCCUCCUCUUUUUUUUCUUCUUUUUUUCUUCGAUCUUCUCCUCUAUUCCUUUCUUCUUCUCCUCUUUUUAUUUCUUCUUUGUUUUCUUAUGUUUUAUCGGGUCUGUCGCCGUCAGGCUGCUCGCCUUCGCCCUCGCCGCCCCCUCGAGAUAACUUCGACAUGAGGGGCGGUCGAUAUAUAUACCCCCUCUCGACCGUGAUAACCUAUACAACGGCAGCACCCCCCUCGGCCCUCUCGCUCGACCAAAACUCUCGAGGCCACCCAAAUUUACCAAGUUAAAAGAGCGUUGUCGUCGAGGCCACCCCUAACCCUUGAAGCGUUGUGUCGAGGCGAUCCCAAACCCUAGAGAAGCAGCGUCGAGGCCACUAACAUGAUUCCUUAUUGUGAUUAGCUAGCUAGUUCUACGUUUGCCACUAAUAUAUAUCCAUCUGUACCAUGUUUGAAUAAUAAUUGACAUGUUGUAAAUAUUUGCAGAAACUAUGGAGCACUACCGAGACGAAGCACUAGAAGCGAUGUUGGGGGAGAUGAUCGCAGAAGGAACUGAUGUCAUUGCGUCAUUUUUCAACGACGUCGUUGGUCAGGAAGGACUGGGUGAAGAAGAGGGCUAUGUUCAUGAUGGCUCCGGCUCAUUAAUGCCGGUACAAGAAGAGGGCUAUGUUCAUGAUGGCUCCGGUGAUGACCCAAUGGAGGUACAAGAAGGAGACCGUGCUGACUACUCCGGUGACUGAACCGAGUCCAGCCAGGUAUAUAUAUAGUAGUUAAGCCCGUGCUGACUAGUUAAUUAAUGCAUUCAUUGUUUUGGUAUAUGUACAUAUAUUAAUUAUUCUCGGCUUUCUUCCUUUUAAUUUCUAGCCCUCCGGAUCGAGCACAACUUCGGUAAGGAGACGAGGCCCGAAGAAAAAGUUGAGCUCGGAUGAAAGGUUUGAGAUCAUAGAAAUCGCGCCCGACGGCGAACCGAUUGAACCCAUCCGGACAAAGAACGCAUUUUCUGCUCAGUGCGGGGUUCUUGUUAGGGACAAGAUCUCAAUCAGCAUCCAGCAAUGGUAUAAGCCUAAGGACGACCCUGAGGUGUCUUAUGUCAAUGAUAUGCAGAAAGAAGGUCUUUGGACUCAGCUGAAGGCAAAUUUCACCCUACCGCCAGAGGAGGAUCCGGAGAAGCCAGUUAAAGAGCAAUUAAUCAAGUCGUCUGCUCUUAAGAAGAUGGCAACCCUAUUCAGGAGGUGGAGGAAAGAGUUGAAUCAUUUUGUCGGAAAAAAAAGACACCAGAAUUCAUCGGCAAAUAUGAGAAGAUCAAAGAUCACUGGCCCGCAUUUGUGGCCCACAAGACAUCGGAAAAGAGUAAGAAGAUGUCGGCGACGAACAAGCAAAAUGCUGCGAAGAAGAAGCUUCACCAUCGCACGGGGUCAGGUGGCUACCUCAAAGCCCGGCCUAAGUGGUCCAAGGAGGAGAAUGAUCUGCUUGAAAAAGGGAUCGAACCAGAGAUAAUGAGAUGGCCAGACUGUUGCCGGACUUGGUUCUUCAGGGCUGGCGGAACCUUGGACCCUGUAUCAGGGAUGUGCCGUUGGACGGACGAGCAACUGGAAAUACCAGUCAAGAACCUUCGACACUAUAUCAAUGCAGCGCAGAAAGGGACGUUCGUACCAGACAGGGAGAAGGACGAGCUCACAAUGGCCCUCGGGAAUCCUGAGCACCCUGGACGGACACGAGGCACGACAGGCUCCAUUCCAUGGAAGGUUGGUUUUCCGGACGCAGGGGGUUACAAAACCCACGAGAGGAGGAAGAAACUGGAGCAGGGCCAACUGCAGGCGCUGCACGAAAGGGUAAUGGGGCUAGAGGAACGAGAAGAGGAACGAGAAGCAGCAGAUCGCAGCAAAUGACCUACCGAAGCUUCCCCCGAAGCUACCCCGCCAUCUCAGCGGAGAAGCGGCGUGGCUUCCAUCGAGCUUCUUCAGCCGGAGCAUGUCUUGACGGCUCCUGCCAGCUAUCCCGUGGAUGCUAUCAUGGAGUCUCAACAUUGCCACAUUAUGGCGCGAUGGAUGAAUUUGAAGGUCAAGGCGGCUGUUGGCUCUGUUUAUCCUAGUGGAUCCGGAGCAACUUAUCACUGCCGGCCGAUUCCAGAAGGAUAUGCUAAGGUGAUGGUGGAUAAAAUAACGGAGGGAUUUGAGGACCUCGUGCUUGACCACCCUACCGGUGAAGGGGAGACUAGGAUGGGUUCUGCUCUGAAGACUCCAUGCCUAUGGCGGAAGGAGCUCAUCAACCUUCCGAACUGGACGCCUCUGCCUCCUCCUCCUCCUCCUCCGGCGAGUCAGGGCACUCCGCCUCCUCCUCCGGCGAGUGACGAUCAGGGAACGCGUGGCGGCACUCCACCUCCUUCUCCGACGCGUGGCGGCACUCCGCCUCCUUCUUCGCCUGUGCCGGCGCUCCCGAGCAGCCAGCAGCCUCCUCCUUCUCCGCCUCGCCAGCAAGGGCGGAAGAGACCCGCCGCCGCCCCGGCUGCUCUGGCGCGUCGUACUCCUUCUCCUCCGCCUCGUAAGCAAGCACGAAAGAAGACAGACACCGCAGCCGCUCCGUCUGCUCCGAUGUCUAGCAGCACAACCAGAGGCGGGAGGCAAUACAGAUACGGUCCACCUCUCAAGCCUCUAGAGAAGUUACCAUACGAGAGGACCGAGGAGGAAAACGAUAGAAUUGGGCGGACCCACGUGAAGGAGUUCUUUGAAGGGGUGAAAGCAAAUAGACAUCCACCUCCGGAGGAGAAGGUAGAUCUGGUGAAAGCAAAGCGCACUAUCGAUACCCUGAGGAAACCACCAAAGUCUCCGCCGAGAACCAACUAUGAGCGCAUUACUGAACAGACAUAUCUCCAAGCCCAGCGGUCGGGAACUACUGUCAGUGCUAAAAGGUUAAAAGAACAAGCAAAGGGGAAAAAAUUGCCCAGCUCGGCGAACAAGCACAGCAAUCGUGCCCCCCUCUCAAUGUGUCUAAUGCUCCGGAGACGGUGGCCGGUUAUGGCAAUCUUGCAGAUUACCUGCCUGACGAUCAACUUCCUGAUUUCUUGGAGGUGGACGAACACAGAUACGAGUACGGGAAGCCUCUCGUCAAAGAUGAAAAAUCUCUGACAACAAUGAUGCGAAGAUUCCAUAAUUGGUACAUGGAAACCUGCAGAGAGUCUGGGGGUACGAAUGCUUUGUAUCUGAAUAUUAAAGAGGAGCACGACCUCGUUGCAAAUGAUCUGUUGACUGUUCCAUUUGAUGAGUUCUUCGCGUUCUUCAAUCAAAAGGCCCUCGAUAAACUAAUGGUCUUUUGCUACUGUCUGUAAGUACUAUUUCUGUCAUUAAGUCUCUAUAUAUAGCUCGUCUCUUUCAUUUCAUGUAUUUAUAAUUAAUUAUCCUCAAUAUAUUAUGCAGACUGAAGAUCGUCGAGUGCAAAAAAUAAGAAAUUUAUGAUAUUGGGUUUAUUAACACAAAUAUCAUAGAUGAAUUUCUGGUUAAAAAGGACGUCAAAGAGGCCGAGGACAACUUGCUACAAUCGUUGAUCAAAAAUCAAAACAAAGAUACCAUACUCUUUCCUUACAACGGCAAGUGAGUGUUACUGUCGUGUGCAUAUUCGGUUUCCCUUAUUACUCGAGCGAGGUUAUAGUAAUGUAAUUAAUGAGUUAUGCAUGCGUGCGCAGGUACCACUAUAUUCUUCUGGAGAUUAAGCUUGAGCGUGGACUAGUAACCGUCUUAGACUCGAGACGGAAAGAUCCCAAAACCUAUGCGGACAUGACUGAAAUGCUCAGCAAGUAAGUUCAAUCGAUCAUUAUCGCACCAUAUCGGCAACUUUUUGUUCAUUUCCUGAUAUCUCAAGUAAUAAUAAUUAUUUUCUUUGUCUUGCAGGGCUUGGAAACAGUUCACCGCACAAGCUCCGGGACUGCCGAAGGAGCUGCGAUAUACAUACCCGAAAGUAAGUACUACUGGCUAGCUAGUUGCGCGCAUCUCCCGUUGAUUCUAUAGCUAUACUUUCAUCAAUGCCAUUUAUAAUGCUUCAUUAUCAGUUUGAUUGACCUCUAUUUCUCGUAAAGUGCUUGUGGCAGGAAGAAGGGAAUGAUUUCUGUGGAUAGUACGUGUGCGAGUUCAUCCACAACGCGACUUUGAAAAACAAGUGGGGCUACUCUCAAAGAUAAUAUGAAGUGUGUAAGCAAUAAUAUUCACAAUUUAAUUUUAUUACACCAUCAUUUCUGUUGAGUUUCAUUCAUAUAUAUGUAUUAAUUAACCCCCUUCUUCAAAUUAGACGUGGCAGAUGCGGAAUGAACUCCUAGAACCAGAUCGCAUGAAAGCAAUUCAAGAGGAAUUGGCGGGAUUCUUUGUUGACCACGUCAUCAAUAAAGCCGGAGAAUACCAUGUGGAAAUUGAUUUCAAUUGCUAGGGGAUUGUAAUUAAGAGAUCUUAUACAUAUUGUACAUGUAUGUAGCCAGUAGCGUCGGAUACAUGAUAUACGAAAACUUGUUGUUCGACCAAUCUCUCGGAGAAGGAGAGGUCGAUCGAUCACUUCUCUCGGUAUGCAUGACGAACUUCUGUACUCAAUGGUUCUCUCGAUCACUUAUGUAUAUAUAGUACGUAGCNNNNNNNNNNNNNNNNNNNNNNNNNNNNNNNNNNNNNNNNNNNNNNNNNNNNNNNNNNNNNNNNNNNNNNNNNNNNNNNNNNNNNNNNNNNNNNNNNNNNNNNNNNNNNNNNNNNNNNNNNNNNNNNNNNNNNNNNNNNNNNNNNNNNNNNNNNNNNNNNNNNNNNNNNNNNNNNNNNNNNNNNNNNNNNNNNNNNNNNNNNNNNNNNNNNNNNNNNNNNNNNNNNNNNNNNNNNNNNNNNNNNNNNNNNNNNNNNNNNNNNNNNNNNNNNNNNNNNNNNNNNNNNNNNNNNNNNNNNNNNNNNNNNNNNNNNNNNNNNNNNNNNNNNNNNNNNCCGCUCCUUUCAAAAAAAACAAAAACCCCAGCCACUGGAAGGCUGACGCGUGGAUGCCUUUUGGUCCCGGUUGGUACCACCAACCGGGACCAAAGGCCCCCUGACUGGGCUCGGCGCACAGGGCCACGUGGAGGCACAUUGGUCCCGGUUCGUGUUUGAACCGGGACUAAUGGGUGGAGGUAUUAGUAACGACCCAUUAGUCCCGGUUCAUGAACCGGGACUAAAGGCCCUUACGAACCGGGACUAUUAGGUGUUUCUCUACUAGUGAAAAGGCCCAAGUUCAACUAUACUCUUUGAUGUUUUGGCUAUGGGCUGGGCCGGCUAUGGCCCAUCUGCCUUGCUUUAGCUCCACCAGUGGUCAAGACUAUCAAGAAAAGGCACCAUGAAAAUUACUAUAACAAAUUUUCUCUUACUCAACUCGCAAUAAGAAAAAUCUCUCGGUGAUAGUGCUAUGCAACAUACGAGAGACCAUAAUAAUCUCUCACCCGUCCCAUGGUGCUGGCAGGGUCAACUCUAUAAUUUUGAGAGCCCUUGUGUGACAUUGGCAAAUUGAUAGUCUUUUUUUCUUUUAUUGUGCAUGAAAACUCCUUUUAAGCAACAUUAUAGUAACCCUAAAACUGACAAGGAAAGUAAAUACAUAAGUAGAAUUUUAGAAAUCAGAGCACUAACAUUUAACAUGCUUCGACGAAUGGGUGGCUCUGGUAAUAUGGAUAUGGAUACGAGGAAUGAGAGGCCUAGAGAGUGACAAGUUCAUGCUUUGUUGUCACAGACACCCGAGGAGGCGGCAAGACACUCACGUCGUCAAGCUACGAGACAAACCUGUGAAGAUGAAGAUCACGAAUUACAAUUAGGAGAACUGGUGAUGCCAUGUGUCCAUGUCGCACACCGAUUAUGAUUAUUUUCCUUUUUAUGGACCAGUUCAACCAAGGCUAAAGGCCUAAAGCUUCUUGGAGAGCGUGUAUACCUUAAUUUUAGGAGAGCUCAUUUGAAAAAAGCCAGAAGACUAAAAAAGAAAAAUCAGGCCGAAAGUUUCCAUAACCAAAGUUGGCCCAUAAGCUUCUGGAAGCUUCCUAAAACCGACAGGAGGGAGCUUCCUCUCAUGUGAAUGCCAUAGAUUGGGCAGCCCUUUUAUAAUCUAUUGAAGGAAGAGGUGUGUGCGCUUUUUACCAAUAACUUGGAAACCAAUGCUAAAUAGCAUAUUUCCACUUUUAGCGCGGCGUAGAACAGAAUUUGACUAUAGAUCCACGGUAUGGGCAAAUCCCAACAUUUUUUCUAUAGGGGCAGAUGCCUCACUCUAACGAGUAGGAUUUUUUUGUUCUUAUUUUCACAUUUUUCUUUUCAUUUUUCCUAAUUUUCUAGAAAACGCUCUAUAACAUAUAUGGGUGAUCAUAUAGUUUAAUAAGUGUUCAUGUACUUUAAAAAUGUUCAUCACGUAUUUAUAAAAUGUUUUCAAAAUAUGAAACAUUUUUGAAAUACACAUGCAAUUACAAAAGUGUUCAUAUUUUUCUGAAAAUAUACACUAUGAAUAUCUUGAACAAUAUGGAUGAAGAUUUAUUUUAAUACAUGAUGAACCUUUGAAAUCACAAUAUUUUCUAAAAAAUACACAACGAUUUUUAUAUACACAAUAAACAUGUUUUUCAUACACGAUGAACAUUUUGUAAAAACAUGAGUGAACAUUGCCCAACUCCGAUGAGGGAGGGCCAAUGAUGGUAGUACGCCUUCGCCUUGCUCGAGUGAUUGUAGACAUCGCUAGGUGGUCUACGGACCAGGACAUAAGUUCUGUUACCUCUGGUGUUCUUGUACUGACAUGAUGGUUGAUAAGUAGAUCAGAUUUUUUCCGUAAUCUUAUUAAGAAAAAUGUUCAACUUGUCUUACAAAUUGUUCCAGAGAUUAAGAAAAAUAUAUUCGCAUUUUUCAAAAAGAACAGUACAUUUCAAUUUUUUCACAUGUUUAGAAUAUUGUUCAUGGCCAUAUUAAAAUAUUCAUGAAAUAUAAAAAAUGCGUUAUUACAGUUUUGGAAAGAUGUUUGUGGUAUAUAAAAAAUGUUCAUCAUGUAUUUAUAAAACAAUCAAACUUGUAUUAAAAAAAUAUUAUAUGUGUAUCUGAAAAUGUUUAUUAUUUUUAAUAAUUUCAGUGUGUAUUUGAAAAAUAGAAAAAAAAACAUGAAACAAUGAAUAGGAAAAGUAAAAGAGAAACCAAAAAUGAAAAACCUAAACAAACCCAAUAAACAAGAGAAAUAAAAAACCGGACAAAACGUUAUGAAAUCACAAGAAACAAACAAAUGCUACACACCUCCACCACUACUGGGCCACAGCCCACACCGCAUCGCCAGAGACAUAGCAUUUGCGCAAAAUGACCGCACGCAUUGAACAAACUGUCGGCUAGCUAGUUAUUAGAAAGACAUGUAACUUAAUUCAAACUCAACAAAAUUAUAGCUACAAUGCUUUGGAUCAUAGAUACAAGAAAUUACAAAAUAACUCAUAUAACUAAGAAUUACAAUGAAACCCUCUUGAGUCAAAAUAUGAUAAACAGAGGAAAAAAACAUUAGCACAUAUAAUCCUUACUCUAUCCGAAUAUAUGGCGGUGCUAAACUUAGCAACCCCAUUAGUUUUGGAGCUCCAGCUUCAUGGAGUCUUUUUUGGAAAAUCAUACAUGCAUAACUAAAACACACUCAUGCAUGAGGCUGGAGAAUCAGGGGCAUGCAGCAUCAAAAUAGGUUAGUUUGUCGGAGAGUUAGAUUUAAUAAUUUGAGACAUUACGCAUGAUAAAAUUGUCAUUGGUAUCUACCAUUUUGAAACUGUGCACAGUAUACCGGGCCAGAGGGAGUGCUUGAGAAAACACUGAGAGUCAGCGAAAACUCGGUCUACUAAGCAAACCAUGGAGCCUUGGGGCGUCCUAACAGGUGGUGAAGCUCACGCACGAGGUGACUGCACAAUCGGGCCAGUUCUUUUCCGGAGAGCUUUCCUUUCGAUUGUGAAUUGAACUGCAGCGAUUGCUUUUUACUUUGUAUUGCAUUGCACAAACGUGUACACUGUCUAUCUUAAUUUCUAAAUGAUGGCCGGUCACAUGGACGUGUGAGCACGGGAUUGACAAGGCAACUAACAGAAUUCUAUUACUACGAGGAGGCAACUGAUAAAGUAAAAAUAUUGUUACCCACCCUACUAUCAUCAGAUGGAGACACGCACGCAGAAUCCACUGGACAAGGCGACUAACAUAAUUCUAUUACCACGAGGAUGCAACUAAUAGAGUAAAAAUAUUGUUACUCACACGUACUACCACCACAAAAGACACACACGCAGAAUCCAGCUGUACUUAUUAACACGUCUAGCUACCUACGUGUGGUUUCUUCAUUUGUAAUCAACUAAUCAACCAAUAUAACUCCACCGACAUGUUAUACAGUACUACUUGUCACUCCAGCUAGGUAACUGCAAUGCUAAUUAAUGCAGCCUCCAGAUCUGGUUUGUUUCACCCAGCCUAUAAAACCACACAAUAUGUACCUUCAGUUCUCACACAACACACACACAAAGCACAGCAGGUGCAACACUAACUGCAAGCACAAGAAGUAGGCAGCAAUGGCGAAGCAUCGCCUCCUUGCCGUGCUCCUCAUCGGGAUAGUUGCAGCUUCCUCUUUCAACCAAGCAGCUACGGCUGGCCGAGGCCUUGCUGUUGUUGAGAAGUUCGCAGAGCUAGAGCCAAAGCCAGAACCCAAACCAGAGCCAAUGCCCAAACCUAUGCCACACCCAGAGUCAGAGCCCUGCAAACCUGAACCGCUGCCCAAACCCGAACCAAAGCCUGGACAGAAACCUGAACCAGAACCCAAGCCCAAGCCGAUGCCAAAACCAAAGCCAAAGCCCAAGCCCUGCUCCAAACCGAAGCCAGAUCCUAAGCCCGAGCCAAUGCCGAAACCCGAACCAAAGCCGGAGCCCAAGCCUAAUGAACCGAAACCGAAGCCGCCUCCUAAGUGCAAACCACCGACAGCUCACAACUGAUGGGAUACUUGUAUAUGACAGUUGAUGGAGGAGACCCCAUACGGAGCCACACUGUGCUAUUUCUAGAAUAAGUGGUGUAGUAUUCCCUGUAUUCCAUUUAUUUGUAUUGUUCCAUGCAUGUGGGAUGACUAUUAGCUCUGUACUUAUUAUUUGCUUGUUGGUAUAUGUUCAUCUACUUUGUAUGUGACUCGACUCGUUGUUAUUUUCAGUAUCUACGCAUGAUGGUAUUCAUUUUCAUGAAUGGGCUAUUUUGUCAGUGAACUGCAGUCUAUGUUGUUUUCUCUGUGGUGUGCAGUCUCAGUUAUUUUCUCUAUGGGGUUGUUUCAUUAUUAUGUGGUCUUUUUUGGCGGAAAAGAUGAUGUCAACAAAAGGGAAGAGAAGGCCUCCCUAAAUAGCAGCACACAUAUGAAGUGUAGUGUGCACGUACGUGUCUGGUGUUCUAGAUGUAUAAAGUGUACUCAUACGCCAGACAGCGGUUUUGUUCUCUACCCUUCGUCUAUGAACUAAGUCCCGACCAGGUGUGUUAGUAUUUAUACCCAGGCUCUACGAGUGAGCUGGCUCCGUUGCUAGUUAUACUAGGUAAACGUCACACACACUGCUACGGAAAUUUAAAGCAAUGAAAUUAUAAAAAAAUAGCAUAUAUGUGAAUAAUACCAUACAACAUUCUCAACAUAUGACAAUAGAAAACCUAGAUGUAACUGGAGGGUGGAUGCAUGUUAUAUUGUCGUGACCUUCAAGUUUAAUUAUUUGUUGUUGAAAGAUAACUAAUAGUAAAAAUAAUGAGGUGAAGAGCUUGCGUGUGUUUGUGGAGGGCUUGCAUAUGAUGGAAAGUGAAAAGUCGAAUGAUUACAUGCACCCUCGAUGAUGUGGACGACUUGCAUGUGAUGAAAAAUGGUAAGUGAAAGUUGAUUGGUUGCAUGUCCUCAUGAUGUGAUUAAUUUGCAUGCCCUCAUAUAUAUAGGAUAUAUGUGUGAAAGGUAACUGCACCGCCCUGGUAUAUAUGUGUGAAAGGUAAUUGCACCCCCUGGUCAAGAGAUUAGUGGCAGAGCUACCCAAAAAUUAUUGGGCAGGCCAAGGUGGCCCAUCAUGAAGGAAACACAUUUUUCUCUCUUAAAAGGCCCAAGUUUACCUAUACUAUUUGAUGUUUUGGCUAUGCGCUCAGCCGGCUAUGGCCCAUCUGGUCUUGCUUUAGCUCCACGAGUUGUCAAGACUAUCAAGAAAAGGCACCAUGAAAAAUAUUAUAACAAAUUUUCUCUUACUCAAUUCGCAACAAGAAAAAAAAUCUCUGUGAUAGUUCUACGCAACAUACGAGAGACCAUAAUAAUCUCUCACCUGUCCCAUGGUGCUGGCAGGGUCAACUCUAUAAUUUUGAGAGCCCUUGUGUGAAAUUGGAAAAUUGAUAGUCUUUUUUUUUUCUUUUAUUGUGCAUGAAAACUCAUUUUAAGCAACAUUAUAGUAACCCUAAAACUGACAAGGAAAGAAAAUACAUAAGUAGAAUUGUAGAAAUCAGAGCACUAACAUUUAACAUGCUUCAACGAAUGGGUGGCUCUGGUAAUAUGGAUAUGGAUACGAGGAAUGAGAGGCCUAGAGAGUGAUAAGCUCAUGCUUCAUUGUCACACACGCCCAAGGAGGCGGAGAGACACCCACGUCGUCAAGCUUCAAGACAAACCUGUGAAGAUGAAGAUCACGAAUUACAAUUAGGAGAACUGGUGAUGCCAUGUGUCCGUGUCCACACUGAUUAUGAUUCUUUUCAUUUUUAUGGACUAGUCAACCAAUGGCUAAAGGCCUAAAGCUUCUUGGAGAGCGUGUAUACCUCAAUUUCAGGAGAGCUCCUUCUCACCGCUUGUAGUGCUCAUUAGUGUCGUAGCGCACAAGAGCCCGCGUGCAUGUGCCAUCCACUAAAAGGCAAAGCGGUUGCUCACCUGGCCACCCACUAUACUCUUUUUUCGCCAGCCUUUUUUCCGGGAUUGCUCUGUUAUUCAAUGAAAAAGAUGCCACCGGUAUUCUAAAUUUGAAAAACAAUUAUGGUUUGAAGAGAAUGAAUUAAAAAACAUUGAAAAUUUUGAAAAAAAAAUCACAAAUUCAUUUUUCAUGAAUUUGAAAAAAGUUGAUUCAAAAAAGUUAGUGAAAUUUGAAAAACCAAAUCAUGAAUAUGAAAAAACCACAUGAAACUUACCAGCGCUACACCGCAAGAGCUAUAUCUCGCUUAUAGUGAGAUGGUAGGAGCUCUCACAUGAAGGGAAGCGCUACUAACCACUGGGCCACUGUCCGCUUCAUGUUAGAUUAGCAGGUCGCGACCUUAUUAAGAAAAAGAGUUGUAUUUCCACUGGUUUUCCAGGUUUUUUGUUUUGUUUUUCCUAGUUUUUUUUACGGUUCUUCUUCGUUUCUACUUGGUAUUACAAACUUUUUAUUUACUUUGUUUUUCUUUGUUUCUUUUUCUUUCACUAGCUUGUUACUUUUUUUCUUUUUUCUUCGGUUUUGUUGAUUUAUUUUCUCGUUUUUCUUUUGGUUUCCUUUUGUUUUCUUAUUGGGUUUUCAUUUUUUCUAUACACAUUUUCUAUAUAUCUAAUACAUUUUUCCAACACACGUUAAAUAUUUUGAAAAUACAAGAUUAAUAUUUAUUGAAUACAUGGCAACAUUUUUUCUAUACAUAUUUAACAUUUUUUUAAAUGCUUGAUUAACAUUUUUCAAAUAUCAGAUUAACAUUUUUUAGUACAUGAUAAAAAUAUAAUCUCAUUUUAUUUUUUUGUCAGAUCCUUAAUUAAAAAUUUGCAAAUACAAGUUUAACAUUUUUAAAAUACAUGGUGAAUAUUUUUUCUAUAAACAUUUAAUAGUUUUUCAAACGCUCUAUAAACAUUUCAAAUAUAAGGUUAACAUUCUUUCUAAUACAUGGUAGCCAUUUCUUAUAAACAUUUAACAUUUUUCAAAUGCUUGAUUAAUUUUUUGAAAUAGUUGUUUAUUUAGUUUUUUAAUGUAUGGAUUAACAUUUUUAAAACCAAGGUCACCUUUUUAGACACACAUUAUAUAUAUUUUGUGUACAUUUGUAGUAUACAUGAUAAACAUUUUCUCUAUGUACAUUUAACAUUUUUCAAAUGUUAGGCUACUAUUUUUUGAAAUAUUUUAUAUACUGUUUUUGCAAUAUAUUUAUUUAUAUUAUUUGGAGGUAUAAAUGAAAGAAAAAACGAAAACCAAAUGAAAAGAAACUAAAAAACGAGGCAGUAGCUUCCCCGUGCACUGGGCUGGGCCGUACGCUCAAGCGACUGCAAGGUGCUUCAGCGAGUCGGAAGGUUGACUAGAAGCGAGGUAUAGCCGCGCCCGCGCUACACUGCCUCGUCCGCUACUGGGCCAUGGUCCACACCGCAUCGCUAGAGGUGAAUGCUGUGUGCGCCUUGCAGUAGGCCAGACGUAGCAUUUGCGCAAAAUUACUGCACGAUUGAACGGCUAGUCAUCUAUUUUUUAGGAUGACCUGUAACUUUAUUCAAACUUGAUAAAAUUAUAGGUGAAAGGCUUUGGAUAAUAGAUCCAAGACAUUACAAACUAACUCCUAUAACUAAGAAUAUAAAACUAUUUUCUCAAAAAAAAUCAUAAUUUUACAAAUUUGAAAAAAGUCAUGACUUUUGAAAAUGUUCAAAGAUGGAUGCCAUGGAGAUAAACGUUCAGAGAAAUUGAACUAUUUUUAAGAGCCAUGAAUGUUUUUCAAAUUUUUAAAAUUUCCAAAUAUUUUUAAAAUUCAUUAAUUUUUUAUAUUUUUGUGUUUUUAAAAUUCAUGAAUAUAUUAUUAAACUCAUGAAGAUUGUUCAAAAAGCACAAAAUUUAAAAUUUACUGUUUAUUUUUCAAAAAAAUUGUACACUUUUUAAAAUCCAUGAUUUUUUAAAAUUUGUGAACAUUAUUUUAAUGCAUGCGAAUCUAUAAAAAAAAAUAUGAAGUCGGUUUUUAGCUAGCGAGAGUGAGAGAAGUGGCAACUGGGAGCGAGCUCGCUAAUGGGUCGUAGUGUGCCGUAUGCUCCACAUGAGCAUACAGUACUAAUGCGGACGCUCAUACAUACAGACAUACAUUUAUCUCUAUGAACGAUCGCACACACUACCUACCCCUAUGAGCACCUUCGAAUGAUUGUGUUGACAUAUAAUUUUGAGAUUGGGAAAACCACCACAUGCGCCUUCGUAGUUGACGGGAAUAUCUCCUCCCAGUGAACAAGCAUCGGAAGCCUGGAAUAAUACAGAAAAAUGAGCCGACCUGUGUUAAGUCUAGGACUUGAACCCUGAUGGAUUGGUUUCACUACGACGAACCUAACCAUCUGAGCUAGGCACGUUUCGCAGGAGUGCCUGAAGAUAGGAGCUCCCCAUGAAAUGAUCAAAGGCGAUAUUUUCCUGGGCAGCCUCCCAUCGAGCUUCACUCUUUCCUUUGAAAGACAAAAACACCGACAAGAUGGUCAAGUACUUGGUGUGCUAGUUUCAAGCAUGUGAUGUGUGUUAUCUAGAAGUACAAAACUACCAUUAUCUCUAGUUGUUGUAAUAUUCCUAAAUCUCUUAGGUUUCUUUUAGGAAAAAAAAUAUACUUCAAUUAGAAUUAAAAAAGGGAAUAUGUCGAUAUCGAGACGAUAUCAAUUACACCCGGGCCUAUGCAAAAAUACGGUGUCAAGGUUAUUCUCACUAGUGCAGAAUCGGGCAAUAGCACCGGUUCGUAAGGCCCUUUAGUGCCGGUUCCAUAACCGGCACUAAAGUGUGGGCACUAAAGCCCCCCCCCUUUAGUACCGGUUCAGCAUGAACCGGUGCUAAAGGGAAACCACGUGGCACGAGCCAGCUCCAGGGGCCUGGAGCCCUUUAGUACCGGUUGGUAAGAUCAACCGGUACUAUAAGAUUUGGGGGGUUUUUAGUUUUAUGAUUUCUUUUUCAUUUAAUUUUAUGUUUCCAUUUUAAUUCUUUUUCAUUUGCUGGUAUUUUACGAUACUACACAUUGUACACGAUAUAUAUAUAUAUAUAUAUAUAUAUAUAUAUAUAUAUAUAUAUAGAAUUUCUAGUAGAACCAAUCAUGCAUAUAUAUCAUCAAUUAAUGUCUCACAAACCAUCAUAUUAAUUAAUUCACACAUACACACAUGUAUAGCUAUAUACAAUUUCUCCUACAUAUGCAUGUUGCCUUCGGAGCCAGUGGCAUUAGCCUAAUUGGUGCCUUCGGAGCACGAUGACAAUUUGAAGUGGUUUUCAUGAGGGCGGUAGCGGGUAAUAGUAUUCUCCCUUCGGAUUUAUGACCUGGUCGAACAAAAAUCCCGCUAUUUCCUCUUGAAGUGCUUCUACGCGCUCCGUUUCUAGGAGCUUCUCCCGCACCUCUCUGAACUGUUAAGAAGGAGAUCAAUAUGCAUGUGUAUUAGUUGUGUGACUAGAUAUCGAUAAUGGUGUAAAAAUUGUGAAUAGUGUUUUGACAAGCGUACCCAUUCCUGUCUUUGAGAUCUUCUCUUUUCGGACGCCAUCAUGCGAAUGUUCUCGCAAACGCAGAAUGCACACAGAUCAGUCCCCUGCGCCUGCUUCAGGGCCUUUACGAGAAUGAAAUUUGAUCAGAUAAUAAUUAAUCAAGCAUGAUAAUUAAAGAGAUGGCAGCUAGCUAGCUAGCUAGUGCUACUUAAUUACUUACCUUUGGUCUUCCCCAUUUAAGCUUUUCUUUCCAUUCGCCUUCCGUGACGCUGAUGAACCUUGCCCAAGCCCUGCCCGCCGACAAAGAAAAUGAAUAAAGGGGUUAUUAAAUAGUUCAUAUCAUGAAAUGACGAACUAAAUAGGCCGAGAUAUAUAGUUAAUAAUGAUUGAAAUUACCUGUUGACUAUCUCAAACAAGAUGUUAUAGUCAGUUUUUUCUUUGAGUAGUGAGUCCAGUAUUUCAACUGUUCGGGCGUCAACUUUAAUGAUACACAAGACCCAGUGAUAUCUGCAUGCACACACGUUUGCAUGUCUUAAUUAAGCGGGCAUAUGUAAGCAAAAAUAUGUAGCUAGCUAGUAGGCAAAAAUAGAGAAUUUGUAGUACAAGACAGUGUGACUCACUGGAAGUUGUAAGGAAGUAGUAUAUCUUCAUUGUAUUUGAGGCGCUUCAAGAACUCUAGCAUGCUGUCCUCUACUGCCUUUUGAUCACGUGCAUCUAUUUUCCAUGUGUAUUCAUUAACGGUGUUUGGGUCAAUGAACCCAAUGCCAUAGCGUCCACCUUUUUCUCAUUUCAUACAUCUUCAUCCUGCAUAUAAUACCACAGAAAAGAAUAUAGUGAGGAUAAUUACAGGUAAUGAUUGAUCAAAAGGAUCACUACAGCUAGCUUGAGACUUAAAUUACAGAAAGAAAUCACUUACAGACAAUAGCAACUGACGAUAGAUUUGUCGAGUGCGUCUUGAUUGUAUAACUGAAACAGUUCAGAAUACUCAACGGACACAGCUUUCUCAUGGUAGUAAUGCUCCUUCUUGACAUUCACCAUGAGGGACAAUCGAUCGGAAAUCUUGGUAAUGUUCAUGUACCAUUGAUGCAAUUCAUACAUUCUCAUACAUUCUCGUUGGGAGGUUCUUGACCUUGUCUGGCUCGACCAAAGGUUGGCCCCGGACAUAUUUCCGUUUUAUUUCAUCCUCUCUAAGCACAGGCAUGGGCUCGAUCUCGAGGAAUUGUCCAACAGUGAUUUUGAGAACUUCAGCCUGCAUUAUAUGCUCCUCCGUUAUUACCACAUUGCCCACCUCAGGAACGUAAACUGUUUUCCCACAAUAAUAUUGGGCGCGCGUACUGUCACGUGUUGUUGGCACAACAAGCGAGGGGAUCGAUUGCGCCGCCUGUUCUCCCAGCUGGGGAAUGGUUUUCCCACAUUUUUUGACAGCUGCUUCUUGUUUGCUUGAUCCCGAGCUCGCCUCCUUAUGUAGACGUGCUCGAUUUAACUUCCUGAUGUGGCGCUCAUAGUCUGUGUCAACAGGCUUGGGAGCUGGUGGUUGAGCCAUACGAAUGAAGUGGUCAAUCGUUUUCUCAGGCACUUUCUCCCUUGGCGGCGGUGGCGGUUUCGGUGCAAAAUGGGCUUCCACCUCGGACUUUGAUAUGGCUGCGAUUUCCUCCUCGGACCUGUCAUAAGCCCUCUGCAGAAGAGGCGUGAGGCUUGGACCAUAUUUAUAUCGCUUGCCUCCGCCUGUACUUCAUGUACUACCUCGACUCGUACCGCUACGCAUCAUAGCUGCGGGGUGUCUCUUCUGUGAUUGCUGAGGCGGCGGAGACGGCUGGCGGGGCUGAGUUGGACGAGGAGGAGUGGCCGCCUGAAGCUGUGCCGGACUUGGAGGAGGAGUGGCCUGAGGUUGUGCCAGACUUGGAGGAGGAGUAGACGUCUGACGAUGUGGCGGACUUGGAGGAGGAGGAGUGGCCUGACACUUUGCCGGACUUGGAGGAGGAGUGGCCUGACACUUUGCCGGACUUGGUGGACUUGCAGGAGCGGGAGACUGCUGACUCGGUGGCGGACUUCGACGAGGAGUCGCUGGCGCGGUGUCGGUGGCCUUCAAAAGAUGAUGCAAUCCUUUUUCCAUAGGAUGAUACAAUGGUUGGCAUCUCCGAGAAAGCGCUUGUCGUCACCUCCAGGAUAGUCAAGCUCUAGAUCCGAAUAUGGGUCCACCACCUCAUCAACCAAGACACGAGCAUAGCCCGCUGGAAUCGGGUUGCAAUGGAAGGUUGCCUCGGGGGGAUUUGUAAAAGCAACGGCGUCCGCCACCUUCAUGGAUAUGUUCUUCAUUUUGACGUGUAGCUCGCAGCUAGUGUUCUCCGUGAUGUCAUCCAUGGGGUAUCUACCCAGCAUUGCGUCGUCCGGGGCGGAACCCACGCUGCUUCUCGGCAUGGAUGGGGCGGUGCUAUCCAAUGUUGGAUCAUUCGCUAGCUGCUACAGCUGCUGAGACCCCCUUUGCUGGGUAAGUGAGUCGAUCUGCUCCUGCUGCUGCUGGAAUUUGACUACCAAUUCUGCUUGACUUGCUUCUAGGCCUUGAAGGCGUUCAUAGUCCCUCUUCCUCUGCUCCUCCUCCAUCUUCCUCUUCUUCUCCUCCGCAAUCUUCUUUCUCGCACGGGUUCUGUAGUCGGUGUUCCAGUCUGAAAACCCCUCAUACCACGGAAUAGCGCCCUUGCCUCGUGUUCUUCCCGGGUGUUCAGGAUUUCCCAGGGCACGCGUAAGCUCGUCGUUCUCUCUGUUGGGCUGGAACACCCCCAUCGUGCCUCUUCUAUUGCAACAAGUAUCGCAUCGUCGGCUCCCUUCAGACUUGCCCUCGUCGAAACAUUGUCUGUCUUCGGGUCCAACUCCCCCCCCCCCAUGCGCAUAGAACCAAGUCCUGACCCUGGGGGCAGCUCUUAGUAACCGGAGUGGCACCUGCAUCCUCCAUCUCUUUCUCAGACUUAUCCCACUUAGGCAUUGCCACCGCAUAGCCACCUGGCCCCAGCUUAUGGAACUUAUCCUUUUUUCGGCAUUCUUCUUGUUUAUUCUCGACCGUUCCUUAGCUAAUUCCGAAUCCUUGAAUUUCAUGAAAUCGUCCCAAUGAGCACGUUGGUUCUCUAGUGUUCCCUCGAAUACUGGAGUGUUCCUUCCUCCCUUGACGUACUUGUCCCAUUCACGAUUUUUGUGGUUCUUGAAUGCAACCGCCAUCUUCCUAAGAGCAGCGUCCUUGACUUUCUGCACAUCUGCUUCUGUGAAAUAAUCUGGUAGGGUGAAAUGUUCCAUGAGAGUAUCCCAAAGCAGAUCUUUUUGAUUCUUGUCGACAAAAGUAACAUCUGGACGUGGAGCAGCGUCCUCUUUGCCUUUUUGUCUUUUGUCUUUUGCUAGCUCUCUCCAUUCUUGAAGGGAGAUCGGGAGUUGGUCCUUCACAAGAACUCCGCACUGACAAACGAACUUGUCCGCAAUCUUCUUAGGCGCUAAUGGUUCGCCAUUAGGUCUGACUGCCUCGAUAUUGUACUUUACACCCUCCUUCAACUUUUUGUUCGGGCCUCGUUUCGUCCUUUUGCCUGAAGAUUUGCUCGAUCCGGAUGGCUGAAAGAACAAACAUCGAUUCGUUAAUAUAUCUUCAAGUCAUUUAAAACAUGUGAUGAUCACCAGAUACCUGCUUAUAUAAAUAUAUAUACCUCGCCGGUCUUUGUUGUUUCAGGAUCAACAUGUUCUUCGUCAUCGUCAUAAUCGUAGUUCAUGACUUCAUCAAUUCGGUCGUCGCGAUCGAAUAUCAUAUCACCCUCUCUGGUGUUGUUUAGAAAUUCGGAGCCGGCAUAAUCUUCUUCAUUCUGAUCAUCAUCUGGCCCGCGUAUCAUAUCGAACAUGGUCUGUUCUCCCUCUCUGUCGGUAUUGUCUGCCAUAGCUUUUAUUUAACUAAUUCAAAAAAAUAUAUAAAACAAUUUAGUAUUCAAAUUACAUCGUCUCGAAUAAUAGAUAUAAUCUCGAAUACUUCGUCUAGAAUAAUAGAUAUAAUCUCGAAUACAUCGUCUCAAAUAAUAUAUAAUAUUGAAUAGUACAUCACUGGCUAGCUAAUUAAAGAUCGAAUACUACAGAAGAAUCUAGAACACUCGUGGUUCCUGCGGCGCGGGCGGUGGACACCCAAAGAGAAGGAACCCUCACAGGAUCAUAGCUGAAGUGAGAUCCCCGAAGAUACUGCCAGGUAUUGGAGAACCUGCCGCCCUCUAACGCAACCAUGUAGCGAUGGACGUGCUCGUCCUCCUCCCUAACACGGCGACGUACCACCUCCGGCGGGGCCGGGUCCCUCCGCACCGAAACUGGCCCACGCGAACGCCACCAAACGAGAUCAGGAUCGACGACGGGACCCAGGGCCGGGUUCCUCAUCAAGCGGCGCGCCCCUCCAGGCAGCACCUCCUAGUGCCAGCCCGACGGAGCCCAGUCCCGGACAUGGGGCGGCUGGACGUCGUCGUGGACGGGUCGACGGCGAGGAUGCGGGCCGGGCAUCGUCGAGAACAAAUACUAGCUAUAUGCCCGCAAAAAGUAACAUUUUUUUAAUGAUUGGAUUUUAAUAACUAAAAUUUCUAACAUUUCUAUAUAACACUAAUUAUGCUAAUCUAAAUAAUCUAAAUAACACUAAAAUUUCUAACAUUUCUAACAUUUCUAUAUAACACUAAUUUCUAACAUUUCUAUAUAACACUAAUUUCUAACUGAUUAAACACUAAUUAUAUCCAUCUAACAUGCAUUCAUACAUAUAUAAUAGUGAAAAAAUAAUAAUCUAAAUAAUCUAAACUAAUUAAACAUACAAAAUACGUGUGUGUGUACUAAUUAAACACUAAUUAUCUAAACUAAUUAAACAUACAAAAUAAUAAUCUAAAUAAUCUAAACUAAUUAAAGACUAAUUAUCUAAANNNNNNNNNNNNNNNNNNNNNNNNNNNNNNNNNNNNNNNNNNNNNNNNNNNNNNNNNNNNNNNNNNNNNNNNNNNNNNNNNNNNNNNNNNNNNNNNNNNNNNNNNNNNNNNNNNNNNNNNNNNNNNNNNNNNNNNNNNNNNNNNNNNNNNNNNNNNNNNNNNNNNNNNNNNNNNNNNNNNNNNNNNNNNNNNNNNNNNNNNNNNNNNNNNNNNNNNNNNNNNNNNNNNNNNNNNNNNNNNNNNNNNNNNNNNNNNNNNNNNNNNNNNNNNNNNNNNNNNNNNNNNNNNNNNNNNNNNNNNNNNNNNNNNNNNUAUAUAUAGAAGGCACCUUUAGUACCGGUUGGAGCCACCAACCGGUACUAAAGGCCUGUUUUGGCCAGGCCAAGCGGCGGGAAGCGACCCCCUUUAGUACCGGGUGGUGGCACAAACCGGUACUAAAGGCCCCCCCUUUAGUACCGGUUUGUGCCACGACCCGGUACUAAAGGGGGUGCGCUGGCGCAGGUGCGGUGCGGCAAGUUUAGUCCCACCUCGCUAGCCGAGGGGCGACCGCACUGGUUUAUAAACCCCCGUGCGGUCGCUCUCUCGAGCUCCUCUCCAAAGCAGGCUUACUGGGCCUACGUGUUCUUUGCAGCCAUGUGGGCCCACUUGGCCUUUGCGGGCCUGCAUCCUGGCCCAACGACAGGUUGGGUUUCUAGUCGUAUGCAGGCCGCUCUGGCCUAGUAGGCGGGCUUUUUUUAUUUUAUUUUUUGCUUUAUUUAUUUUUGUGUUGUUUUUUUUGUGUAUUUAGAGUUUCUUUGUGAACAUUUUUGUUUUAGGUACAAAAAAUUACAAACUUUCUGUUAGGGCUUUUUUUUAUUUUUUUGUGUUGUUUUUUUUGUGUAUUUAGAGUUUCUUUGUGAACAUUUUUGUUUUAGGUACAAAAAAUUACAAACUUUCUGUUAGUGCCCGUAGUUUUCAAAUUUGAAUAGUUUAAAUUUUGAAUUUUUUGAAAUUAGUGUGAAUCACUGGUUUGUGAAUAACUUAACUUUAAAAAUCAGUAAAGGCAUGAAAGAAUUUGUUUGCACAUAAAAUUUCUUCGCAUUUCAAAUGCCAAAACACAUAACUACCCUAACUAUUACAGAGAUUCCCCUCUCGGUGCGAAACACAGAAGAAAGUGAUGAUAGCUAGUGAAGCCGAUCACAUCCCAGAUCUUUGGUUGUGAAACUUUUUCUUCGCGUGUGUCUCUUUGCGCCGUAACCAUAGAAAAUCGUCAUCAUUUAACGGGAUGCUCGGGUCAAUAUUCACUGUGAAUGGAGCAAUUUCAUUAAACUUUUCAUAAUCUUCUGACUUGUCUGUCUUGUCAUCCACUCCCACGAUGUUUCUCUUCCCAGAAAGAACUAUGUGCCGCUUUGGCUCAUCGUACGAUGCAUUCGCUUCCUUAUCUUUUCUUUUUCUUGGCUUGGUAGACAUGUCCUUCACAUAGAAAACCUGUGCCACAUCAUUGGCUAGGACGAAUGGUUCGUCUGCAUACGCAAGGUUGUUGAGAUCCACUGUUGUCAUUCUGUACUGCGGGUCUUCCGUUACCCCGCCUCGUGUCAUAUUGACCCAUUUGCACCGAAACAAAGGGACCUUUAAACCAUGUCGAUAGUCAAGUUCCCAUAUGUCCUGUAUAUAACCAUAAUAUGUUUCCUUUCCCGUUUUAGUUUCUGCAUCAAAGCGGACACCACUGUUUUGGUUGGUGCUCUUCUUAUCUUGGGCGAUCGUGUAAAAUGUAUUACCAUUUAUCUCAUACCCUUUGAAAGUCAUUAUAUUCGAAGAUGGUAACUGGGACAGCAAGUACAGGUCAUCUUCAAUAGAGGUGUCAUGCAUGGUACGUGUCUGCAACCAGCUGGCGAAACUCCUGGUUUGUUCACGUGUAAUCCAGUCAUCAGACCGCUCCGGGUGUUUGGAGCGUAGCAAAUUCUUGUGUUCAUCCAUAUACGGAGCCAUCAAGGCGGAAUUCUGUAGAACUGUGUAGUGUGCUUCAGUGAGAGAAUGUCCGUCCAUACAUAUUAUUUGUUCCCCUCCUAGCAUGCCUUUUCCAUCCAGUCUGCCCUUAUACCGCGAUUCAGGAACACUAAUCGGCUUAAGGUCAGGAAUAAAGUCAAUACAAAACUCAAUGACAUCCUCAUUUUGAUGGCCCUUGGAGAUGCUUCCUUCUGGCCUAGCAUGGUUAUGAACAUAUUUCUUUAAGACUCCCAUGAACCUCUCAAAGGGGAAUAUAUUGUGUAGAAAUACAGGACCCAAAAUGUUAAUCUCUUGGCACAGGUGAACUAGGACGUGUGUCAUGAUGUUGAAGAAGGAUGGUGAGAACACCAACUCGAAACUGACAAGACAUUGCACCAAAUCAUUCUGUAACCUUGGUAUGAUUUCUGGAUCGAUUACCUUCUGAGAGAUUGCAUUGAGAAAUGCACAUAGCUUCACAAUGGCUAAUCGAACGUUUUCCGGUAGAAGCCCCCUCAAUGCAACCGGAAGCAGUUGCGUCAUAAUCACGUGGCAGUCAUGAGACUUUAGGUUCUGGAACUUUUUCUCUGCCAUGUUUAUUAUUCCUUUUAUAUUCGACGAGAAGCCAGACGGUACCUUAAUACUGAGCAGGCAUUCAAAGAAGAUUUCCUUCUCUUCUUUGGUAAGAGCGUAGCUUGCAUGACCCUGAUGUAUGUCGUCUUCUUCGUGCAUACGUUGCUGGUCCUCCCGUGCCUCAGGUGUAUCUUUUGUCUUCCCAUACACGCCCAAGAAGCCAAGCAGGGUCACGCAAAGAUUCUUCGUCACGUGCAUCACGUCGAUUGCGGAGCGGACCUCUAGGUCUUUCCAAUAUGGCAGGUCCCAAAAUAUAGAUUUCUUCUUCCACAUGGGUGCGCGUCCGUCAGCGUCCUUUGGAACGGAUUGUCCGCCAGGACCCUUUCUAAAUAUCACCUUCAAAUCCUUGACCAUAUCAUGUACAUCAGCACCAGUACGGUGGCGAGGCUUCGUCCGGUGAUCCGCCUCACCUUUGAAAUGCUUGCCUUUCUUUCUUACGGGAUGCCUGCUCGGAAGAAAUCGACGAUGUCCCAGGUACACAUUCUUCUUACAACUAUUCAAAUAUAUACUGUCGGUAUCAUCCAAAUAGUGCGUGCAUCCGUGGUAUCCCUUGUUUGUCUGUCCUGAAAGGUUACUGAGAGCAGGCCAAUCAUUGAUGGUCACGAACAGCAAUGCCUUUAGGUAAAAUUCUUCUUGUUUGUGCUCAUCCCAUGCACGUACAUCUGUUCCAUUCCACAGUUGUAAGAGUUCUUCAACUAAUGGCCUUAGGUACACAUCAAUGUCGUUGCCGGGUUGUUUAGGGCCUUGGAUGAGCACUGGCAUCAUAAUGAACUUCCGCUUCAUGCACAACCAAAGAGGAAGGUUAUACAAAUAUAGAGUCACAGGCCAGGUGCUAUGGUUGCUGCUCUGCUCCCCAAAAGGAUUAAUGCCAUCUGCGCUUAGACCAAACCAUACGCUCCUUGCGUCAUCUGCAAACUCCUUCCCGUAUUUUUUUUGAUUUUUCUCCACUGCGACCCAUCAGCGGGUACUCUCAACUUUCCGUCUUUCUUACGGUCUUAUCUGUGCCAUCGCAUCGCCUUGGCAUGCUCUUUGUUUUGGAACAAACGUUUCAACCGUGGUAUUAUAGGAGAAUACCACAUCACCUUGGCAGGAAUCUUCUUCCUGGGGCGCUCGCCCUCAACAUCACCAUGCUCAUCGCGGCUGAUCUUAUAGCGCAAUGCACCACAUACCGGGCAAGCGUUCAAAUCCUCGUACUCACCGUGGUAGAGGAUGCAAUCAUUAGUGCAUGCAUGUAUCUUCUGCACCUCUAACCCUAGAGGGCAGACAGCCUUCUUUGCUUCGUACGUACUCUCGGACAAUUCGUUGUCCUUUGGAAGCAUAUCCUUUAUCAUUAUCAGCAACUUUCCAAAUCCCUUGUCAGAUACACCAUUCUCUGCCUUCCAUUGCAGCAAUUCCAGUGUGGUGCCCAGCUUUUUCUUGUCACCUACACAAUUCAGGUACAACAAUUUUUAUUGAUCCUCUAACAUGCGCUGCAACUUCUUCUUCUCCAAAUCACUUGCGCAGUUUCUCUUUGCAUCGGCAAUGGCCCGACCUAGAUCAUCAACGGGCUCAUCUGAUGCCUCUUCUUCAGCUUCUUCCCGCAUUGCCGGCUCAGCUUCUUCCCGCAUUACCGGCUCAGCUUCUUCCCCCAUUGUUGUAUCAUCGUAUUCAGGGAACCCAUGGCCAGGAUAGCUGUCGUCGUCCUCUUCUUCUUCAUUGUCUUCCAUCAUAACCCCUCUUUCUCCGUGCUUGGUCCAAACAUUAUAGUGGGGCAUGAAACCGGACUCAAACAGGUGGACGUGAAUGGUUCUUGACGUAGAGUAAUUGCGACCAUUCUUACAGCCAGCACAUGGACAAGGCAUAAAACCAUCCGCCCGCUUGUUUGCCUCAGCCGCAAGCAGAAAAGUAUGCACGCCCUCAACGAACUGGGGAGAGCAUCGAUCAUCGUACAUCCAUUGUCGGCUCAUCUUCAUUACACAACACCAAAUAGACCAAAUUAAUACAAGUUCAUAAAUAAAGUUCAUACAACACUUAAAUGCAACAAACAAAUAACUCUCUAGCUAAAGCAUUUAAAUGCAACAACAAAUGCGAUCAAGAUCGCAACUAAGGUAACAAUUGAUCCAACAGCAUAAUGAUAUCAAGCCUCACUAUCGAUGGCAUAUUUUCUAAUCUUUCUAAUCUUCAAGCGCAUUUUCUCCUUCUUGAUCUUGUGAUCAUCGACGACAUCGGCAACAUGCAACUCCAAUUCCAUCUUCUCCCCCUCAAUUCUUUUCAAUUUUUAUUUCAAGUACUCGUUUUCUCUUUCAACUAAAUUUAACCUCUCGACAAUAGGGUCGGUUGGAAUUUCCGGUUCACAUACCUCCUAGAUAAAAAUAUCUAUGUCAACUUGAUGGGCAUAAUUUUUCAUAAACACGAAAUGCAACAAAUAGUUUUAAAAGAGAAUAUACCAUAUCCGAAUCAUAACAAGGACGAGGGGCGACGGGGACGGAUAUCAAAACCAUGGCACUAUGUAUAACAAAUAACGUACGGGUAAGAUAAUUAUUAUACGAGUAACUAUAUAUCCAAAUCACACAAACAUCAAUUUUUUAUAUAAAAUUUCAUGAACAAGAGGCUCACCACAAGGUGGUGCCGGCGACGGGACGGUGCGGGCGAUCGACGGUGGUUACGACGGAGAUUGAGAAGGCACUAAGUAAACCACACCUACAUAUGCAAACUAAGUGUUAUUUUAACCUCAAAUUGCAUAUAAAUCAAAUACUAGCACAUAUAUAUAUAUCCUCCCAAAUUACUAAACUCACAAAUUAAUAAUUAUAUAAAGCAUUGCAAGAGCUAAUCUAGCAAUGAGAGAUGAAAGGACAAAGUUGCUAACCUUUGUGAUCAUUUGAAUGGAUGGGGGCCUUCAAAUCUUGACAAAUUUUGGGCAAAAUGUGUGAUGAGCUCGAGAGGAAGAGGGGAAGAACAGAGCGAGCUCGGGUGGACGAAGGGUUUAUGUAGGACGACCUUUAGUACCGGUUCAUGCCAAGAACCGGUACUAAAGGUGCUGGAGGGGGCCCAGACUGACAACAUCCUGCCACCACUCUCAUUAGUACCGGUUCGUGGCACGAACCGGUGCUAAAGGUUAGCCACGAACCGGUACUAAUGAGAGCGGCCCGGCUAGCCGUUGGAACCGGCACUAAUAUAUACAUUUGUGCCGGCUCAAAUACAAACCGACACUAAUGUGCUUCACGUUUGACCCUUUUUCUACUAGUGUCUAGACAUCGAAGUUGCGCACAACUUAAUUAUUUUUUAAACAAAAUAAGAAAAAAAAAGAAUAAUAAUACACAGCGAGCAACCACAGCGAACGAAUGAGAGAAGUGGACGGCGAAACAUUUAUAUCAUAUCAUGCCUAUCCACUAGACUCAUUUGAUACCAGCAAGAAGUGCAUCUCCUCACAAGUCACAAAUAUGAUCACAUAUCACCAUAAGGCUCGUUGCCUUGAUAUUGGAAAUUUUGUUGUUCCUUUCUCUUCAAAUGCACGACCAAAAAUAGGAGAAUGCUUUCUCUUGAUUUUCCUUCUAUAUUUGUACAGUGUACAACUCUGUUUAUGAUGUAUUGGGGUUUUUCCUCUCUUAGUGAAUGAAACACAGGAAAGAAGGCAACGCUGCUGCAUUUUGCUUAAUUCACUAGAUCUGUGGGUUGGAUCAAUGCUAGGUCUAGCCGCCAAGUUACUUAACUACACACAUCUUACCUAUCCAUAUUUCUACGUUGAUGAGGUACGUACUAGAACAUAGUAAAAAGGACAUGAAAGGUUGACACAGGGUUAGCAAAAGGAAAGCGUGAGCAGUCCAACCAUGCAAGCCAAUCAACGGGAACAUACGCCGGGCUGGAAUCCAUGCCCUACUGCUACAAUGAAAAUAAUUAGUGAGGGCCGGAGUGAAGGGUAGAAAAGGGCCAUGGUCCUUGUGAAAGAAACGGAUGGGGAGUCAUUUUCGUGUGCACCACUGGUCCUUGCGACAAGAGGAUGCCCGUAGCUAGAGCUGACCCUCCCCACUAACGCUACUCCACUACUGUCUUUGUCAUAUCUAUGUUUGUAUGCAUGUCGGUCUGUACCUACCGGCAACACUGCUCAGCACGCCACACAACAGUACAAUACAUAUCACAUCUAUACAUCUUAGGUAUGGGUGCCCCUACAUAAACGUGUGGUGUGGCGUGAGCAAGGGACAAGGCAACUAACAGAUUUUUCUGUUUGCAACAGGGUGCAACUAAUAGAGUUGAAAUAAUGUUACUGGAUAUGUUGCUGUGCCGAUCCACACACGCACCGACGGCACUGGUUUACAGGGAUUGUUGCACACGCGUCCGGGUCUGAUUGGCUCCUCCACCCUAUAAAACCACACCGUAUGUAUCUUCACUUCUCCACACAGAGCACACCGACCCACCAUCCAUCUAUCCAUCCAUCCAGGCUAGAAGCAGCGGCCAACAAGUGCACCCCUAGCUGCGAGCACAAGGAGCUGGCAGCAAUGGCGAGGCAUCGCCUCCUUGCCGUGCUCAUGCUCCUCGUCGGGGUAGUGGCAGCCUCCACUUUCCACCAAGCGGCCGCCGCUGGCCGGGGCCUUGCUGUCCUCGAGAAGUUUGCGGACCUGGAGCCAAAGCCAAAACCCAAACCAGAGCCAAUGCCCAAACAAAUGCCGAAGCCUGAACCAGAAUCAAAACCAAAGCCCAAGCCGAUGCCAAAACCCGAACCCAAGCCCAAGCCGAUGCCCAAACCUGAACCAAAGCCAGAGCCCAAGCAUAAACCAAUGCCUAAGCCAGAGCCCAAGCCUAAACCAAUGCCUAAGCCGGAACCGAAGCCUAAACCUGAACCAAAACCAAAGCCACCACCAAAGCACAAGCCGCCAACAGCUUACAAUUGAUGGGAUACUAUAUAUGCAAACUGAAGGAUCGAGGAGAUCAUGGCCAGAGCCACAAUCGCGAUAUUUCUAGAAUAAGUGGUGUAGUAACAAUGUCAUUCUAUCCGGCUAGCUCCAUAGUGAUGCAUCUUUCUGUAUUCUAUGUAUUUCGUUACAUUUACAAAGUUUCUGUUUCAUGUACCCAUGAUGAGUAUCACAACCUUGUAAUUGUUAGCUGCUUGUUGGUGUACGUUCAAUUUUGUACGUGACUCAUUGUUCUAUUUGUGUAUCUAUAUGCAUGAUUUUAUUCAUUCGCAUGAAUGAGUUAUUUUGUCCAGGGGACCGCAGGCUAU
This 95717-nucleotide long non-coding RNA is filed under the name Triticum aestivum (bread wheat). RNAcentral describes it as "long non-coding RNA (TAES_LNC007816)". The record is from RNAcentral. Lineage: Eukaryota; Viridiplantae; Streptophyta; Magnoliopsida; Poales; Poaceae.